AAACGUGGGCGUUCCACUUCCCGGACCAAAAAAUACUACCUCAAAAGUCGUAUUCACAACCCGUUUCAUCGAUGUUUGUGGUAGCAUGGAAGUUGACAGGAAGUUUCAAGUAGCAUGCUUAUCAGAAAAGGAUGCUUGGGAACUGUUUCGAGAAAAAGUUGGGGAAGAAACUCUUGAGAGUCAUCAUGAUAUCGAUGAGCUAGCCCAAAUUGUGGUCAAAGAGUGUGGUGGUUUGCCACUCGCACUUAUUACUAUUGGUCGAGCUAUGGCCUACAGAAAGAAAGCGGAGCAGUGGAGACGUGCAAUUGAAGAGUUAAGGAGAUCAGCUUCAGAGUUUGCAGGUUUGGGAAAAGAGGUGUAUCCUCUUUUAAAAUUCAGCUACGAUAGUUUGCAGAAUGAUAGUUUGCAGAAUGAUACGGUUAGAUCUUGUUUCUUGUACUGUUGUUUAUAUCCUGAAGAUUAUGUCAUUCCUAAAUGGGACUUGAUUGAUUGUUGGAUUGGUGAGGGAUUUUUUGGGGAAUCUGACAGGUCUGGUGCAGAAAACCAAGGAUAUGACAUUUUGGACACUCUUGUUCGUGCAUGUUUAUUAGAAGAGGUGGAAGAUGAUAAAGUAAAAAUGCAUGACGUUAUUCGUGAUAUGGCUAUAUGGAUAACUUGUGAAAUUGAGAAGGAGAAUAGAAAAUUUUUGGUUUGUGCAGGUGCUGGAUUAAAAGAGGCACCGGGUGUUAAAGGAUGGGAAAAUGUGAGAAGAUUGUCAUUGAUGCAAAACCAAAUUGAAACUCUGUCAGAGGUUCCCACAUGCCCUCAUCUCCUCACUUUAUUUCUUGACUUUAAUUAUAAUUUGAGGAUGAUCGCGGAUGGCUUCUUCCAACUUAUGCCUUCUCUCAAAGUUUUGAAGAUGUCACUCUGCCGGAAUUUAACUUUGAAAUUACCUUUGGGGAUGUCAAAGUUAGGUUCACUGGAACUUCUCGAUAUUUCAUAUACCUACAUACAAGAGUUACCACAAGAGUUAAAGUUGUUGGUAAAUCUGAAAUGUUUGAAUUUGAGGUGUACACACAGGUUAAAUAAAAUUCCACGGCAACUAAUAUCAAAUUAUUCAAGGUUACGUGUGUUGAGAAUGUUCGCUAGUGGCUGGUUCAAUUUUCAUGAAGCAUCAGAAGAAAGCGUUUUAUUUGGUGGGGGUAAAGUUUUGAUACAGGAAUUGCUCGGUUUGAAAUAUUUAGAGGUAUUGGAGUUGACCUUGGGAAGUUAUCAUGCUCUCCAAAUUCUUUUGAGCUCAAAUAAGUUAAAAAGUUGUAUUCGAUCUCUUUACCUCCAUUUGACCGGAGAUACAGCGUCAAUUAUUGAUGCUACGGCUUUCGCAGAUCUAAACCACCUCAAUGAAUUAUGGAUUGAUAAUGGUAUUGAGUUGGAAGAAUUGAAGAUUGAUUAUACGGAGAUAGUACGAAAAAGGCGGGAACCUUUUGUUUUCCGCAGCCUUCACCGUGUUACCAUAUAUAGUUGCAGUAAAUUGAAAGAUGUGACAUUCCUCGUUUUCGCUCCAAACCUCAAGUCUCUUACGCUAUUCAAUUGCGGUGCUAUGGAAGAAAUAAUCAGCGUCGGAAAAAUUGCUGAGACUCCUGAGAUGAUGGGACAUAUAAGCCCUUUUGAAAAUCUCCAAAGGCUUAAUUUAAAAGAUUUGCCAAAUUUGAAGAGCAUCUACUGGAAGCCAUUGCCUUUUACUCGUCUGAAAGAAAUGGCGGUACUUGGGUGCGAUCAGCUUGAAAAGCUUCCGGUCGAUUCCAACAGUGCAAAAGAGCGUAAAUUUGUAAUUCGUGGAGAAGAAGACUGGUGGAACCGACUUCAAUGGGAGGAUGAAGCCACUCAAAUUGCUUUUCGUUCCUGUUUCCAACCUUAUUCCUGAGCGGUGGUCGCAAAAUUUGAUUUCUGGUGAGUGCGUUUUUCUUUGAACUCUUGUACAUAUUCUUGUCGUUUGCUUCACGCAAAACACUAGGUCUUUUCUUCAGUCCGUUACCUACACGCAAAACACUGGUUCUUUUCUCUGUUUUUAUUUCAGUUAGUUUCUCUCUCUCUCUCUCUCUCUGUGUCUUCUGUAAAUCACAAUUAAAUGUUGAAUUAAUGGAAUUAAUGCUUCAUAAAUUUGCCGGCACUGCCGUUACUUUAUUUUAGGGGGGUCGAAUUGGUGCUCUGGUUUUUUACUUUUUGCUGUCAAAUUUUGGCCUUUUUUUUUUUUUUAACAAGUUGAUACUUUAUUUAUAUCUUCUUAGCGAUUUAAUUUCCUGUCAAAAGAGGAACGAGAAGAACAUAUGACUUAAACCAAUGCUCGCAUAAACUUGCUGUAAAAAGAUGUAAUCUCACUGAAAUGCACACGUCUAGAAUGAAUAGAAUUAAAACAGGGAAAAUAUUAAGUAUAUUAGCCCUCUUUACCGAAAAUCAAAUGACAAUAAAUUUUUGGAAGUUUUGAUUUUCUACGGUCAAUUCGACCUUUUGCAAUUUCUUCUGUUCUAACAAAAACCAAAUUCUUUGUUCAAGUAUUUUCGUUUGGGUAUCAAGGAUCUCUAAUCAAUAGCUGGAAGCAAUUCAGAGGGCGCCGAGACCCGAUCCGACCUAGGCCCAAGUUUGGUCUUAAAGCCUGGGCUUGAGCCUGACAAUUAAAUUAAAACAUUAAUUGAUUUAUUGAUUGAAUUGUCGUGCAAUUGAUUUAUGGGGGAUGAAAAUUCAACAUACUUGAAAAUACACUAAUCUUAGCAUCAUCGGUUAAUAACUUUUAGAUUUAUGGGUAAUCAAUAGUUAAGAUCAGUUGUCAUUUAUUUUUUGAAAUGUCCAUAUUCAGUGUACAUUUGAAAAAGACCCAAUAAUUUCUCAUAAAUUUCAAUUAAAAAUAUUCAAUUUGUUAUUUCAGUUCUUUUAUUUUUUAUUUUUUCCAACAUGAAAGCGACUUAAUGUUACUAAAUUGAAGCCGCUGCCCCGCCUGUGGUUCCAAACUUUUAUCUUCCUCCUCCUUUAAAUUAAUGCGAGCAGCCUCCGUCCUUGACUAGUUGACUUCUUUUCUUCUUUUUUAAUUAAUUAAUUAAUUAAUUCAGCCGCCCACCUUUCUUUUCCCAAUGUCUUCUACUUUCGAUUUCCUUUUAUUUUCUCUUUAUUUUUAAAAUAUGCUUAUAGUAAUAAUAAAAAAUAAAAAUAAAAAUAAAAAUAAAAAUGAACAUAUUAAAAUAUAAUUUAUCAGAAAACCAAGAUAAAGAAAUAUUAUAAGCACAUCAAUCAAAAAGUGAAAAAAAAAACAAUUUUAAUUUACAUUAAAUAUAAACUUUCAGUGUUAAUCAACUUUUCUAAAUAACUGAAAUUAUUUAAAAUAAAAAUAAAUUAUUCUUCCCAAAAAAACAAAAAUUACACCCACUCUUGGCUGUAUGUCAAGAUUCGCUUUAAGGACUGAAGUUGGUAACUUUUGCAAGCAGUCUUAAAUUGAAUGGCAGCAACCCACGCUUUCAGAUUUAUGGUUAAUCAAUAGCUGAGAGUUGUUAUCGCUAAUGCCGUGUAUUUUUUUUAAUGUUUUUUCUCUCUCCUACAGCAUCUUCUAGGAAAGUGCAUCCGUUGCUAAAAUUUAGUAUUGUAAAUAAUAAACCAAGAAUAAAUAUUAAAUUUAAGAAACUGUAUUGCAUUUAAUAUUUAAGGGAGAAAAAUAAUUGUAGUGUCUUUAUUAAUCAGUAAAAAGAAAAGAUUAGAAUCAUAAUAAAUUGUAUUGUUAUUGAUGUAUUUAUUUUAUUUUAUACUCAAAAUAAAUUAUUUUAAAUUAUUAAAAUAUUAUUAUUGUUAUUCUAAUAAUAAUUAUUAUUUAAUAUUUAUUAAAAUAUUUGUCAUAUUACUAAAAAAGCAAUAAUAAUAAUGAUAAUAUUGGAAUUGUUGUUUUUUAUCUUAUUAUUAAUCAAAACACUUCUGGUUAGCCCAUUCAUACGUGAAGACCAAAACCAAAUCUCUUCUUCUCCUUCUUUUCUUAAAAUACGGGAUGUGUGUGCUCGGACUGCUCUCUCAUUCUUAAAACAAGACUUUUUGAAUUAUCCAAUUAAGUUAAAUUCUGUGGCAUCUGGUAUUUUCAUUUCUUGUUUAUUUCGCAAGUUAUUAUUGCCUAAUGCUAUGUCAACUCUAACAUUAGCAUAUAUAUUUUUUUUUUGGUCGUCUUUUAACACCAAACAUUAGUGUAGGUUAAGUAACAUAAUCAGUACUGGGACAAUUUGAAAUCCCUUUGUGUUUUAUUCACAGUAUCUAUGAGGGUUUAUCCUUUUGCUAGAACAAACUCUAGCAAAUUGUCAAAUGUACUUAUCCUUUCGCUUGAUGACUCAUUUUAAAAUUGUCUUUCAAUGUACACACACAGAGAUAACCACCGACAUCAAGCACCAAGUUUGGAAUUUAAUUGAUAAGCAUACAUUUGAUAAAUUAAUGAAAAGUUUGGGAGAAUAGUUUUGAUCACCCUCGAUUAGGAUGGUAUCACGAAAAAGAUCAAAAAGAAAACAUCGUCUCUUCUUCAACAAAAAUAAAUAUUUUCCGUUAGAAUUUAAAUAAAAUAAUUAUUUUUUUAUUUUUUGAAUUAAAAUUUAAUUAAAUACACAAAUAAAUUAUAUAUUUUUAAAAAAAAAUUUACACCCAGUCACAAGGCUGGCUAUUAAACUUAAAGGGAAGCUUCGGAGACUAAAGUUGGUAACAUCUCCAAGUGGUCUUAAGUUGACCGGAACUACCCCGACUUUAUGUUUGGUAGCCUAGACCUGAUCGGACCUAGGCCCAAGUUUGGUCUUAAAGUCCACAAUUAAAUUGAUUUGUUAAUUUAAUUGUUGUGUAAUUGAUUUAUGGGGAAUGAAUCAGCAUCCCUAAAAUUACACUAAUCUUGACAUAAUGACAUCAUCGGUUAAAAACGUUCAGAUUUAUGGCUAAUCAAUGGUUUGAGAUUUGUUAUCAUUAAUGCUAAAUAUUUUUUAACAUUUUUUCUAUCUCUCUCUCCUGAAGGAAUUUUCUAAGAAAAUGCAUCCACAACACAAAUUUUAAGGAUCACACUAUGUUACGUUAAACGUAACGUACACACACUCACAGCAACAGUAACAGGUCACGUCUUGUUACUGUUGCUGUGAGUGUGUGUAUAUUACGUUUAACAUAACAUAGCAUAGGCCAAAUUUUAAAUUGUAAACAAUAAACAAAAUAUAAACGUUAAAUUUAAGGAACUGCGUUGCAUUUCAGCUGAAGCUAACUUUAAUAUUUUACGAAAAAAAAUAAUUAAAUCUUUAAUGUGAUUUAUUUAUUAAUAUAUAUGACUAAUUUUUUAAAAUAAGAUGCAGGAUGAAACUUAAAAAUAUAAAUUAUAGAAUUAAUUUCUCUCUUCAAUAAAUCUAAAGUUUAUUUUUUUUAUUACAUGCUUCUAUUUUAUUUUUAUUCCAUGUUAAUGAUUGGAGAUUUAAAUCCAUUUCGGAUUUAUAAAUAUGUUUAGAUAUCUAAAUCCACGUGUGAUUCCAAACUAUAACCUUUUUUUUUUUCUAAUUAAUGCAAACAGCCGCCUCUUUGGACUGCUUUUCUUCUUUGAUUAUUAAUUAAUUAAUUCAGCUGCCCACCUUUCUUUUCCUAAUGUUUUCUACUCUCAAAUUUUUUUAAGGACAAGGCUACGUUGCAGACGCUGUACCUAACAGCUGCACCUUAGCCAGCUUCACAAAGGGUGCAUUUGGUAAGCAAUUUUUCUUUCCUGUGCAUAUGUGUCCUUCCACCAUUGGGUGUACGUAACAGAUAAUGUACCGUAACAAGCUCCUAUUUUUAAAUAUGUUUAUAAUGAUAAAAUAUAAAAAUUAAGAUUAAAAUGUAAUGUAAUAUAAAAUUAAAGGUGGAAGAGUAUUAAAAUAAUGUAUAAGAUAUGAAUAAACAAGUCAAUAAGAAAACAAACAAACGGCAAGAGAAAAGGAAUGGUCAUGCAGAUUUUAAGGUGGCAGUGACAAUGAGAUCUCAUUUUAACCGAUAAAGUCUUUUGAAUUUGUCAACUCAAAAAAAUAGAUUCAAAUGUUUUGUAAUAAAUGAAAAUAUAAUAUUAAAAUAAAUGUGAUAAUAUAUAUUUUAAAUAAUUUCAAUACAAAAAACAUUUGAAUGUUUUAUAAUUUAUUAGACAUAUUUUAUUAUAUUAAUAUAAAUUUUCUAAGAAAUAUGGACAUAAUAUUAAAAUAAAUUUAUGAAAAAUUUAAAUUAUUUUGAAUGUAAAAACAUUUGAAUGUUUUAUAAUUUAUUAGACAUAUUUUAUUAUAUUAAUAUAAAUUUUUCUAAAAAAUAUGGACAUAAUAUUAAAAUAAAUUUAUGAAAAAUUUAAGUUAUUUUGAAUGUAAAAACAUUUUAAUGUUUUAUAAUUUAUUAGAAAUAUUUUAUUAUAUUAAUAUAAAUUUUCUAAGAAAUAUGGACAUAAUAUUAAAAUAAAUUUAUGAAAAAUUAAAUUAUUUUGAAUGUAAAAUAAUUUUAAUAUUAUUAAUCCAUUAAGUAUUAAUUAUAAAAAUUAUUUAACCCAAAGAUUAUUUAUAUCCUUACAAUAAAUAUAAAUAUAUUAUUUGCAUUUAAAAAUUUAAAAAUAUUUAAAUAAUAUUAAUCUACAAUUAUAUUUUCAUUUAUUAUAAAUAUUUAAAGUCAAAUCUUUUGCACUUGUAUUUUAUUACAAUUAUGGCGCACAAAGAAAGAGCCAUAUAUGCUUUAUAGCGUUAGAAAUUGGUUUCUUUUAAAGCUGGAAACAGAGAGGAUGAUUAUUAUAAGGAGAAAAGAAAAAGGGAUAAAGAAUAUUAAUGAUUAACAAAAUCUCUCUGCAAAUUGAUUGCAGUAGAAAAAAAGUGAGCUGAGCAAUCUAAUUUAGUGGUAGAGUGAUAUUUCAUUUGUAGCAAAUUACAUCUCAAGGUUAAAGGAAAGACUUAAGAUCUCAGCUUUUGAUCAUAAUACUUUUUUUAAAGAAAAAAAUUAAUUUUAAUAUUUUAUAAUAAAUAAAAAUAUAAUCUUAAAAUAAAUACAAACACACUAUUAAUAGUACAUAUUUUAAAAUAAUCUCAUUAUUUAAAAUUGUUUUAAUAUUUUGUAAUUUGCCAGACAAAUUUUAUUAUUUUCAAGUAAAUUUUAUAAUAAAUACAAACACACUAUUAAGAUAAAUAUAUGAAAAAUUUAAAGUAAUUUGAAUCUUAUACAAAAUAAUUUUAAUAUUGUUAAUAGUGAGAUAAUUCUAUUAAUUUAAAAUGCUACUUAACCUUAAGAUUUAUUUAAGAUAAAUUAAUAAUUACAUUUUUAAAUUAUUUCAAAUAUUAAAAAUAUUUUAAUAUUAUUUAUCUAUUAGAUAGACUAAAUUAUUUAAAUUAUUUUGUAUAAAUUAAUUCUAUUUAAAGGAUAUUAUGAUAAAAAGAUCUUAGUGUUUUUAUUAAAAAUUUAAAAUUUAUAUGACUAUUUCUUUAAAUAUUUAGGGUAUAUAUGAACCACCGAGGAGAAAAGCUUUAUUUAAUAUUUUUGAAUAGUUUUUGAUCAGUACAAUUGCGUCCUUAUUCAGAAUUAUUGUUCUCUUCCGCAACAGUUUUUGUUUAUCAAAGUCAUCAAUUAAAAUUUUAGAAUUCUUAUCAUCAGAAGUAGUCGUUUUAGAAGUUGGGUCUUGGAUCAAAUUUCUACGAGUGCAUGAAUUAACAAUAAAAAAAAUUUCAUUACACACGGUUUAAGCUACAAAACUACUAUUUGCACAGUUGACUAUAAAACUUACCUCCAAUUACACUAAACCUCUCUAUUUGGUAACGUUGAGACUAAAUUAAUUUUAUUAGCAUGAAAAGAUAAUAGAAAUAUUAUCAUAAAUAUAAUUGUUGUUAAUCAAUUAGUACAUGUGAUAUAAAGGUUAAAUGUGCACUAUAUUUAAUAAAUAAUUAAUGGAACAUGUUAAACAAAAUGUUAAUGUAUAUUUAUAUAGUGUUAGGAAUAUGCAAAGUCAAGUCCUCAAUUUGCAUUAUCCUGUAUAGAAUAUUACUCUAAAAAUGUUUUACUAUAAUUGGCUUAGAACAUUUGUAAAGAAAAUAAUAAUCGUAAUAAUAAAUAACAUACACCGUCACAUAGCAUCUAGACAAUGAUAGAAAAUUAUUAAAGGGAGUGCAAACAAUUAAUUAGAAAUUUUUAUGAUAACUUUUAAUAUUCAUGAUAAUAACAAAUAAAUACAUGUACCACUUUUUAAAAAUAUUAAAUUUGACGUGCUCCAUUAAUAAAUUAUUAUUGUAAUUCAGACUCUAUCUAUAUAUCCUUGCAUUAAGAAUAAUUAAGUCAUAAUAAAAAUUUUCGUAACUACAUCUCAUUUCUUCCUCAUAAUAAUAAUUAGAUUGGUUCGAAUAUUAUAACUAUAUAGAUUUAGGGCGUGUUUGGUGCAUGGGAUUAUGUGGUAUUACACUACUAUUCACAUUAGCUUAUUUCCAAGAAGAUGUUUGGCAAACUUUGACACCUCAUUAUGCUGCAUUAUAAUGCAGCAUAAUGAGGCAUGGGGCCGCAUUACGCAAACCCGAGGGAACCUCGGGUUUGCGUAAUGCAGAAGCUUUUUGCCUCAAUUGAGGCAACAGUUAAUGCCUCAAUUGAGGCAAAUUUAUUUUAUUAAAAUAUUAUAAAAAUAAAUUAUUUUAUUAUUAAAUACUAAUAUAAUGAAUAAAAUAUAAAAAUAAAUUAUAUGAUAAUAUUAUUUUAUUUAUUAAUGAUUCAUAUAAAAAUAAUAUAUUAAUAUUAUAAUAUUAUUUACAUUAAUAUUAAUUUUAAAAUUAAUAUUAUUUAAAUUUAUAAUUAUUUAUGUUAAAUUAUAAAUUUAUUAAUAUAUUAAAAUGUAAAAAUAAUAAUAUAUUGUAAAUUAAAAUAUAAUUGAAUAUUAUUGAAUAAUAAUUUAUUAAUUUAUAUUAACAAUUAUAAUAUUAAUUAUAAUCUAAAUUUAUUAUUUACAUAUAAUAUUAAAUUUUAUAAAUUUAUUUUAUCAUAAUUAUAAUACAAAUUUUAGAAAUUUAAUCAUUAAUUUUUAAUAUUUACUAAAAAAAUUGUUAAAUUUCUACAAUUAAGAUUUCUAUAUUUAUUAUUUUUCUAAGUAUUAAUAAAUAUUAAUUUUUAAUUAUUUAAUUUAAUUAAUUAUAAAAAUUAAUACAAUACAAUGUAACACCAAAUAUAGUUUAAUUAAAAAUUAAUACAGUACAGUGUAGCACCAAACAUUGUACAGCAUUAUUAUAAUACAAUACUAACGCAAUACAGCAUAAUACAAUACACCAGCAUUAAAAUAAUGCAAUACAACAUAAUACAAUACAAUGUACCAAACGCACCCUUAGUGUAUAGCCACAUCCAAUUUAAAUAUUGACCCAAUUGGGAUGGUCCCCAAAAAAAAAAUUCGUUAAAGGAUAAUUCUAAUUAUUUUUACUUCUCAAACGUUAGUGGGACGUUUCUAUUAGCGCACUCGUAAGCCAAGUUGUCAAAUAUUUAUAUUAAACUACAAUUGCUGACAAGAAAAAUCAAGAUCGUGUUGCGCAAGUGGGUCCCGAAUAGGACGUGCCUAAAUCUCUCGUAAGCCAAGUUGUCAAAUGUUUAUAUUAAACUAACAAUUGCUGACUAGAAAAAUCAAGAUCGUAUUACAAGUGGGUCCCGAAUUGGACGUGCCUAAAUCUUUUUAUAAUUUUCCCAGUGUAGCGGACAGAGGUCAUUACUAAAUUUCUCUUCCACACGCCACAGCAGCUUCGGUUAAUCAAACUCAAUCAAUUUUCUUGGCUUCUCCGCUUAUCAAUAUUACAAGGUAUGGGUAGCAUUUUUCAAAUCACAUGCGAUGGUACUAUUUUCAAUCGUUGCUUAGAUUGCUUUCUUGGAAAAGCAGCAUACAUAAGUAACCUCCAAGAUAAUCUCGUUGCCUUGGAGACUGAACUAAGGAAACUAAUCGCAGCAAAGAACGAUGUGAUGACGGCGGUUGUCAAUGCUGAACGGCAACAAAUGAGAAGGCUGGACCAAGUGCAAGUGUGGGUUUCGAGGGCGGAAGCUGUUAAAACUGAAGCUGAUGAACUUAUCAGAGGCGGCUCUCAAGAAAUUGAAAAAUUAUGUCUUAGAGGGUUCUGUUCCAGGAACUGCACGUCAAGCUACAAGUUCGGAAAACAAGUGGCUAAAAAGCUACGAGCUGUGGAGACUUUAAUCGCCGAAGGAGUUUUUGAGGCGGUGGCUGCCGAGGUGGUGCCUGAGAGAGCUCCAGAGCCUGUAGCAGAUGAAAGACCUACCGAGCGAACAGUAGUAGGCUUGCAAUCACAACUUGAACAAGUCUGGAGAUGUCUUGCAGAAGAAUCAGCGGGAAUCAUUGGCCUAUAUGGUAUGGGCGGUGUUGGUAAAACUACACUAUUGACCCAUAUCAACAAUAAAUUUCUCGAGAGUCCAACCAACUUUGAUUGUGUGAUUUGGGUAGUAGUUUCAAAAGACCUGCGACUUGAAAAAGUUCAAGAAAAUAUUGGGAAAAAGAUAGGUUUGGUUGAUGAUUCAUGGAAGAGUAAAAGUGUAGAGGAGAAAGCUCUCGACAUCUUCCGGAGUUUAAGAGAGAAGAGAAUUGUAUUGCUGUUAGAUGAUAUAUGGGAGCGGGUUGAUUUAACAAAAGUGGGCGUUCCACUUCCAGGACCACAAAAUACUACCUCAAAAGUCGUAUUCACAACCCGUUUCAUCGAUGUUUGUGGUAGCAUGGAAGCUGACAGGAAGUUCCAAGUAGCAUGCUUAUCAGAAAAGGAUGCUUGGGAACUGUUUCGAGAAAAAGUUGGGGAAGAAACUCUUCAGAGUCAUCAUGAUAUCGUUGAGCUAGCCCAAAUUGUGGUCAAAGAGUGUGGUGGUUUGCCACUCGCACUUAUUACUAUUGGUCGAGCUAUGGCCUACAGAAAGAAAGCGGAGCAGUGGAGACGUGCAAUUGAAGAGUUAAGGAGAUCAGCCUCAGAGUUUGCAGGUUUGGGAAAAGAGGUGUAUACUCUUUUGAAAUUCAGCUAUGAUAGUUUGCAGAAUGAUACGGUUAGAUCUUGUUUCUUGUAUUGUUGUUUAUAUCCUGAAGAUUAUGGCAUUCUUAAAUGGGACUUGAUUGAUUGUUGGAUUGGCGAGGGAUUUUUUGGGGAAUCUGACAGGUCUGGUGCAGAAAACCAAGGAUAUGACAUUUUGGACACUCUUGUUCGUGCAUGUUUAUUAGAAGAGGUGGAAGAUGAUAAAGUAAAAAUGCAUGACGUUGUUCGUGAUAUGGCUGUAUGGAUAACCAGUGAAAUUGAGAAAGGGAAGAGAAACUUUUUGGUUCGUGCAGGUGCUGGAUUAAAAGAGGCACCGGAUGUUAAAGGAUGGGAAAAUGUGAGAAGAUUGUCAUUGAUGCAAAACCAAAUUGAAACUCUGUCCGAGGUUCCUACAUGCCCUCAUCUCCUCACUUUAUUUCUUGACUUUAAUGAGAAGUUGAAGAUGAUCACGGAUGGCUUCUUCCAAUUUAUGCCUUCUCUCAAAGUUUUGAAGAUUUCACACUGUGGUAGGAAUUGGAAAGAUUUGAAAUUACCUGUUGGGAUGUCAAAGUUGGGUUCACUAGAACUUCUUGAUAUUUCACAUACGCUGAUAACAGAGUUACCAGAAGAGUUAAAGUUGUUGGUAAAUCUGAAAUGUUUGAAUUUGAGGUCGACAGAAUUGUUAAUUAGAAUUCCACGGCAACUGGUAUCAAAUUCUUCAAGGUUACGUGUGUUGAGAAUGUUCGCUACUGGCUGGUUAAAUUUUCAUGAAGCACCAGAAGACAGCGUUUUAUUUGGUGGGGGUGAAGUUUUGAUACAGGAAUUGCUCGGUUUGAAAUAUUUAGAGGUAUUGGAGUUGACCUUGCGAAGUUAUCAUGCUCUCCAAAUUCUUUUGAGCUCAAAUAAGUUAAAAAGUUGUAUUCCAUCUCUUUUCCUCCAGUUGGCCGGAGAUACAACGUCGAUUAUUGAUGCUGCGGCUUUCGCAGAUCUAAACCACCUCAACGAUUUAUUUAUUUAUAAAGGCAUUCAGUUGGAAGAAUUGAAGAUUGAUUAUACAGAGAUAGUACAAAAAAGGCGGGAACCUUUUGUUUUCCGCAGCCUUCACCGUGUUUCUAUUGGGGGGUGCGAUAAAUUGAAAGAUGUGACAUUCCUCGUUUUUGCUCCAAACCUCAAGUCUCUUUGGCUAUUCGAUUGCGGUGCUAUGGAAGAAAUAAUCAGCGUCGGAAAAUUUGCUGAGACUCCUGAGAUGAUGGGACAUAUAAGCCCUUUUGAAAAUCUCCAAAGGCUUGAAUUAUGGGAUUUGCCAGCUUUGAAGAGCUUCUACUGGAAGCCAUUGCCUUUCACUCAUCUGAAAGAAAUGGUGGUACAUGGGUGUCAUCAGCUUAGAAAGCUUCCACUCGAUUCCAACAGAGCAAAAGAGCGUAAAUUUGUUAUUCGUGGAAAAGCAGACUGGUGGAACCGACUUCAAUGGGAGGAUGAAGCCACUCAAAUUGCUUUUCGUUCCUGUUUCCAACCUCGUUCCUGAGCGGUGGUCGCAAAAUUUGAUUUCUGGUGAGUGCAUUCGUCUUUUAAAAGAAGAAUUUAAAAGAAAUUUAUUCUUGUCGUUUUCUUCUCUGUUUUUAUUUCAGUUUCUUUCUCUCUCUCUCUCAAGGAUCUCUAAUCAAUAGCUGGAAGCAAUUGAGAGGCGCCGAGACCCGAUCGGAUCUAGGCCCAAGUUUGGUCUUAAAGCCUGGGCUUGAGCCUGACAAUUAAAUUAAAACAUUAAUUGAUUUAUUGAUUGAAUUGUUGUGUAAUUGAUUUAUGGGGGAUGAAACAUCAACAUACUUGAAAAUACACUAAUCUUAGCAUCAUCGGUUAAUAACUGUUAGAUUUAUGGGUAAUCGUAAUCAAUAGUUAAGAUUAGUUGUCAUUAAUACUAAAUAUUUUUUACUAUUUUUGUCUCUACUAGAGGAUCUUCUAGAAAAAUGCAUCCACAACAAAAUUUAAUAUUUUACAUAAUAAACAAAAUAUAAAUGUUAAAUUUAAGAAACUGCAUUGCAUUUCAGCUGAAGCUGACUUUAAUAUUUAGGGUAGAAAAACAAUUAAAUCCUUAAUGUGUUUAAUUUCUAUCACUUGUGUCAUUAAAAUUUUCUAGCCACCUUAACCAAUUACAUCUCAACCCACUUUUUUUGGAUGAUUUUAUUUUUACACAAUUAUUUUCAACAUAUCAUGAUGUAUUCGUCAAAAGCUGGAAAUGACUGUUGCCCGUCAAAAUUCACAUUUUUUCCUUAACGAUAAAGUUUUAAUAUAAUUUUGAAGUUAUAACGUCAUAAAUAUAUUGCAUAAUAAUAAGAAAAAGGACCUAAAUGGUAAAAGUGAUAAAUAAUAAGAUCGAAGUAUCAUUUUCCAAUGUUAAAUGAGGCAAUGCCAUUCUCCGGUUCUCUUCUUUAAAUGCGUGAUGUGUGUGCUCUGUUUUCUCUAUUAUUCUUUUUCUCUUUUAGAUUUUGAGAACGUAAAGGGUGCAGGAGUCUUUAUCUUGUUAAAACAAGUCUUUUCGAAGUAUUCAACUAAAUUAAAUCAUGGCCUAAUGCUGUGUCAAUUCCAUCAUCAGCAUUUUUUUUUUCCUUUUUAACACCAACAUCAGUGUAUGUUUGGAUAAUUUGAAAUCUGUUUGUGUUUUAUCUCAAAGUAGAGCUUCAAUCAAUUUGUACCUCACAAAUUCACAAUAUCUAUUAAGGAUAAUAAGACCGAACUCUGGCAUAUUGUCAAAUGUGCUUAUCCAAUUCCAAAUUAAAAUGUUGACAGUGUUUCAUCAACCAAGAACUUGUCUUCGAUAGUUAAUCGGAUUAAAGGGAAUAAUUAAUGAGAGCAAUUAAUUAAUAUUAGCCGGCAUCGUCUGUUUCAUAGGUACUCGUGGUUCACUAACAUAAGCGUUGAAUUUGUAUAGUAGCUUGUUCCUUUCCUUCGGUUUUACUUAAUGAAAACCUUGGCUAGAUCGUACACCAAUGUAAAAUCGAAAACCCUUAUGCCACGAAGAGUUCUUAGUGCAAUUGAGAUCAAUGAUAAUCAGCUGAUAGGGAAAACAUUGUCUGAUUGUCAUAAACAAACUUCUUGAAAAUGCCAUCAGUAACAUGGAAGAUUUGGAGGUUAUUCAAAUGCUGACUUCAGGAAUGCAGAUUAAUAUAUUAUGGAGACAGAUUGAGUGCAAUGGCUAAUUGUAACAGGGAAUUUUUAUUGUACAAACAGACCAGCCAGCAAAGAAUAUUCCAAAUCUAGGACUAAACAAGUCAAUAAUAAAAUAAACAAACGGCAAGAGAGAGUGAUUAUAUCUACAACACCAUCGGCUACUACAAAUUCAACUUUUCAACAGUUGUUACUCACCAUGAACAGAAAAAAGAAAAUUACAACAAAAAAUUGGUUGCUAAAAGACGUCUAUUCAUGGUAAUGCCUCUCAAAUGGGUUCAAAACAUGGAAGAAAAGCAUUUAGUGUGGCUUCAUCGUCCCAUUUCAGCUCACUCCACCAGUGUUGCAGGGGCUUAGUCAAAGUGGCUUUCAAGAAGUUUUAUUACCACCUCAGUUCAAAUCCUAAGAGAGGUAGGAGGAUAAAAGAAUUAAUUUGGACUUUACCUAGCCCUCUACCUUUGUUAAAUUUAUGUUAAAAAAAAAAAUAGAUUUGAGAUUGGUAAUAUCCUUAUUUUUUGUUUUCAAAGGAAACUGAUUUAGGACCAAUGAGACUUUGAUCCAAUGGGAGAAGCCUUUCACUUAUAAUGUUAAGUAUAAGGGUUCGAUCCUCCAUAAGAGCUUUAUGAAGGUUAAUUUCAGUACUUCCUUAGUUAUCAGUUAAUUGAGUGGAGACAGUCUCUCCCUUACGAAAUGUGAGUGGAGUAGGCACCCCUCGAAUAUUAGAGAAGGUUUAAAGUAUCUGAGCAAGUGCUUUAGUGGGUUAAUAUAUGGCGGUAGUUCCAGUUGUUUAGUAUGAUUGUAGUACGAUUGUAUAUAUUAAUUGUAAUAUCUAAUGUAAUAUCAAUAACAAUCUGUGCAUAACAGAAUUCAAAAAAAGAAAAGAAAAAAGAAAACUGAUUUAGGUGGUUUCUUGGUUAAGACUUUUUCUUUAGCAUACUUAGUUCCACGUGCUAUUUAGAUAUUUUUCGACAUACUUAUUACUUAGUUCCACAUGCUAUUUAGAUAUAUUUCGACCAAAUGAACAAGCGCAAGCCAUUGACACUUAGCUUAAUUUCAGGGUCAAGCUAUAUUUGAAACUCAAAUAUUAACCUAUUAAUAUUUUCAAUUCAUUCAAUUAUAAAUUAGAGAUGAUAGAAAUUCUCAUAGGAACAGGGGCCCUAGGGGAUUUUAGAGGAUUUUUCCCAUUCGGGAAGGGUAGGAGACAAUUUUAUAUCAAGUUUCUUAUUCCCAGAGACUAUAAUAUUUUUUUACCUAAUUUCUUAUUCAGGGAAGAUAUGGAGAUGAUGUGGACUUUCCAUCCCCUCCCAAUUCUCCAUUUUUAUUUUUAAUUUUUAUAUUAUUUUUCUAGAAUUAUUAGUGAAAAUAAUAAAAUUUAAAUUGUAAAAAUUUUAUUAAUGAAUAAAUAAAAAUAAAAAUUUUAGACACCUUUUUCCCAAACUUGUAGCUUGACUUGCAGUUCUUGGAGCAGUAGCCUCCAAGACAGUUUUUCAAUUUCUCGAGAGCCGUCCCUUGUCAAUUCACCAACUUCAGCUUCCACAGCCGCCACCCUUGAGGUGAUGUUUGGUUGGGAGGAGAGAAUGGGGGAGAGGAAAGUAAUUUAAAUUCUACUUUUAUUUUUAUUGUUUGGUUGCACGAAAUAUAUAAGAAUUUAAUUUCCAUUAGAAUUUAAUAUCCUUUAUAAUCUAGAAUUUGAAUUCCACACCAAAGAGUGAAGAAUUCAAAUUCCUCUUAGGUUGAAAACCCAAGUUUCCAAAUUUGUCCUUCAACAUUUUAACUUGUUUAAUGCUAUUAAUAAUUAUUAUUUAUAAUUUUAUUUUAUCAAUUUAAUAUUAUAAAUAAUUUAAUAUUAAUUAAAUUUAAUGAAUGAUUUAAGACAUUUAAUAAAAUAAAUAAACUUAUUUAUUUAUUUAAUAUGCAAAUAUAUAAAUAUAAAUUAACUAUCGCCGGAACUUCGCUGGACCGUCGCCGGAAGCUGUCGAAAUUUCACCGAAAAGUCACCAACCACUGUUGAUCGGCGUUGGCUUAUGUUGACCGCUACUGUUGACCGGCUUUUAUUUAUAUUAAAUUAUAUUAAAUAGUUUAGUAUAUUAAAUUAUUUUAUAUUUUAUAUUAAAUAUAAAUCAUGAAUUGUUUCAUAACUUUUUGAAAUUAAAAAAAAUUGGUAUUAAUAUUAAAUUAUAUUUUAUUACUAAUAUAGAUAAUUUAGUAUUUAAGGUAAAGGAUAAAUUUGUCCAAAGAAAAAAAUUAUAAUUUCUUUCCUUAUCAAAUUUGAUGUCAAACCAAACAUUGAAAUUUAAUUUUAUUAAUCUCUUCCACUCAUUUCUCCUCCAUUCCACUUUUUUCUUCUCCUCUCCUUUUUUAAAACCAAACACCACCUGAAAGCCAACCUUGCACUUUGUUCAGCCGUCUCAGUUGUUGCUGCUCAGGAUUGGCGACCCUCAUCAUCACAUCGUUCUUUGGUUCAAUUAAUUUCUGCAAUUCGGUCUGGAUGGCAACCAGGUUAUCUUCAAGCUGGCUUAAAUAUCAUGCUUUUCUGCGGGUACAAUUUAUGAAGCCAGUGAAAAUUACGCAUACAAUAGGAGUGCAACACAGUGUGUAUUCGGUUGUGGUGUCUAUGAUUUUGCAGUCGCAGAAGCUUAUUCACCUUAUGAAGACUGAUCAGGUGGGCACCGUCGCUCUCCUUACAUUCUUAUGGAGAGCGAUAGUCCAUGUAGUCAGAUCUCACUGAGAGAACUAGCCGAGUGGGCAAUCGCUCCGCCUGAUCAAAAUUUGUCAUCUUAUAAUAAUAUCUUGAGUAGGUCUUGAAUUUUUUUUCCAAUUUUAAUCUUUAAAAGGUAGAAGAGGUGAAAAAAACCUAAAUAGUAUUUGUGUCCUCCUAAAUAACAUUUCUUGAACAUCAAUGGAUCUUAAAACUUAAUUAAGAAAAUAUUAUAGAUUUAUAAAUUAGUGGCCCUUAAAAUUUAUUUGCAAGUAACAAUUAGAGAAAAGUCGUCAGGCCCAAAAGACUUAGAGCAUCACCAAAAGACUCUUCAAAUAAGAUUUUAUUAAUUAUUUGAAGAGCCAUCUCAAUAUUUAAGACUCCAAAAGACACUCCAAUUAAGAUUCUUCAAAUAAGAAAUAAUUCUCUCUCUUCAAAUUUGGAGAGUUGAUUUCUCCCUCUUCAAUUUAUACUUUAUUACUUUCCAUUGGAGAAAAAGAGAGAAGUGCUUUAAUUGCUAUUGACUUUUUCUUUAAAAAAAUAAUUAUUUGAUUAAAAUAAUAUUAAGUUAUUUCUAUUUGAAGAGUCUUUUGGAGAAUAUUAUUUUUUUUUACUCUUCUAUUUGCCACAUAGAUAAGCAAAUAGAUAUUUGAAGAGUAAAAUUUAUAGAGUCUUUUGGAGAUGCUCUUACUAAAAGUCGGCAACUCGUCAUGACCAAAAUUCUUCCGAGUGUGAAAUACGGCAUGCGCAGAUGCAUUAAAAACAAAAGCCAGCUAAGAUAUUCUUUGUAUACUUGCAUUCCCUAUCAUCUUAUUAAUAAUUUCAGACACGUCGUUCGUUCCCUGUGACUUUUCAUAUGCAACAGCACAGUCAGUGUUACAAUUUACAUUUCGAAUUGGGUGUCAUCUAUAUACUCUACCUAGAUCUAACAUGAUAUUGCAGUAUUGCACUGAUUUUUUUGUCGCAGCGUUUCUCUAUGAAUUCCUUAAACUUUAAACACAUCAUGGAAUAAUUAUUUUCUUAAAGACCAAAUUAACAUAAUUCUUAAAUCAUUUAUAAAACAACAUUUAUCAUAUAACAGAUCGUACACGAAUCAAUUUUCCUUGAACAGUAGCAAACAAACAAGAAUCUCAACCACAUCACGAGAUCGCCCACGUCAAACCAAGUAUUCUUAAUGAGUGGACCAGCUAAUAUAUUCAAAAUUGGAAUUAAUUGAGGAUAAUGAUUAGUGCUAAUACAUUUGCAAAGAAAAAUCAUGCCUAUUGAAAAACUCAUCUUAUUAGCAGCAGCGUUAUAAGUAGCAUCCAAUCAUAGUUUCACGCAAGAUUUUGAGAUUAUUCAAAUGCUGAUCCCGGGAAUGGAGAUUAAUAGAUAAUGGAGACAGGUUGACUGCAAUGGCUAAUUGUAAGAGGGAUUUUUAGCCGUAAAAACAGAUCAACUAGCAAAGCAAAUUCCAAAUCUUGGAAUGCAGUAGCAAAAAAACGAAACAAACAAAUGGCAAGAGGAAGUGACUAUACAACAAUAACAUCGACUUGCAAUUCAACAUUUAUACAGUUUUACACACCAAGAAAAGAAAAAAUUACAAUAGAAAUUUGGCCACUAAAAGAUGCUCGUUCAUGCUUAUGCCUGUCAUAUGGAUUUGAAACAUGGAGUAAAAGCAUUUAGAGUGGCCUCAUCCUUCCACUGCAGCUCAUUCCACCAGUAUUGCUCUCCCCUAAUAACAAGUUUUCGUUCCUUGGCGCUGUUGUAAUCGAGUGGAAGCUUCUUGAGAUUCGGGCAGCCAGAUACAAACAAUUCCAAGAGAUUUGGAAAGGGCAAUGCAUUCAAACAGAUCUUCUUCAGAUUUCUUACAACUUGCAACCGAAGAUAUUGGAGUUUCGAAAAAGUUUUUUGCACUGGAACUUCUGGAACUUCUUCCAAUUUCCAAACACUGAUUAUUUCUUCCAUCUCAUAACAACGUUCUACAUGGACCAUCUUGAGAUUUGGGGCAAAAACAAGCCAUGUCAUCUCCCUCAAUUUACUGCAAUAGUCUAUGGUAACACUUUGAAGGCUGUUGAAACCAUAAAGUUCUCUUGUUGUUUGAAUUUCUGCAUAGUCAACCUUUAGCUCUUCCAAACUUGUACAAUACACAAAAUCUAGUUUGUCAAGAUACUUGAGAUCUGCUAUGGACAAAAUAUUCCAUGACCUUGAAUCCUCACAGCGGCGAAGCUCUAAAGCAUAUUUACAACUCUUGUACUGUUGGCAGCUCAAAAGUCUUCGUAGAGCAUAAAAACUUCUUAACGUGACGCUUAAUACAUUUAAAUGUUCCAAAGUAAUCAACUCCUCUACCAAAAUUUCACUACCACCAAAUAGAACGCUAUCUUCUGGUACUGUAUUAGCAGAGCCACAAUCUAGCAUCCUCAACACCUUUAACCCAGAAAAAUUACAAAGCAGUUGCCGUGGAAUCGUAUGGAGAUAACGCAUGUACUCCAAGUUCAAACACUUUAGAUUUUUCAAGGCUUUUAAUUCAUGUGGCAACUCUUUGAUGAAAGUUUCUGAAAGAUUAAGAUAUUGUAGUGAAACCAAUUUUGAAAUUCCUGAAGGCAAUUGACUCAAGGAGCGAUUCUUUGAUAGGUUUAAAACUUUAAGAGAAGGCAUAAAAUCGAAGAAAUCACUAGGGAUAGUAUCUAACAUAUUAAUGCCGAGGAACAAAGUUAUAAGAUGAGGGCAUAUUGGAGUUAUUGGUAAAAUCACAAUUUUAUUUCUCAUCAACGAUAUCCUUCUCUUAUCUUCCCAUUGUUUAACUUCGGGUGGUUCAGUUAAUUCAAUACCGGCAGAAACCAAAAAGUUUUCAUUCUCCACUUCACAGGCUAUCCACAAGGUCAUAUCACGAAUCACAUCAUGCAGUUUUACAUAAUCUGAUCCUGCUUCUUCCAAUAGGCAUGCAUGAACAAGAACACCAAUAAUGUAGUAUCCUUGGUUAUGUACUCCAUUAAUUCCUUCAUAUUCCUUCAGAAAACCCUCACCAAUCCAACACCCUAUCAAUUCAAUUUUGCUAAUUUGAUAAUCCUCAGGAAAUAAACUACAGUAUAACAGACAAGAUCUAAGGACGUCACUAGACAAACUAUCAUAACUGAAUUUUAAAAGACGAAACACCUCUUUCUCCAUACCUGGAAAUUCAUAAGCUGAUCUCCUUAACAUCUGAAUUGCAUAGCUCCAUUCUUCGGGUGUCUUCUUGCUGCUCAUGGCACGACCGGUGGUAAUAAGUGCAAGUGGCAAACCACUACACUCCUUUGCCACAGUUUGGGCUAACUCCGGAAUAUCGGGAUGACUUUCAAGAGUCUCUUCUCCGACCUUCUUUAGGAACAAUUCCCAAGCAUCUUGAUCUGCCAAACACUCCACCUUGAACUUUUUUUGAGCUUCCAUGAGGCCACAGACGUCCACAAGACGAGUUGUAAAGACUAUCUUUGAUGCAUUUCUUGAACUCGCAGGAAAAGGGACACCCACUUUGGCUAAAUCAAUUCUUUCCCAUAUAUCAUCUAACAAUAGCAGAAAUUUCAUUUUGCUCAAUAAAUUGAAUAUGCCUGAUGCUUUCUCUUCAAAGCUUCUAUUCUGAAGCCAUCCUAUUCUUUCUCCGAUUUUCUGUUGUAUUCUCUCAAGUUGCAUGUCUUUUGACACCACCACCCAAAUCACAAUAUCAAAAUAAUUUGGUGUAUUAAGGAACCUGUUGUUGAUUUGGGUUAAUAGUGUAGUCUUGCCGACUCCCCCCAUGCCAUAAAGUCCGAUGAUUCCAAAUUGUCCUUCUACAAGACAUCUCCAAACUUUAUCAAAUGUUGAUUCUAGGCCGAUUAUUGUUGGCUGAAGAGGCCUUUCAUCCACUGCUGGUUGUGGUACCUUUUCAGCUACCACUGCAAAAGCUCCAUCAUCUAUUAAAGUAGCCACAAGCUGCAGCUUUUUAGACACCUUUUUCCCAAACUUGUAGCUUGACUUGCAGUUCUUGGAGCAGUAGCCUCCAAGACAUAGUUUUUCAAUUUCUUGAGAGCUGUCCCUUGUCAAUUCACCUACUUCAGCUUCCACAGCCUCCACCCUUGAAAGCCAACCUUGCACUCUGUUCAGCCGUCUUAGUUGUUGUUGCUCAGCAUUAGCGACCCUCAUCAUCGCAUCGUUCUUUGUUUCGAUUAGUUUCUGCAAUUCGGUCUGGACGGCAACCAGGUUAUUUUCAAGCUGGCUUAGAUAUGCUGCUUUUCUGCGGGUACAAUUUAUGAAGCCAGCGGAAAGGGCAUCACAUAUAAGUUGGAUUCCCAAAAUAUUACCCAUAGUUUGUAUGAGAUUCAGAGUACAAUAGAAGGAAUGCAACACAGUAUGUAUUCGGUUGUGGUGUUUAUGAUUUUACAGUCGCAGAAGCUUAUUCACCUUGUGAGGGCUGGUCAGGUGGGCACCAUCACUCUCCUUACGCUUUAUAGAGAGCGAUAGUCCAUGUGGUCAGAUCUCAUUCAGAUAACUAGCCAAGUGGGCAAUCGCUCCACCUUAUCAAAAUUCUUCAUCUUAUAAUAAUAUCAUGAGUAGGCCUUGAAUUUUUCUUUUAAUUUUAACAUUUAAAAGGUGGUGGUGAAAAAGUCUAAAUAGUAUUUUUGUCCUCGUACUUUAAUAACAUUUCUUGAAAGUCACUCGAUCUCAAAAUUUAAUUAAGAAGAUAUUAUAGAUUUAUAAGCCCUUAAAAUUUAUUUGCAAGUAAGCCCAUAAGACUUACUAAAAGUCGUCAACUCGUCAUGACCAAAAUUGAAAAUUCUUCCGCGUGUGAAAUACGGCAUGCACAGACGUAUUAAAAGCAAAGGCCAGCUAUGAUAUUCUUCGUAUACUUGCAUUCCCUAUCAUCUUAUUAAUAAUUUCAGACACGUAGUUCGUUGCUUGUGAUUUUUCAUAUGCAAAAGCACAGUCAGUGUUACAAUUUACAAUUACAAUUGGGUGCCAUCUAUAUACUCCUUCCUUGUUUUCAAAAUAUGUUGUAGGAUGGGUAAUUGUAACAAAAGUGAUUUUUAAAAAGAUUUAUUAUAAUAUUAAAAUUAACUUUUAAUUUUUUUAAAUUAUUUUUGAGCUUUCUGAAAAAAAAAUCCUAAACCGGUCUCAGAAGUAUAAUUAGAACCACGAAUUUAUAAAAUGAUCAAAGGAAUCCAUCGCCUAAUAUUAUAGUACGCAAUGGAUUGCUAUAAACUAAAUUGCUAUGAUCUCACUUCAUAAUAAUUUAUUUUCAAUCUCCAUCAUGGUAGAAAAAUUUCAUCAAUCAACAUACCCUACCACCACCCAAUAGUCGACCAUUUAUCAUCUUCUAUCCGUAAAAAAACGAAAAAAAAAAAAGAGAAAAGGAAAAAUUUAGUCCACAAAAGAAAAUAUCGCAAGACCAAACAGAGAGAGAAAAUAGAAAAAGCAAAGAGCUGUACUGAAUACCGGCGGUGAUGGCUCGGUACUUGACCAUUUAGGUUUGAUUCUGCAUUAACAUAAUAUUUUUUCUGCACUGCAUUCACAUCACAACCAUUGAAUAGUCGUGAUCUAUUUUUCUAAAGCGAAUAAUAUUAUCUUCUCGUGUCGGUGGCUUGAUCAUAUAACAAAAUAGACUAAUAAUGUUUCAAUAGACAUUUUGGUAAAUGGAAGAAGUUAUGAUCUGUCCAUUUUUAUGUUACUUUAUUUUAAUUUGUUAAUUACUAUUAAUAUCUUUGAGUGGGGCAGAAUCUUGACCUAAGAUAUAGGGAUGGCAAUGGGGCAUAUAUGGGUUGGAUUUACUCUGCUCCAUAUCCAAAUCCAUAAUAAAAAUUAAGAUCCGUAUCUGCUCCAGAUCCGUCAUGAAUCCAUAUUUUUCGGUCCAUAUUCAGAUCCAAAAAAGAAAUAAAUAUCUAUAUCUACUCCAAAUCUGAAAAAAAUUAAAAUCCAAAUCUGCUCUAAAUCUGUCAUGAAUUCUAAAAUUCAGUAAUAAAAAAUUAAUAAUUUUUUAGAUUGAAAAUUGAAGGCUAAAAUGUAUUGAUAACAAAUAAAUUAUAUAAUUUUUCUCAAAAAUAUAAUAAAUAUUGUAUCUUAUACUUUUUCACCAAAACAACAAAUAAGAAAGAUAAUAAAAUAUCAUUUAGAAGUAAUUGCAGGAGUAAGAUCAAUCUAAUAUUAUAUUGUCUCCUUCAUCAUUCUAAUAUCCACGAUACACCUACCCUCAUUCCUACAACAUUAGAUAAUGACAUAUAAAUUAAAUAUGAUUUAUAUUCAGUCCUUUAUUAUUUUUAUUAUGACCAUAUUUGACUAAAUAUAUGAAUAACUAUAUUUCUUAAAAAUUAUUUGGCCAAUAUAAUAAAAUAAAUUGCCAAGUUAUAUUACUUGGCUUACAAUUUAAAUAUUGCAUGUACAUGCUUUGGGGUUGGCUGGCCUUUAAAUUUACAAAACUAACUUUUAAGUUUUAAGAGUUUAAAUGCAUGGUAAAUACUACUAAUAUGCUAUGAAUAAAAUUUAUUAUCAUUAUAAUUCCACAAUUGUUAAGAAACUUUUAAAAUAAAAUAAAAUUAAAAGAUGAGUGGAUAUGGAUAUGGAUUUAGAUAUUAAGAUAGAUCCAAAUCUGCUCCAGAUCCGUCUUAGAUCCGCACAUCGAUAUCCAAAUCCGAUCCAAAUCUAUUUUAAACCGAUCCAAAUCCGAUCCGAUUGGAUUUGGAUCACGUGGAUCUUGGAUCAGAUCCAAUCCAUUGCCAUCCCUACUAAGAUAUGACUAGGCUCCACAUGUUAUAUAUUAAUUUGAUUAAGCCCAGCUAAUUGUUAAUUAUUAAUUUGAUUGCGGCUUUUUAUUUUACCCACAUUUUUUACGCGUGAAAUCUUUCUUAGUGAAAAACUACACGUAUUUGCAAAUAUUCGGAAUGGACAUUUUCGAAAAAACAAGUAAAAGAAAAUGACUAAAAAGUAAAAGAAAAUAGACACCCAAUUGUAAUUACGAGUACAAUAGAAGGAAUGCAACACAAUACCGAUUUUGCAGUCGCUGAAGCUUAUUCACCCUAUGAGGGCUGAUCAGGUGGGGGCCGUCGCUCUCCUUACACUCUUAUAGAGAGUUAUAGUCCAUGAUCUCAUUGAGAGAACCAGCCAAGUGGGCAAUCGCUCCACCUGAUCAAAAUUCUUCAUCUUAUAAUAAUACCUUGAGUAGGCCUUCAAUUUUUUUUUUCAAUUUUAAUCUUUAAAAGGUAGAAGAGGUGAAAAAGUUAAAUAAUAUUUUUGUCCUCCUAUAUAACAUUUUUUGAAAAUCACUCGUUCUUAAAACUUAAUUAAGAAAAUAUUAUAGAUUUUUAAGUUAGUGGCCCUUAAAAUUUAUUUGCAAGUAACAAUUAGAGAAAAGUCGUCAUGCCCAAAUGACUUACUAAAAGUCUGCAACUCGUCAUGACCAAACAUCUUCCGAGUGUCAAAUACGGCAUGCGCAGAUGCACUAAAAACAAAGGCCAGCUAUGAUAAUCUUUGUAGUAUUAAUAAUUUCAGACGCGUCGUUCGUUGCCUGUGACUUUUCAUAUGCAAAAGCGGAGUCAGUGUUACUUGCAUUCACUGUCACCUUAUUAAUAAUUUCAGACACAUCGUUGGUUGCCUGUGAUUUUCAUAUUCAAAAGCACAGUCAGAAUUACAAUUUACAUUUGGAAUUGAGUGCCAUCUAUUUAUUCCAGCUAAAUCUAAAAUGAUGUUGCAGUAUUGCACUGAUUUUUUAGUCACAGCGUUUCUCUAUGAAUUCCUUAAACUUUAGACCCAUCAUAGAAUAAUUAUUUUCUUAAAGACCAAAUUAACAUAAUUCUUAAAUCAUUUAUAAAACAACAUUUAUCAGAUAACAGAUUGUACAUGAAUAAAUUUACCUUGAACCGUAGCAAACAAACAAGAAUCUCAACAACAUCAAUAUCAUAAUCCCUUCUGACCUUAACAGUAAUUUUAUUCGUCCUUAAUUCAUAGGUAUAAGUAUCCCAAUAUAUACUUGAUGUCAACCUUUACAAUUCUUUACAGAAUUGCAGCAGACCAAAUUUGUAUGCAAAACUGAAAUCAUACAGUAAUUGAAUACAGUGAAAAUAGACAUGAUGGGAAUUAGUAUAUAUAAAUAUCUUAAUAAUUUAAAAGUUUCUUAAACUGAUUUUACAUAUCUGAAAAAUUAUAGAAAUCGGAACUGCUGCAGAAAUCAUAAUUUUCCAGCGAAUGUGUUACAACUUCAGAAACUCAUAAGAAAUUAAAUUCUUGGGAUCACAAAAUAAUUCAUCAAUUUAAGAGAUUCAGCAGUACUUUUAUUACAUCAAUUCUUCAAACAAUCACCAAUCUAACAUUCAUCAAAAUUAAGUCAUAAAAGUCAUGUGGUUUAUAAAAAGAAUUACCUGAAAAAGAUUAGCCUUCCCCUUUCAAAAGCAACGAGAAACUCCAAAAACUCUUCUUCCAUUGCCUAUUCAAACAUGAAAAAAAAAAAUUAGUAUCUCUUCUUUAAACGCGCGAUGAGUGUGCUCUGUUUUCUCUGUUCUUUUUCUUUUUUAGAUUUCGAAAACGUAAAGAGUGUUGGAGUCUUUAUUUUCUAAAAACAAGACUUUUCCAUGUAUUCAGUUAAAUUAAAUUAUGUCCUAAUGCUAUGUCAGUUCCAUCAUUAGCAUUUUUUUUUUCCUUUUAACACCAACAUUAGCGUAUGUUAAGUAUCAUAAUCCAUAGUUGGACAAUUUGAAAUCUCUUCGUGUAGUUGACUGGCAACAACUAUAUUGGCAUUUAGACAUAAUGUACUGCAACCAUAUUGACAUGUUCAAAUGUUCUCACUAUUGUAUUGGUGUGUCGAUAUUAUCUCUAUCAGUCCUAUAGAUCCAAAAAUAAUCUAAAUUUACAAUUUAACUUAAAAUAAAAUAAUUGGUAGAAAACAAUUAUGGUUCAUUUACUUAUCAGUAAUUAAAAUAGACUGAAAUUAGAAUGAGUUGUAUUGACGUUGAUGUGUUUCUGUUGUCCUCGAAUCGGAAUGAAUUAUUUUAACUUACUAAAAUACCCUUUGUUUGUUAUUCUAAUUAUUAUUAUUUAAUAUUUAUUAUAAUAUUUGUCAUAUUAUUAAAAAGAAAUAAUAAUGAUGAUAAUAUUAUCAUUAUUGUUUGUUAUAUUAUUAUUAUUCAAAAAAAUUGUUGUUAAUAACUAUAAUAACUUUAUUUCAAUAAUAAAAAUGAUAAAAUUAAUAAUAACAAACAUGACAACAACAAUAAUUAUUUAUUAUGCCAAAAAAUAACAAUAAUGAUAAGAAUAAUAAUCAUCAUCAUUUUUUUCCCAAAGAAGCAUUAUCAUCAUCAUUUCAAAAAAAAAAAUCAUCAUCAUCAGCAUUUUUGUAGUGGCUGCCUAUCGGCUGCUGCUUUCAUGUGAGAUUGACUUGCGACGCUUCAACUACUAUUAUUUCUGGCAAUGUCAGGUGUUGUUGUUUCAAUCUGGGGAGAAGCUGUUUCGGUGAGCUAACAAUGGGAGGUGUUGCUGCUCGAUGCGAGGUCCAUGGCCAGCUGUCUUGUUUUACACCCAGCUCUUGUAGGAAAUUAUUCAUCCACAAUAUUUCUUUGUAACCUUCAAUAAUUGUAAUAUCAUUUGCUUCCGUGGUAGAAAAGACAACUCAUUACUAAAGUCUAGAUUGCGAUGAGACUGCCUUCCCUACAAAAGUGAGCAAAUAUCCUCAUAGGAAUCUUUCAGAAUCAACAUCUCUUGCCAUAUCUGUUAAGAAUAACAUAUGCUGAGUCAGCUACUGAGUCAUCAAGCCACGCUGGAAGUCAGUUUUGCAGUUAGUUAGAGAGCUUAUCAGCUUCUCUCCAAAAGUUUGUUAUGUGUAUUAGAAUAUGUGCUCACGAGUUUUGUGAGUUUGUAACCUUGAAAAGAUUCUCACACUACUAUAAAUUGUAUUGUGACUCAAUUAAUAAAAGUUGUUGAAGCUUUGCAUUUUCUCUCAGUCAAAAUUUUCUCUCUAUUUUUCUAAGUAACCAAACAAAAUCUACAGAGCAUUUUGUAUUUUAACUUGGUAUCAGAGCUUGAAUCCAAUGGCCUUAAUCGGUUCCAAUCAACAGUCGAGCAACACUUCCAUAACUUCUUUCACCUUCACAAAUCCAAUUAAGCUUGAUCGUGCAAACUAUACGAUCUGGAAACAGCAAGUACUUUCUUCAAUUCGUGGCAAUGGUCUUGAAGGCUAUAUUGAUGGAUCAAGGAUCUGUCCUAGUCAAUUUCUUUCUCCAGAGGCUAGAUCUGAAGGUUCUUCUUCUUCUAACAUCGAAGGUCAAGAGAAUCCAGAGUAUGCAGCCUGGAGACGUCAAGAUCAGCUCCUGCUCAGCUGGAUUCUGUCGUCCAUGAAUGUAGAUAUUCUCAGUCUUGUGGUAAGCUCUAAGACUUCUUUUGAGUUGUGGAAAAAUCUAGAAAAACAAUUUGGAUAUGAAUUUAUGGCUAAGAAGGUUCAUCUGAAAAUGCUUUUGAGUAACCUGCGAAAAGGAUCUCUAACCAUGUCUGAGUAUUUUACAAAGCUUAAGUCAGUUACAGAUGGUCUUGCUUUAGUUGGUAGCCCUGUGCAUGAUUUGGAUUUAAUCACUCAUCUUAUUACUGGUCUAGAUCAGUCAUAUUAUCCUGUAGUAGUCUAUAUUGAGGCAAACAUGUUGAAAAUGGAUCUUAGUGAGGCUUAUGCUAUGCUUCUCACACAUGAGGCUAGACUUGAGAAUAAUAAGCUUCAUGAUAGUAAAGAAACCAAGAACAAUUAUGCAACAAAUGUAGCUCAGGUUGGAAAUUUUUCAAAGAAAGGUAAUAACAAUAAUCAAAACAACUGGAAGGAUGGAGGAAACAAUUGGAAUAAUAACUCUGGUGGAAGAGGUGGUUACCAAGGGUUCAAUCCAGGAAGAGGAAACUGGAAUAAUAAUAAUUUCAGAGGUGUUGCUGGUGGAUUUAACAGUGGAUUUCCUGGUCUCGUGGCUUCAAUAACAAUUAUGGCAGAGGUGGUUUCAACUCAGGCCAAAAUUUGGUGGUUGUUGAAGCCAACAAAAAUAAAUUCCUACUCUAAAUAAAUUGUGUAUAGUGAUUGAGCAGGGUCGUGUCCACAGAGAUCGGUAAUUAUUUAAAUCCUUUUGAAACGUAAAACGCAAAAUGGGGGAAUUGUUGACAAUAAUAAAAAUCAAAUUAAAGUAACAAGAAUGCAAAUUAAAGUUGUAAUUCAAAUUGGAGAAAGCUCUGGUUGAAGGAAUUAACUCAGCUUGAUUCGACUACUGAUCAUUGAUUCAAAUAUAGAUUAUUAUUACUCAUGAAUAGACCGGUUAUAGCUACUGAGACCCUCUAAUAGCCAAUCUCUCCUUAACUAGUCGAUAACCAAGGUACGACCGUUGGUUAUUUCCCUAAUCAAUAGACAACCCUAGAUACGAUCAUAGAAUUUAAUCAAUUGACAGCCUGAAAAACCAGAGAGACCCAAAUCCUAAUCAACACAUAUGAUGAUUCAUUUAAAUUAGAUUGUUUAUUCUCACAACACAACUCUCUGCUAUGUUAUUUGUCACAAGCAUUAAAUUCUUCAUACGAUGAAUCCUUUAAUUGACAAUAGAUUAAGUUGAUAAUUAAAUAGUGGCCAAUUACCUAAUUAACAAACAUAAUCAUGAAACUAAUUCAGAGAAUAAACAAAUACCCAAAAAGCAAUAAAACAAUUAAAGCACAAGAAAGAUCUCAUAGUAGUGAUGAAUCAAAGCUUCAUUAACCUUCAACCAGAAAAAUAAGUUUAGUUCUUCAUAGAGAGAAGAGAAAAAUUAAAUCUAGGGUUUCUUUCUUUUUUUUUUUUCCAAUCCAAAAAAUCCCCCUUUUUCACAAUAGAUUCCUCCCUUAAAUACUCUCUCUCUCUUCUCCUCUAGAAUUUUAUUUAAAAUAAAAUACUAAUAUCUGAAAUAUUAAAUUCGUAAUUACAAAAAUAACCAAAAAUACAAAACACGUUAAACUAAAAACUGCAGGUCCGCAGUUGACAGCACGCGCCCACGCCUUAUCAAUAAAGUUCUUCUGACGCUCAUAAUUUCUCCAAGAGAACAAUCAUCCUUAAACAUCAUCUUAUAGCUCAAUUUUAUCACCAACCAAUAGAAUUGCACCUACAAAAGUAAAUCACUAUUAUUAAGUGCAAAACAUCGAUAUUAAAAGAAGUAAACAAUGCAAAACUAGUGCAUAAAUUGCACUCUAACAGAGGUGCUGGAAAGAAUUUUGCUCAGGGAACUGGUGCUGCUUGUCAGAUAUGCUUCAGGUUUAAUCACACAGCAGCUGAUUGCAGAAACAGGUUCAACAGAAAUUUUAUCCCAAAUUUUCCAGCUCCAGCUCCAAAUUACUUCUCUAAUCAGCACCAAGGACCAAGAGCAGCCUUCAUAACAACAUCUGAAGGAGCUGCUGAUCAGGGAUGGUUUCUGGAUAGUGGUGCAACUCACCACUUAACCAACACAGUUCAGAAUCUGAGUGAUGGUAAGAUCUAUUUUGACUCAAACUUACUUACUGUUGGUAAUGGCCAAGGUUUUAGAAUUACUCACAUAGGUUAUACACAACUUCACACUUCUUUUGGCACCUGCUUACAACUACAGAAUAUUUUGUGUGUUCCUCAAAUUACCAAGAACCUCAUUAGUAUUUCCAAACUCCUCACUGAUAAUGAUAUAAUCAUUGAAUUUUUCUCUGAUGUUUGCUUUCUAAAGGACAAGGUGAAGGGCACUCUGUUGGCUUAGGGGAUUGCUAGAGAUGGCCUAUACAAGCUACUGUCAAAAAAGGAAUCUCUCUCUUCUUCCACUUCUGUUCUGCCAGUGUCUCAUCCUAGUUCUAUGAUGUCAACUCUUUCCUGCAAUAAUGUAAUUACUUCUGUUCAAAGUUCAAAUAAUGACUUCUGUUUUAAGUUUACAUUUCCUGUAAGCUUUCAAACUUCAAUUUCUGUGUCAGCAAAUAUAUUGCACAAUAGACUUGGUCAUCCAAGUAAGCAUGUCAUACAAACUAUUCUCAGAAACAAUUGUUUAAUGUCAGCCAAUGUUAAUAAAUCAAAUUUUCUUUUCUGUGAUGCCUGUCAACUUGGAAAGUUACAUCAAUUACACUUUCCCGCUACUAAAAUCAAAACAAAAUAUCCCUUAGAAUUAAUACACACAUACUUAUGGGGACCAGCUCCAGUUUUAUCACUAGAUGGUUAUAGAUACUAUAUUUCCUUUGUUGAUGACUUCACCCGAUAUUGUUGGAUCUUUCCCUUAGUUUUAAAAUCUGAUGCCCUUACUACUUUCAAAAACUUCAAGAGCUUAGUUGAGAAACAAUUCAAUCUGCCCAUCAGAAUUUUACAGUCUGAUAUGGGAGGUGAAUUCAAAGCUUUUCAGUCAUUUCUUCAACAAUAAGGUAUCCAAGCUAGAUUUAGUUGUCCCUAUACUCACCAUCAAAAUGGUGUUGUUGAGAGAAAACAUAGACACUUAGUAGAAACUGGAUUAACACUCCUUGCUCAAGCAAAAAUGCCUAUUUCUUUCUGGUGGGAGGCUUUCCAUACAACCUCUUAUCUCAUUAAUAGAAUGCCUACCACUACACUGAACAACUUAUCUCCCUAUCAAAAGCUUCAUAAUCAGCCACCAAACUAUCAACUUCUCAGAGUUUUUGGUUGUGCUUGCUAUCCUUUUCCCAGGCCUUAUAAUGACCACAAGCUUGAUUUUCAUUCCCAAAAAUGCUUGUUUUUAGGUUACAGCCCUCUUCACAAAGGAUAUAAGUGUCUAACAAAGUCAAGCAAAGUAUAUGUUGCUGUUCAUAUUAUUUUUAAUGAGUCUGAUUUUCCCUAUUCAGAGUUGUUCGCUUCAUCUGAAUCUUCUUCCAAUUCUCUGUCAUCAUACUCUCCAUCUAUUUGUAUCCUCAAUGACAGUGGCUUGCAUCAGUCAUCAGCUAUAUCUCCUGCUUUAGCAGAGUUACCAACUCACAUUCACCUCAACAUCCUCACCAAGCCCCACACUCUCCUUGUCCCUCUCCAGUCUCAAAUUCCUACGGCUCAUCAUCACCACAUUCUUCAUCACAUAAUGCUUUAGCCAAUCCCUCUGAUGAAUUACAACCAUCAUCUCAACCUGUCAUUUCAACUCAUCAGAUGGUUACUCGAGCCAAAUCUAGUAUUUUUAAACCAAAGACCUACCUUACAGCUACCGAAGACCUUGAACCAGUGAGUGUUAAAGCAGCCCUGAUUGAUACAAAGUGGAAAAUGGCUAUGCAAGAAGAGUAUAAUGCUUUGCAGAAGAAUGACACCUGGACAUUAGUUCCAGCUGAAACCGCUACAAAACUCGUUGGAAAUAAGUGGGUUUUUAGAGUUAAAUAUAACCCAGAUGGUAGCAUUUCCAAGUAUAAGGCUCGGUUGGUUGCAAAAGGUUUUCAUCAAACUUAUGGAGUAGAUUUCUUUGAAACCUUUAGUCUAGUUGUUAAACCCUACACUGUUCGUAUUGUUCUCAGCUUAGCAGUCAUGCAUUGUUGGCCAGUUCGGCAAUUGGAUGUUAACAAUGCCUUUCUUAAUGGCAUGCUUACUGAAAAUGUGUUUAUGCCUCAGCCAGAAGGCUUUAUCAGCUCUCAGUUUCUCAAUCAUGUCUGCAAAUUACAAAAAGCCAUUUAUGGUCUUAAGCAGGCUCCAAGGGCUUUGUAUGAUAGAUUGAAAGGGUCUUUAGUUCGGUGGGGUUUCAGAUCUUCAAAGUCAGAUACUUCACUGUUUUUCAAGCAUAUUGGCAAUAAUGUUCUCAUCAUCCUUGUUUAUGUAGAUGAUAUCCUGAUAACAGGCUCUAGUGCUGUUUAUAUUUCAGAGGUUAUCAGUCUACUUAGCUCAGAAUUUGCACUUAAAGAUUUAGGAGAUUUUAACUACUUUCUUGGGGUAGAAGUGACUCCAUCUGCUGAAGGAUUACAUCUAUCUCAAACUAAGUAUGUUGGUGACAUCUUAAGAAAAGCUCAUAUGCUUGAGAGUAAAGGCUGCAAUACACCUAUCAGUAUUGUUGAUAAGUUGCAGAAGGACAAAGGUUGCUCAUUUACAAAUCCCUCACUUUACAAAAGCAUCAUUGGUUCUCUGCAGUAUCUGACACUGACCAGACCAGAUAUCGCAUUCACUGUAAACAAAUUGAGUCAGUUUUUAGCUGCUCCAACUAUCUUGCAUUGGCAGGCUUGCAAGAGGGUAUUACGAUAUCUACAAAGCACAACACAUUUUGGACUGCAGUUCUUCAAGUCAGGUCCUCCAAGUCUCAUAGCAUAUUCUGAUGCAGAUUGGGGGUCUGAUCCAGAUGAUAGAAGAUCUGUUGGAGGGUAUUGUGUUUAUCUUGGAUCCAAUCUUGUGUCUUGGUCAUCUAAGAAACAGAACAUUGUUUCCAGGUCAUCUGCUGAAUCUGAGUAUAGAGCUUUGGCCUUAGCUACAUCUGAGGUUUUGUGGAUUACAUAUCUGUUGAAAGAGCUCAAAGUAUCACUUCCCAAACCUCUUGUUCUUUACUGUGACAACAACAGUGCAGAAGCUUUGGCUAGCAAUCCUAAGUAUCAUUCCAGAACUAAACAUAUAGAACUGGAUUUACAUUUUGUCAGAGAACACAUUGCCAACAAGGAUCUCUUCAUUGAACAUGUGUCUAGUUCUGAUAAGUUAGCUGAUGUGCUUACCAAACCUCUGAGUUUUGAUAAUUUUGCCUAUAUGCGAACUAAGCUCAAUGUCUGCCCACGACCUUGAGCUUACGGGGGCAUGUUAAGAAUAACAUAUGCUGAGUCAGCUGCUGAGUCAUCAAGCCACGCUGGAAGUCAGUUUUGCAGUUAGUUAGAGAGCUUAUCAGCUUCUCUCCAAAAGUUUGUUAUGUGUAUUAGAAUCUGUGCUCAUGAGUUUUGUGAGUUUGUAACCUUGAAAAGAUUCUCACACUACUAUAAAUUGUAUUGUGACUCAAUUAAUAAAAGUUGUUGAAGCGUUGCAUUUUCUCUCAGUCAAAAUUUUCUCUCUGUUUUUCUAAGUAACCAAACAAAAUCUACAGAGCAUUUUGUAUUUUAACUAUAUCUACACACUUAUAACACAAGUUUGUCACCACUAAAAUAUAAACAUGUUCUGUAAAUGCCUCUAAGAUAUCUGAGAAUUCAUUUCACUACUGUCCAGUGCUCUUUGUCCAGAUUGGAGAGAAACCGACUGACUACACUAACUGCGUAAACAAUACCUGGUCUUGUACAAAUCACGGCGUACACCAAACUGCCAACUGCUGAAGCAUAAGGAACUCCUCUCACGGAGAAAUGGGUUUUGCUCUUGAGAUCUUUGGGAACAUGAAGAAUAAAGAUGUAAUUUCUUGGACUGACAUUGUUUCGGGGUAUAUAAAUAGAGGACAAGUGGAUAUAGCUCGACAGUAUUUUGCUCAGAUACCAGAACGAGAUUAUGUCUUAUAGACUGCCAUGAUUGAUGGGUACCUUCGAGUGAAUAGGUUCAGAGAGGCUUUGACACUUUUCCGGGAGAUGCAAACUUCAAAUAUAAGGCCAGACGAGUUUACCAUUGUUAGGAUUCUUACAGUUUGUGCGAAUCUGGGGGCACUAGAACCGGGAGAAUGGAUAAAGACUUACAUUGACAAAAACAAGGUCAAGAAUGAUAUAUUUGUGGGGAAUGCUUUGAUAGACAUGUACUGUAAAUGCGGAGAUGUUGAGAAAGCUCAAAGGGUACUCAGGAAGAUGCUUCGAAAGGACAAAUUCACAUGGACGGCCAUGAUUGUUGGCCUUGCCAUCAGUGACCCAUUUCCUACGAUCAGACCGGAUAAGGUAACUUAUGUUGGUGUUCUGUCUGCCUGUACUCACAAUGGUAACGAAACUUUUGUGAUAAAUAGUUGCGACUUAAGGUGAGAAUUGGAGGAAACGAAAUAGACUGAAGUUGUUCAAUCAUCGGUGGUUGCUAUUUGAUUUUAAGUUGUUCAAUCAUCGGUCAUCUCUAUUUGGUUUUCUCCAAUAUCUCAUCUCCAGUUUUGACUCAGAUUCUGUCUUACCACUAGUAAUUAAAAGUGAGGAGGCAGCAGUCAAUGCUAUUUCGGCUUGGCCCAAAAUUUCACCAGUUUGUUAGUGUUCUGCAGCUCUUGCUGCUUUCCUAGAGAUUCUGCAUCUUUUGCAAUUUGAUUGAUUAAAAAAAAAAAAAUUAGUGGCCAUUUAGAAUGAAGGAGAGAUUUGUGUGAAUGGUAUAGGUGAAAAAUUGGAUGAAAAUAAACAGGCAACCGUCCGUAUAAAACAACAAUAACAAUAUACAAAAAGAUAAGUAGACACUUCUGUAAUUCACGAAAGGAAAUUUAUGGUUGUUUCUGAAAAACAUACAUAUUAAUUUCACUUAUACUCUAAGGUGGGAUAGAUGUCAACUAGCUAUGCUAAUGAUACCUUGCCAUCAUGACUGGACUUGUGAGGAAUUUGGAAACAUGUAUGAUGAUUGUUACUUACACAAUUGUAGAAAGAAAUGCUGAGGUGGCUUGAACCAGAUGGUGAAAUCGUCUAACACACUUAAUUGUUAGAUGUGUUUUGGAUAUUCACAGUUAGGUUGAAAUUUGUAGUUUUCACUUGAAAGAAUUCAGUUAAAAAUUGAUUGGUAGAAUUGUAAAAUAGUCUAAAUUUUUAGUUCAAACCCAUUGCAUAUUUAAGAACAUCUUAAAUGAAUUGCUUAUUGCUAUCAUCAUCAUUAUUGUCCAUAUAAUAAUAAUAAUAAUAAUAAUAAUAAUAAUAAUAAUAAUAAUAAUCAAUAGAAAUGUUAUCUUAUCCACUAUUUUAUAUAUGUUUCCACUAAAAUCUAUUUAAUUAUUCUUUAUUUUUUUUCAACUGUUGCAUGUUAGAUUUAUUCGAUUUCCUAAGUUAUAUCAAUAGAAAUGUUAUCUUAUCCAUAAAAAGUUAGAUCUAACAAUUAUGAAAAUUACUAUAGUGCUGCUUUGAAUAAUUUUUUAAAAAUACCACAAGUAAAUAAUAAUUAGUUUAAAUAGUGGAGACUAAAAAGCAUUCACCCUUAUUUUUUAUCUGUUAUUAGUUUUUUUUAAUCUGUUAUACAUUUGAAACAUUCCAUUAAUUGCCAAUUAUGUAAGCGAGAUAGUAAUUAAUUUUUUUUAUUUAAAAAAAGUGAAAAUUAAUCCUAUGCAAUGUGAAUAAAUUUCUUUCCUUUUUCCUUCACUCUUUUUAUUUGAUAAUUAAGUUUCAAUCUAUGUACGCAAAAUUUCUGCAACAGCUGCAAAACAUAAAAAUAUAUGAUUGUUAAGGGAAACACGCAGAAGUUCAUCACUUCAAUGUUCAGUAUUUCCAAUUUUGGCAUUAAGCUCUUACGAAUAUAUUCCACUUAGAAAGCAAAAUAUUAGAAUUGUGAUUUUAAUUCAUUCAUCAUAUCUCAUUUCAAUCCCAAAAUAUUCAAGUGGAUCCAAGUUACCAUAAGGCUUCAGAGGCUCGAGCCUUAGCCAGAGAUGGUUAAUUGAUAGACUAGGUAAGAGAAACCAAGGUUGAAGUAUGUAGAAAUGUUAUUUCAUUUAUUUUUAUUUAUGAUUUUUUGUAAAAUGUAAGAAAUAUGUAGAAAUGUUGCCAGCAAUGAUUUUGGAACUUUGCAUAAAAUUUUUAUCAUUAUUGUUUUUGGUAUUAAGAAAUCCGAGGCGGUGAUUAGACGUAUGUUGCAACAAUUAAGAAAUUUCUUAUUGGAGAUAAUUUGGUAGGUUGCAACAAUUAGAGAAUCAUUUUCCUGUCAGUUAAUCAAUCAAUAAUAAAUUUCAAAUUGCAGAAAAUAAAAUAAUACUGUCGCACUUAGAAUCAUCUUUUCUAUCUCUUUCAAUUGUGACAAUCAUUUGUAACAAAUAAAUCAAUUUGAUGCACAUCAUUUCCCCAAUUCAAAGUUCAAGUCACUGCUCAAUUGCAGAGUAGUUAGUAGACAUGCAUGCAUGUUUAAUUAAGUACUGCAUUGUAGUAUCGAAAAUCAUAACAUCUCACCAAGCCCGGAAGCAUAGCUCUUUAUCUUGUAAAUGUUGAAAUCUUAUGCAAACUAUGGGAACCAUGAGCUCACUCUCAGUGUCACUUGAUUCCAUUUUCUGUUCUUGCCUUGAUUUCGAUGUUGGGAAUGUGACGUCUGAGUCUAAGGUUGAAGAUAAUCUCGAUGCCUUGCGGACUGCAAUGGAAAUAAAAUAUUUGUGUGUUGAGAAAUGAUGAAAUGAUGCAAUGGAAAUAAAAUCUCAAUCUCUUGAGAAAUGAUGUGAUAAGAAGAGUUACUGUUGCUGAAGGACAACAUCAAAUGCAACGAAUGGAUCGAGUGCAGGGCUGGCUUUCAAGGGUAAAAUCUGUGGAAAAUAAAGCUGAUGAUUUGAUGAGACACAGCUCUCAAGAGAUUGAGAAGUUAUGCCUUGGAGGCUUCUGUUCCAGGAACUGCAAAUGAAGCUACAGCCGUGGGAUAGAAUUUGCAACAAUGCUACGAUUGUGGAGAGUUUAAUGGGUGAAGGAUCAUUUGAAUAGGUGGCUGAGAGGGUGCCAGAAGAUGCAGCAGAGGAGAUAAAUUGUGAGCCAACAAUAGUGGGCAUGUUGUCGACUUUUGAGAAAGCCUGGAGAUGCCUUGAAGAAGAAUCAGUUGGAAUUAUUGGCCUAUAUGUCAAUGGGGGAGUUGGAAAAUAUUUACUCAAAUCAACAACAAGUUCCUUGAUAGUCCAAAUAAUUUUGAUGUUGCGAUCUGGGUAAUGGUCUGCCAAGAUUUGCAACCCCAGAAGUUUCGGGAAAAGAUUGGGAAAAAGAAAGUCUUGUUCGAUGAGUACCGGAUUGAACUAUAUUAGAUUAUAUUUAAAUAAUAUUAAAUAGUAUUUAAGUUGGUAUUCUAAUAUAAAUAUCAAUUAUCCAUGAAAUUUUAUAAUCAUAAUUAAAAUAAAUUUAAAAAGCAAUUACUAGGAAAAUUAAAUAUAUUGCAAAAAGUUAUUGGGUAGUCAUAAUAUAAUAGGCAAAUAAAAUUAAAUAAAACAAAUUACAUAUUUAAUUAUAUUUAUCAAAUAUUUAAAAAUAUUAUAUAAAAUAUUAUAUAAAAUCAAUUAAUUAAUGAUAUUAUUAAUUUUCAUGAUUAUUUUUAAUAUUAUAUUACUGAUUAUUAAAUUUAAUACAAUCAAAUAAUGCAAUAAAUAAUUAAACAUUCAAUUUUAUUGAUUAAUUAUUAAAUAUACAAGUAAUGAAAAUUUUAUCUCAAGAGUUGGUAGAAGCGAAAGUACUAAUUUAAUUAGAUCAUAGAUAAUAAAUAAAAAUAAAUUUUAAGUAAAUCAUAAUAAAAAAUUAAUUAAUUAAUUCAAUCAAUCAAUAUUAGGUGUAAAUAAAAAAAUGAUAUAAAUAAAAAUCUCAUAAAUGUACAACUUUUAUCUUUAAUCUUAUCCUAAAAGAACAAAAAGCAGAAUAUAUAUUGAAGUGUUUUUCACACCUUUUCAUUAACUGGAAUGCAUGUAUUUAUAUACAUCAUUUGUAACUAAUAAAGAGAAAAUAAAGGAAACUAUACAUGAGAGUAUCAAGGAGAAUAAUGGAAGAGAUUGUUGUCCGUAACUUGUGGAGAGUAUCAUGGAGCUUGAGAUUAUCUGAUAUGCCCCCGCAAGAGGGUGUUGCCAUUGGCGACACCCAUCUUGAACCUUAAUUCAGAAAAUGGUCGCUUAGAGAGGGGCUUGGUUAGGCUAUCAGCAAGUUGAUCUGCUGUAGAUACAUAAGAUACGCGCAAUAGCCCUUUGUUGACCCAAUCACGAACAAAAUGAUAAGCAAGAUCAAUGUGUUUUACCCUUGAAUGAAAGACUGGAUUGCGACACAAAUAGGUAGUUCCAAUAUUAUCACAAUAGAUGGUAGGAGUUUGACUCAAUUGAAGGCCAAGUUCUUGAAGUAGAUUCUGAACCCAUCGAACUUCAGAGGCUGCAUUUGCGACAGCCAAGUACUCAGCUUCUGUUGUGGAACGAGCUAUUGAUUUUUGUUUGUUCGAGCGCCAUGAGAUAGGAUUGCCGCCUAGAUAAAGCAUAUAGGCUGAUGUAGAAGUAAUGAAAAUUUAAUCUCAAGAGUUGGUAGAAGCGAAAGUACUAAUUUAAUUAGAUCAUAGAUAAUAAAUAAAAAUAAAUUUUAAGUAAAUCAUAAUAAAAAAAUUAAUUAAUUGAUUCAUCAAUCAAUAUUAGGUGUAAAUAAAAAAAAUGAUACAAAUAAAAAUCUCAUAAAUGGACAACUUUUAUUUUUAAUCUUAUCCCAACUAAACACAUGUGUAAAUUAGGAUUAUUAAUUCCAUAAUUUUCGGAUUAAAUUCAAAUUUAUUCCCCCUUAAUCCAAUUCAACUAAACUUGUCAAACAUGGGAUAAAAAUUUAAUUAUAAAAUUAGUCCAAUUCCAUACUUAAUCCUAGCAUCCAAAUAUAGCUCAAGUUCUUUGCUUAAAGAAGCUACCAAAUUUGAAGAGCGUUUACGGGAAGGCCUUGCGUUUCCCAGAUGUAUGCAGAAUUUUUGUAUCUAAAUGCCCAGAACUUAAGAAGCUGACGCUGGAUUUUGAAAGGGCGGGCCAAGGUAAAAUUCUUAUCAAAUGAAAGGAAAAUCGAUGGAAACAACUUCAAUGGGAGGAUCAAGCAACUCAGGAUGCAUUGCUUCUGUUUUUCAAAUCAACUGACAAGUGAUUGAAGGGGGCAUCAUCAGCCUGGAUGGGGAGAUCCUGGAGCAGAUCAGCAGGGUUUGAAUCUGCAUCAUCAACAUCAUCAGGAUCUCUAUUUCUAUUGCUGGUCGUAAUGCCUGCCGACUGUUGCUUGAAAAAGUGAUUAAGUGAGCCAGUUUUUUGUUUAUUAAAUUUUGUUUUGUAGAGACAGUCACAAAGUAUUUUUCUUAGUUGUUCUAUAUGAGAGUGAUGUGAACCAAUUUUUCAAUUAUAUAUUCUGUGGGAAAUUGCAAGUAUUUUUAAAAUAUGAUCGUUAUUAAAGGAAACAAAGGAAUCAACACAGCAUACUGAACCUCAGCAGUAUGAAGCUAAUGAUUAAACUCCUCACACAAUUCAUAACAUGCAAAACCAUUCACAAAAUCAUCCACAGCAACCAUAAUUGGCGUCCAAUAGAAAUUUACAAGAAUUACUUUUCUGUUCAUGCAAUCGGCGUCUGAACGCGGCUGAUCGGUCACCGGUGUUGGCGUUUACUGUGAUUAGACAAAUUGUAGCACUUCAAAAAUAACUUCUAUAGGGGUAAUUUCGAUUUCACAUAAUUAAUUUUAUUUACAAUAUUUUAUUCCUGCAAGGUCAACUGAGAUUCUUUCCACCGGGCACACCCUUCAUGUUCUUUUAUUUUCUGUCUUUUAUUAGCCGUUGGAUUUUACUACUCUUAUAUCCAACGGCUUGCCACAACAAGACAAAUGAGGUGGUACCUUUCAACCGCUGAAAGGUAGUUUUGGCCCCAAGUGAAAGAGGGAAAUAGGGAAUUGAUGCUAUAUUUUAUAUUUUCUAUUUUACUACUCUUGUAUCCACCGGCCUUUCUUAUAUUUUAUUGCAAAUUGAUGCUAACAAGAAAAAGCUAGAUCAUAUUCCACAGAAAAGUGAGAAAACAACCAGAUGGAUUCUUUUAUUAAACUACAAAUUAAAAUGGUAUCACAAAUUCUCAUCAAUUUAUUUAAAUAUAUUCUUUUAACCCUCUUUUUAAUUUCACAAAUUCUCAUCAAUUUAUUUAAAUAUAUUCUUUUAACCGGAAACAAUUGAUAUCACUUAUUAAGAAUAACAAAAUUUACUAUUUAAAAAUGAAGAUCAAUAAAUUUUUAUCAAUCAUGAAAGUUAAUGAGUGUCAAGAAAUUAAUUUUUGCUAAACAUACAAGCUAAUAACUAUUAAAAAAAUCUUAUAUUAUAGAGAUCAUAUAUAUUAAGAAAGACCAAAAAAAAAAUUAAAAAAAUAGUUAAAUUCAGUGUAUAGUUUAUAGGAUGUGAGAGUGGUAAAAGAAUAUAUAAUUGUAAAAUAGAGAAAAAGAAAAAGAGAUUAGUAGAGAAUAAUUUUGAGAUUUUUUAAUUUUUAAUUUUUAAUAAUAAAUUUAUUUUAAAAAAUAGGUGUGGAGAAAAAUUUGAUGGGUUCAAGCAAUUCCACCUAAUUUUAUAUUAUCAAUACGCAAAUGAAAGUACAAAAAUACCUCUAAUAGAGUGAAAUAAAGAGUUCUCUAAUCUCUAGGGUUUCUCAUUCCAAUUUUGAAAUUUCCCUACUUUAUUUUGAAUUAACCCUCUUUGUUACCAUUGAAUUGUAACAUUCAAAAUUUGAAUAUGUUUUUACAAAUAGAAGAUUAUUGGGACAAAAACAAUAAGAAAUAGAAAACCUAGUUGAAAAAGGAUAUUACAAAAAAAGAAAUUGCCAUUACCAUUCAAACAUUUACACAGUAAAGGCAUUAACAGCAUAAGGCGGCAAUAAAACUUACUCAUAAUUAGGGGUGGCAAAAAAGUCCGAGCCGGCUUAGGCCCGGCCAAGCCCAGUCUAGAUCCGUGGACUUAAAGUCCGACCCGUAAGGAUGUGGGCUUAGAUAUAGACCUAAAAAUUACAAAACCCACAUAUAUUAGACCUAAACAAGAACUUAGCAAAAAAACCCAAACUUUCUAAAUUUAUGAAUAAAAAAUAAAUUUAAUUUAAAUAAAAAAAAUUAAAAUAUUAAAUUAAUUGAAUUUUUUAUAUUAAUAUUUAUUAUUUUAUUAAAUUAUAUUGUUAAUAUUUAAUGUAUUUGACUAUUAUUCUAUUUAUAUAUUAUAUUAUUAUUUUUAAUUUAAAUAUUUUUCUUAAUUUAAAAAAUUUUUAUAAUUAAUUUAAAAAGUUCAGGCCCAGCCCGAGUUCGGUCCAUCCAAAUUUAACGGAUUUUUGAAGAACCUGAACUUCGUUUGAAUGAUAUGGGUCCGGCCCAAGCCCGCAAAUUGCCAUCCCGUGAUAAUAACAAACAGAUAUGGCCCAGCCCGAGUUCGGUCCAUCCAAAUUUAACGGAUUUUUGAAGAACCUGAACUUCGUUUGAAUGAUAUGGGUCCGGCCCAAGCCCGCAAAUUGCCAUCCCGUGAUAAUAACAAACAGAUAUAGAUAGAUCGAUGGAUGGCAUUUUUUAAAUGUACCUUAAAAACCAAAACAAAAGCAAAAAUAUUAAAAUAUUACACCAACUGCUAACUAAUUAAUCUAAUAAAACGCCUCGCUUAAUCAUUUCCAGUCCACUAAACACGCUGAACGGAUUCCAGCCUCUGAAGUCUCAUCUCAUUGUUAAAUUCAUUGAUGAAAGCUUCAACUCGCCGAUUCAACUCAUCUUGACUCAUCGAUUCCUCCCUCCUCAGCGACGUUCUGUCACUGAACGUCUCAGAUUUCCUCAGCUCACGUUUCGCCCAAGCCGUCGGAUCAUUCUCAUCAUUAUCACUACCACAGGCGAUGGUGAUGAUGUGGAAGGUGGAAGAAGCGGCGAUGGUGAUGAUGAUGAUGAUGAUGAUGAUGAUGAUGAAGUUGACUAUGAUGUAAUUGUACGGCGGCGACAGCCAGAACCUCAAAGAAAUGAAGAGGCUAGGGAUUGUCGAUACCGUGAAACAAAUGUACGGGAUUAUUGCUACCUUAAACAGCAUGAAAGUUGAAACAAACCCGGCUGACAAAAAUAACAACUUUGCUACCCGCGUUACUGUCUCUAAUCUGCUUGAUUUUGGGUCGAAAUUUUGAAAAAGAUCCCCCAUUUUUCAAUUUUCACACACAAUAAAGAAGGAAAAAGAAAGGUAGCUAGAUUUUUUUUUUGUUUUUCAACAAGGGAAGAAAUAAGAAAAGAACAUUAAAAGGAUUUUUCAGGCUUUGAUGGUCAUUAAAAUGAGACCCAGGAAACCAUUGAAGCUAAAAAAAAAACGAGAAGCCAUGUAUUUAUAUAUGCUGCUUUGCUUUACAAAAUCUGACUGGCAUCAGGGUGAAAAAAAAGUGCCAUUUGUUGGUACAGAGAGACAGAGGAGAGUAGAGAGGCAGAUGCAGGGGCAGGGGCGAAGUCAAGGGACCAUUGAAUGGGCAAGCGAGGUUUCAAUUUAUGUAACGAGGGACGAUUAAAGUUCUUGCAACUUUCCUGCCGUCUGAUGAAAUCUUGACCGUUCGAUGGUACAAUAAUGGUUAUAAUGAUCUUGAAAGUGUUGGAGAGAUAAGUUUGUACAGAUUAUGUACGCUAAAUAAAAUCACAUUUAAAAUGGUUUUUGAUUUUAUUCUAUUACAGAUUACUUUUAUUAAAUAAAUGAAGGUACAUUGAGUGAGUGAGUGAGUGACUUCACGAUUUUGCACUAACGCCGCUGUGUUAUCCUCCGCGGCACUUGUCCUCAUCAUUUGUAAUUGAAAAGCUGAUUUAAGAUUUUAGAAUAGUGCCUUUUGGAAAAAAAAUAUAUAUAUAUAUCAACGGCCGAUUGAGAUUUCUUUUUUGAAGAUUUAAAAUUAAUUUUUUAAAAAAUUAAAAAUUAAUUUUAAUAUUUUAUAAGUUUUAAAAAAAUUAUUUUUAAUAAAAUCACUUCAUAGUAGAUUCCGGAAAGUAGAUAUCUAUGCUUUUUAAAUUUUAAUUUUAAGAAUUAAUUUUUUACUUAAUAUAAUCCUUGCAUAUAUUAUAAAAUUUUAAAAUCAUCUUCAUUAAUUACAAAAUAAGAUCAUUAAUUUUAAGGAGAUUAUAAUCAUUAUCAAUUAUAGGGAGAUUAAAUGCUUAAAGUGACAAGUGCAAAACUAUUUAAAAAUAGUCAGUAAAAGUAUAGGUGGGCAAUUAGUUCAAUUCUAUUUGAAUCAACUAAAUUAAAUUAUAUCGUGUUUCAUAAAUUUUUAAAGCAACUGAUUUUUUGUUUGGUUUAGAUAAAAAUUAAACUAAACCGAAAAAUCAAACGGUUCAAAGAAAAAAAAGUUAAAAACAAAUUUUAUAAACUGAUCGGUUUCCGUUAGAUUCAAUUCCAAAUCUAAACAAACCAAUCCAAAGUGAAAAUAAACAUUUUUGUUGAAUGCACUUUUAAUUUGUUUGGAUACGUCUCGACCCUCCAGUCUCUUGAUUAAAGUUCAUUUAUUAGGGUCCGCUUGUAAUACAGCGUCUGUAUCUCAUACAGUCAAAUUUAAUAUUUUAUUAAGAAAAAGGGCAACCGUUAGAUAGAAGUAGAUACAUCCAAUGGUUAAUAUCUGUGAUUACUCAUUUUGGUGACCGGAUAUGCCAAUUAUUAUUUCAUCAAUUAACUUACCUAAAAAAUCAUAGCCGUUGGAUUGAGAUGCCUCUCUCUCCCUCAAAAUAACAGCCUUCGUAUUCUCUCUGCUAUUGUUUUGUCCUACAUCUAGAAUUUUGGAUGAAUGAACUUGGUAUUCAAGAACAUUCACCACCCAUCACAGCAAAGAGCAAAGAUAUAGUCGAAGGAGUGCCAUUUAUUCAGGCUUACUUGAUCUGUCAGUCUCGCUUCAAUUCGUCACUCAUUUUCUUGCGCUCAGCUUCAAUCUAUCACUCUCAGCUUCAGUUCGUCACUCAUAGCUUCAAUUUUUUCACUGUCGUGAAUCAUCUCUCUUGCUGUAUCUCUCUCUUAUGUCUUCCAAUAAUUUCGGUGAGCUCUCUCUCUAAUUUAAUAUAUGAUUAAAAAUCUUAUCAUCUUAUCAUGUCAUUUAAAUAUGCUUGAAGUUUCAAUUUAGUUUAUGAAUAUUACUUGAAAUUUUAGAUUCAAUAAUUUUAGUUUUUUUUUUCUCUAUCAUCAAUCAUAUAUUUUUUCUUGCUCUUUAACUUCUUAUCUUCAACUAAAUGUGACCUUACAUUUAUUUAGUGUAUGAUCAAUUUUUAAAUGCACAAUAAGCAUUGCAAAGUUGGCGUUAUGCAAAGGCUAUCACAAUGUGAGCGUUCAAUUGGACAGAGUGUCAUGAUCAUACAUCCUUGAACCCAAUAUUUAUUCCAAUAACAAAUGUAGAUACGUAAACUACUUUUUUUUUUUAAAUAAAAAUAAAAAACUUCAAUGAAUCAAUCAAUUAUUUUCUGAAAUGUUAUGCGAAUUGUGAUUGUGAGAUUAAAAAAAAAUAUCCAUGCAAAUCAAAUUGUAACCGCCCUCUCAAGAUAAACCAAGUAACACAAAGCAUCAUUAACUCUUUCUUGUUUCAGCCACAGUACUAUUUUUUGCUUGAUGAGAAUAUAUUUAAAUAGUAUUUAAGUUGGUAUUUUAAUAUAAAUAUCAAUUAUCCAUGAAAUUUUAUAAUCAUAAUUAAAAUAAAUUUAAAAAGCAAUUACUAGGAAAAUUAAAUAUAUUGCAAAAAGUCAUUGGGUAGUCAUAAUAUAAUAAGCAAAACAAAUUAAAUAUUUAAUUAUUUUUAUCAAAUAUUUAAAAAUAUUAUAUAAAAUCAAUUAAUUAAUGGUAUUAUUAAUUUUCAUGAUUAUUUUUAAUAUUAUAUUAGUGAUUAUUAAAUUUAAUACAAUCAAAUAAUGGAAUAAAUAAUUAAAUGUUUAAUUUUAUUGAUUAAUUAUUAAAUAUACAAGUAAUGAAAAUUUAAUCUCAAGAGUUGGUAGAAGCGAAAGUACUAAUUUAAUUAGAUUAUAGAUAAUAAAUAUAAAUAAAUUUUAGGUAAAUCAUAAUAAAAAAAUUAAUUAAUUGAUUCAAUCAAUCAAUAUUAGGUGUAAAUAAAAAAAUACAAAUAAAAAUCUCAUAAAUGUACAAUUUUUAUUUUUAAUUUUAUUCAAACUAAAUACAUGUGCAAAUUAAGAUUAUUACAUCCUUGAACCCAAUAUUUAUUCCAAUAACAAAUGUAGAUACGUAAACUACUGGGAAGCAGCACACGUGUCCUGAAGAGAGAAAAAAAUCGAGCAAAUGCAGACAAUGGGAGUUGGCUAAAAGUUGGAUCUGCAAUUUACAAAAUCUGUAACUUAUUAGCCAGCUCCCAAAUUGUGUAGUCUUUUUUCAAAUUGUACAGACAUUUAUAAAUUGGUGGCCCCUUGAAAAUUUAAUGCCAAGCAGAUAAAAGUCAUCAAGCACAGUCCUCAAUAGUUGUUUCGUGUAUAUUUAUAAAUUGGUGGCCCCUACAUCUUUAAUAAUUGGGAUUGAAUUACGGUAUAAUUGUAGAAUCAUGUCUCAAUUACAUUCAAUUGUUAGAUAUAUUUACGUUGGUAAAAUUUACUGAUAUCUAAUAAUUAAACGUAACUAUAACACAAUAUUAUAAUUACACCACAAAUUUUCUCUAAUAAUUAUUCCGAUACUUAUAAAUUGGUGGCCCCUUAGUAAUUUAACAGCAGCCUGCAAGUGUCAACUAAUGAAAAGUCAUCAUUCACAAUCUUCCAAGUGAAACAGGAAAUAUACAAAAAUUAAAACAUGUCAUUCUUUUUUUUUCAUUCCCUGUCAUGUAACUUACACCCAAAUACAUAAAUAAUAUAAAAUGAAUGGAGAGAUGCCAGGAGCAGAUCAGCAGGGUUUGAAUAUGACCUUUGGCGCUUGCUUUUUUUUUUUUUUGUGAUUUUUUUUUCAUUUUUUCCUUCCUGUCAUUUUAUCAUUUCUUUGGCUUUGUCUCUAUUGCGGGUGUUACUGCAUGCUUACUGUUUCUUGACAAAGUUUGCUAGCUUUUCCUUUUGUUUAUUAAAUAUUUUUAUCGUCACAAAGUAUUACUCGUUCUAUUUGACAGUGAUGUAAAUUAAUUUUUCAAUUUUAUAUUUUAUCGUCGAUGUGAAUUCAAUUUCAUUUGUCAUCAUGCACAAUCCUCAAUAAUUGUUUCGAUAUUUAUAAAUUGGUGGCCCCUACGUCCUCAAUAAUUGUUCCGAUACUUAUAAAUUGGUGGCCCCUUAAUAAUUGGUGUUUGAGGAAUUAAAUAGAGCGAUCAUGAUCUUUUCCAAAUGAAAGUGAGCAAAUGGUUGAGCAGGUCACCUUGAUCAGGUGGUAUGAGUUUGAUCAAAUCACCUCGACCAGGUACAAUGAGGUUGAGCAGAUCAUCUUGAUCAGGUGGUGUGAGCUUGAGCAGAUGACCAUGUGGUAUGAGCUUGAGCAAAUCACAUCGACUAGGUGCUAUGAGGUGGAGCAGAUCACCUCGACUAGGUACUAUGAGGUGGAGCAGAUCACCUCGACCAGGUGCUAUGAGCUCGAGCAGAUCACUUCGACCAUGUGCUAUGAGCUUGACCAGAUCACCUCGACCAGGUGGUCUAAACUUGAGCAGAUCACCUCGGCCAAGUGAUGACUAGGAAUAAAGACUCAGUUAAAAUAAACCACCACAAAGCUCCUCCGAAAAAUCAGGGCACGAAUCUGAUUAAUCAAUGGUUAUUGUCACGAUCUAAGGUCGUGGGUGUGGGGUGUUUUAUAAAAAUCCCGAGAAAAUCACACCAAGGGAAGGCUCUUUUUCUCUGGAUCUGACGGAGAAAUCCUUUCUGGAUACUCUAUUUUACUUUUCUGCAAAUUAUUCAAAAAGCUUUUGGUUUUAAAAUAAUGUUUAUUUAGCCAUAUGAAAAAUGACAUAUUUGGUUUUUCCUGUAAACCCCAUAACUGACUUGAGCGUUGGAGGGUUUACGCCAGAAAAACUUCCGGCACCUCUGACCAUUCUCUGUAAUUUCAGGUACUUAUUGAUCGUCAGCUUGAAGAUUAUAUGCUCAUGAAUGUUCUGCUCAUAGUCAGAGAAUAUUCUGACUAUAUUAGCCAUGACAUUUUAGUAAUUUCAGGUACUAAAAAAAAAUUAAAAUUGUUGGCGUGAAAAGCACAAAUCCUAUUUUUUGACAAUUUUAUCUUUGUCAAUUUCAAAGAUUUACAAUAUCAUAGGUAAAGAUUAUAACUAUUUCAUCUUCAAGUUUUUAAUUUUAUAUUUUUUGUAGGAACUUUAAGAAAAUAUCAAUAAUUUAAAGAGAAUUUUUGAAAUUUUUAAUUUUAUCUUUCUUGUAGGAAUUUUAAGAAAAUAUCAAUAAUUUAAAGAAGGUAAAAUAACCAAUAAUUUUAUUUUUUUUUUAGUUAUUUCCGUUUAAAAACUGUUCUUUUAUUAGCCGUUGGAUUUUACUACUCUUAUAUCCAACGGCUUGCCACAACAAGACAAAUGAGGUGGCACCUUCCAACAGCUGAAAGGUCGUUUUGGCCCCAAGUGAAACAGGGGAUGCACUUACUAUUAAGGACAGUUGGUGGCCAGCUAAUGCACUCAUUUUAUGUCCUUUUAUCUUUUUGAAUUCCUGAAGACAAGUGCAUUCAUUUUGUGUCCUUUCAUCUUUUUGAAUUACUGAAGACAAGUGGCCAGCUAAUGCAUUCAUUUUUUGUCCUUUCGUCUUUUUGAAUUAUUGAAGACAAGUGGCUCAUCGCUUUUACUGUAGGUAAGAUCUUGAUAAUCUCGAUUAUCAAAAUAAUAAUAUUCAAAAUAUUUCUUAAUUUUAUUUAAAAGAUAAAAGAAAAAUAAGUUAUGCUGGUAAAUUUUUUUAUUUUUUUAAUAAAAAUAAAAUAAAUUGAUGUUUAUAAUUGUUUCAAAUACUUUAAAGAUUGUAAUUUUAUGAGAGAGUAAUAUUUCACAUUUUUAAUGUGAAAAGUUGAAAAGGGACAAAGCAAGUUUCUCUGUUUUUCUUUUUCUUUUUUUAAAUUUGGUCAUCUCAAAUACUUCACCCUUCAACACUACAAUAUUUUGGUUAUAUAUAUAUAUAUAUAUAUAUAUAUAUAUAUUUUACACAUGCAUAUGAAUUACUUUUCUUUUAAGCUCCUGAAUAUUUAAGACAAAUCAUGAAAGAGAUGAGAAUAUAAUAAGAUGAUCAAAAUAUGUAACAAAAUUUUUUUAGAAGUGAAACAUCGUUAGAGUUGAAGUAAAACUCUGAAAAUAGAGAUACUGAUUAAUUUAGAAGAGAUGCAAGCAAAAGAUAUGCCAAAAAAAAAAAAAAGCAAUAUGUCACUUUGGAGGGCAAACUUGUCAGUUUCACAAAAAUACAUGCUUUGUAUUGAUAGUUGUCACUAUGUAUUAGGGUGCGUUUGAAAUUAUAGUGCUGUACCUUUUAAACUACAGUUGUUGUAGAAAAAAAUAAAAAAUAAAAACUACACCUAAGAUUAAGGAAAAGUACUUCAAAACUCUCUUUUGAUCAUAAAACCUUUUGUCUUAAUUAACUUAAAGAUUUUGAAUCUAAUAUUUUAUAACAAAUAAAAAUAUAUUACCAAAAUAAAUAUAAUAAUAUCUAUUUUAAAAUAAUAUCAAUAUUUAAAAUAUGUUUUAAUAUUUGACGAUCUAUUAGACACAUUUUAUUAUGUUAAAGUAAAUUUUAUAAUAAAUACAAACAUACUAAUAAAAUGAAUAUAUACAACAUUUAGAGUAUUUUGAAUAUUAUAUAAAAUAAAUUUAAUACAAUGCAUGAGAUAUAUUUUAUUAAUUUAAAAUGCUAUUUAACCUAAAGAUUUAUUUAUGAAAAAUUAAUGAUUAUAUUUUUGAAAUUAUUUAAAAUAUUAAAAAAAUUAAUAUUAUUAAUCUAUCAGGUAGAUUAAAUUAUUUAUAUUAUUUUGCAUUUAUUAAAAAAUUUUAAAAUCAAUCUUUUUAAUUACUAUUCUAAGGAUAUAAUAAUAGAGGCAACUCCGUUGCGUCAUGGUUUUGGUACCCCGUCGUUUGUCUUUUAGCACAGUCAUCGUUGGAUUUUAUCUCACGGCUGCAGAAGAGACACAGAGACGCUAGGGAGCAACCUGACAAAAAGGUCAUGGGCCGGUAAGCUGCAGGGAAAAUAUUUAAAAUACAAAAUCUUCCCUUAAAUUUUUUUUAAUAUUUAACAUGUUAUAGUUUCUAAUCUCAUGAAUAGUAGAGGAUAAAGUUUUAUCUUAAAAAAAGUAAUCCCAAGGGUCUCCUUGGGAUGAAAUUUUGCCUCUAUUAGAAUUAAGUGGUGGGCUCAUUAUUGUUACUUUUAUUUUUUUUAUACCAAACAUGAUAUAGGAUUAUUUUAUACUAAAAUUAUCCAAUCCUAUGAUAUAUAACUAAAACUAAACAGGCACUUAGGGUAUAUAUGAGCCACGGUGGAGAAGCUUUAUUUAAUAUUAUUGAUUUAAAUAAUAUCUCAUUAAAAAUGUACUGAGAAGAAAUUUCGGUGGGUAUUUUAGUCAAUCACAUGAUCAGCCUUUGGACUUGAAACGUCGGUCAGAAUGAUUUAUUCUAACAAGAAAAAACUAGGUAAUAUUCCACAAAAGUAAAAGUGACAAAACAACCAGCUGGAUUCUUUUAGGAAAUUACAAAGAGUAAUGAUACAGUCAUAAAUUUUUAUAUAAAUUUAUUUUAUAUAAAUUGAUGUGGUAUUAAUUCAUUAGUUGAAUGAAAAUAUAAAUUAAUAAAAAUAAAUUAUAUGGACCAAGUAAUAUUUAAUUCAAUCAAUCUUAUUAUGUCACAUCAAUUUAUAUAAAAUAAAUUUAUAUUUGUAUUAUUACUCAACUAUAAAUUAAAAUAAAUUUUUUCGAUAAACUACAAAUUAAAGUGGAUUCUUUUGAAUGCAAGUGGGACAGACGAUAAGGCUAAAAAUUAGUCAAGAAUCGAAUAGUCUUUUUCAAAUUCUUGUUUUAUUAUUUUUCAAAACCAGUUUUUGGUAAUUACAAUCGGGUCAUUAAUCAUUAUUCAGAGUUAUUGUUUCCUUCAGAAGUUAGUGGCUCAUGUUUGCAAGUGUGAAUAUGCGAUGCUCUUUUUCGAAAGCGCAAUGACAGUGGGUCCCGAAUCGGACGUCCCUAAAUCUUUUUAAAAUUUUUGCCGUAUAACGAACAGAGGUCAUUACUAAAAUUUCUCUUCCACAGCCUACAGCAGCUUCAGUUUAUCAAACUCAAUCAAUUUUCUUUCUUAACAAAAUUCCAAAGAUGUGUAGCAUUUUUCAGAUCACAUGCGAUGGUGCUCUUUUCAAUCGUUGCUUGGAUUGCUUUCUUGGAAAAGCAGCAUACAUACGUAACCUCCAAGAUAAUCUUGUAGCCUUGGAGACUGAACUGGGAAGACUAAUCGCAGCAAAGAACGAUGUGAUGAUGAGGGUUGUCAAUGCUGAACGGCAACAAAUGAGAAGGCUGGACGGAGUGCAAGUGUGGGUUUCGAGGGUGGACGCUGUUAAAACUGGAGCCGAUGAACUUAUCACAGACGGCUCUGAAGAAAUUGGCAAAUUAUGUGUUGGAGGCUACUGUUCCAAGAACUGCAGGUCAAGCUACAAAUUCGGAAAACAAGUGGGUAAAAAGCUACAAGAUGUGAAGACUUUAAUCGCCGAGGGAGUUUUUGAGGCGGUGGCCACUGAGGUGGUGCCCGAGAGAGCUCCGGAACCUGUAGCAGAUAAAAGACCCACUGAGCCAACAAUAGUAGGCCUGCAAUCACAGCUUGAACCAGUUUGGAGAUGUCUUGUAGAAGAAUCAGUGGGAAUCAUUGGCCUAUAUGGUAUGGGCGGUUUUGGUAAAACCACACUAUUGACCCAUAUCAACAAUAAAUUUCUUGAGAGUCCCACAAACUUUGAUUGUGUGAUUUGGGUCGUAGUUUCAAAAGACCUGCGACUUGAAAAAAUUCAAGAAGAUAUUGGGAAGAAGAUAGGUCUAUCUGAUGAUUCAUGGAAGAAUAAAAGUUUUGAAGAGAAAGCUGUGGACAUCCUGCUGAGAUUAGGAGAGAAGAGAUUUGUAUUGUUGUUAGAUGAUUUAUGGGAGCGGGUUGAUUUAACAAAAGUGGGCGUUCCACUUCCCAGCGCACAAAAUACUACCUCAAAAGUCGUAUUCACAACCCGUUCCAUUGGUGUUUGUGGCAGCAUGAGAGCUAGGCCGGUUAAAGUGGCAUGCCUAUCAGAAAAGCAAGCUUGGGAACUGUUCCGCGAAAAUGUUGGGGAAGAAACUCUUGAGAGUGAUCAUGAGAUCGUUGAGCUAGCCCAAACUGUGGCCAAAGAGUGUGGUGGUUUGCCACUCGCACUUAUUACUAUUGGUCGAGCUAUGGCCUACAGAAAGAAAGCGGAGCAGUGGAGACGUGCAAUUGAAGAGUUAAGAAGAUCAGCUUCAGAGUUUGCAGGUUUGGGAAAAGAGGUGUAUCCUCUUUUAAAGUUUAGCUAUGAUAGUUUGCAGAAUGAGACAAUUAGAUCUUGUUUCUUGUAUUGUUGUUUAUAUCCUGAAGAUUAUGGCAUUCUUAAAUGGGACUUGAUUGAUUGUUGGAUUGGUGAGGGAUUUUUUGGGGAAUCUGACAGGUUUGGUGCAGAAAACCAAGGAUAUGACAUUUUGGACACUCUUGUUCGUGCAUGUUUAUUAGAAGAGGUGGAAGAUGAUGAAGUAAAAAUGCAUGACGUUGUUCGUGAUAUGGCUAUAUGGAUAACUUGUGAAAUUGAGAAGGAGAAGAGAAACUUUUUGGUUUGUGCAGGUGCGGGACUAAAGGAGGCACCGGAGGUUAAAAGAUGGGAAAAUGUGAGAAGAUUGUCACUGAUGCAAAACCAAAUUAAAACUCUGUCAGAGGUUCCCACAUGCCCUCAUCUCCAUACUUUAUUUCUUGACUUCAAUGACAAUUUGAAUAUGAUCGCGGAUGGCUUCUUCCAACUUAUGCCUUCUCUCAAAGUUUUGAAGAUGUCAAACUGCGUGAAUUUAACUUUGAAAUUACCUUUGGGGAUGUCAAAGUUAGGUUCACUAGAACUUCUUGAUGUUUCGAAUACCGGCAUAAGAGAGUUACCAGAAGAGUUAAAGUUGUUGGUAAAUCUGAAAUGUUUGACUUUGAGGUGGACAUUUGAGUUAAAUAAAAUUCCACGGCAACUAAUAUCAAAUUCUUCAAGGUUACGUGUGUUGAGAAUGUUGGGUACUGGCCUUUUGAAUUUUCAUGAAGCGUCAGAAGAAAGCGUUUUAUUUGGUGGGGGUGAAGUUUUGAUACAGGAAUUGCUCGGUUUGAAAUAUUUAGAGGUAUUGGAGUUGACCUUGCGAAGUUAUCAUGCUCUCCAAAUUCUUUUGAGCUCAAAUAAGUUAAAAAGUUGUAUUCGAUCUCUUUUCCUCCAGUUGGCCGGAGAUGCAACGUCGAUUGUUGAUGCUACGGCUUUCGCAGAUCUAAACCACCUCAAUGAAUUAUAUAUUAAUAAAGGUUUUGAGUUGGAAGAAUUGAAGAUUGAUUAUACGGAGAUAGUACGAAAAAGGCGGGAACCUUUUGUUUUCCGCAGCCUUCACCAUGUUACUAUAUGGCGGUGCGCUAAAUUGAAAGAUUCGACAUUCCUCGUUUUUGCUCCAAACCUCAAGUCUCUUGUGCUAGGUAAUUGCCAUGCUAUGGAAGAAAUAAUCAGCGUUGGAAAAUUUUCCGAGGUUCCUGAGAUCAUGGGACAUAUGAGCCCUUUUGAAAAUCUCCAAAGGCUUCAUGUAGAAGAUUUGCCAGAUUUGAAGAGCAUCCACUGGAAGCCAUUGCCUUUCACUCAUCUGAAAGAAAUGGGGGUAAGAGCAUGUGAUCAGCUUGAAAAGCUUCCACUCGAUUCCAGCAGUGCAAAAGAGCGUAAAUUUGUUAUUCGUGGAGAAGAAGACUGGUGGAACCGACUUCAAUGGGAGGAUGAAGCCACUCAAAUUGCUUUUCGUUCCUGUUUCCAACCUUAUUCCUGAGCCGUGGUCGCAAAAUUUGAUUUCUGGUGAGUGCGUUUUUGUUAACGCUUAUGUUUUAUUCCAGUGUAUUUUUCUUCUGUCUUCUGCAAAUCACAAUUAAAUGUGUGAUACAUGUUACGGGUAAUAUACAUGCAGUAUUUUUGGUACACUGCAAAUCACAAUUAAAUGUGUGAUACAUGUUUACGGGAAAUUUAUAGACAUGCAGUAUUUUUGGUGGGGUCGAAUUGAUGCUCUGGUUUUUUUUUGUUGUCAAAAUUUUCUCUGUUUUUUCAAAUUGAUGCUUUAUUUAUAUCUUCUUCGUGAAAAGUGAUUUAAUUUCCUGCCAAAAGACGAACGAGAAGAACAUUAGAGUCAAACUAAUGCUCACAUAAAUUUCCCGUAAGAAUAUAUAUAUAAUUAGACUGGAAUAGUAGCCCUCUUUACAGAAAAUGACGCGAAAGUUAAUUUAGAAAGAUAUAUUCUUGAUUAAUCCAUUUUCUGAAGCUUUUAUUUUGUAUGGUCAAUUAUACCUUCAUACUAAAAAUUUCUGAAUUUAUAAAUUAGUGCAACUUGACAAUUUUUACUGAUGAUAUCUUCUAUUUUUCCUUUCUUUCUUUUUUUUUUUUACUCUCAUUGAAUGUUACUGUCAUUUUACUUACAAAUAGGUUUGAAUUUUAUUUAGUUUUCUCAUAGUAUUUGUGCAAGUACUAGAAGGUCAAACCCCGCAUACUUUGAUUGCCAAACCACCGUCCAAUUUAAAAAAAGAAAAAAAGAAAAAAAAUGUGUAAUCCAUGAAUCUGGUUAAUUUUGUUUGUUUGUUUUUUUUUUUUUAAAUAUCAUUCUUUUUCGGCCACCCAAAAUAUCAUUGAUGACUUUUCUGGUCUAAUGCUAUGUAAAUAGUAUGUUAAGUAAAACAUAAUCAAUUAUUUGUGUUUUAUCUCUAAUUAGAACAUCAAUCAGUUCAGUACCUCACAAAUAAUUCGCAAUAUCUACAAAAUACUAUAAUGGCUACAAAACAAAUCCUGCUUGCAAAUUGUCAAGGAUACCUAUCCGUUCGCUUGACAAGUCAUUUGAAUAAAUAUUGUUCACAUUCCUUACUCUGUCAAUUAUCCAAAGCACCAUCAACUUUAGUUUGAAUAGUAUACAUGCCAUCACCAUUACCAAGAAUCAAGCAUGAAAGAGUCAUUCUAUAGAGUGCAGAACAUGACUCUAUGCGGUAGUCAAUUUGACACACGACGAACAACAUAUGCUGCAUAACAUACAAAUUAAUUUCCCAUAUGUGAUGCAAUUUUCUCCUCAACAUAUGCGCAAUUCUUUCCAUUCCGGCCGUUGAUUGAACCCUUUGGCAACAAGACGAGCUUUAAGCCUGUCAGCAGAACCGUUGGAAUGUCUUUUAAUACAAAAAUCCAUUUGCAGCCAACAAUAUUGGAAGGGAUGGGAGGUGGAACAAGCUUCCAUGUCCCGUUACGAACAAGAGCAUCAUACUCUUCUGACAUAGCUUGACGCCAGUGAGGAUUUUUGAUAGCUUGCGUCACAGUUGUAGGUUCACAAUCAGAAGAAGGGCUAAAAUGAGCACGGAGGUUAAGUUUUUGUAACGGCUUGUGAAUCUUAUUUUUAGCUCGGGUAGUCAUAUCAUGAUGAUUUGUGGGGCAAUGAUGUAGUGGAGUUUGGGAAGAUGAUUGAAGAGGAAGUGAAGAAGUGCUUUGUGUAGAGGUAGAAGUAGGUUGGGAGGAUUGCUGCGGAGAUGUUACCGGUAGAGAAGAAGGAGCAGUACACGGUGGCAACUCCAGAGGGCCCAUAGUGAAACACUUGCGUAAUUAGGAGUGGUAGAAGAGCUUGUAAUGAUUUGUAUGGAAAAACAAACUCUACAAAUUUAACGAGACGUGAAAUGAAAAUUUGAAAGGUGGAUGGGUCAAAACAUAAAUAAGCACUUUGAGAUAAAGGAAUAUCCUAUAAAAACACAAGGCUUAGAGGGUGGUUCGAGUUUAUAUGAUGAAACACAAACAUUCAAAAAUUUUAAGUUUAUAUUAAUUAGGAGUGGUACCAAAAAUUAAUUAGGAGUGGUCCGCGGGACAUGUAGCUAUGGGGUUGUUGGAUGUGUUUUGGAUAUUUACAGACAUGCUGAGUUUGAGUUUAUAUCUCAACUUAAAAUUUGUAGUUUUCACUUGAAAAAAUUCAGUUAAAAAUUGAUUGGUAGAAUUGUGAAAAAAGUUUAAAUUUUUAGUUCAACCCGAUUGCAUAUUUAAGAACAUCUCAAAUGAAUUGCUUACUGCUAUCAUCAUCAUUAUUGUCCAUAUAAUAAUGGAUCUUUAUUAUAUAUAUAUGUUUCCACUAAAAUAUAUUUAAUUAUUCUUUAUUUUUCCAUUGUUGCGUGUAAGAUUUAUUUGAGUUCUAAGUUAUAUCAAUACAAAUGUUAUCUUAUCCAUUAAAAGUUAGAUCCAACAAUUAUGAAAAUUACCAUAGAGUUGCUUUCAACUAUUUUUUAAAAAUACCAGGAGUAAAAAAUAAUUAGUUCAAAUGGUGGAGACUAAAAAGCGUUCACCUUUAUUUUUUAUCUGUUAUUUAUUUUUUUCAUUAAUGCACAUGCUAUACAUUUGAGACAUUCCAUUAAUUGCCAAUUAUGUAUGUGAGAUAGUAAUUUAAAUUAAAAAAAUAAAAGUGAAAGUUAAUCCUAUGCAAUGUGAAUAAAUUUCUUUCCUUUUUCCUUUACUCUUUUUAUUUGACAAUAAAGUUUCCAUCUAUCAUCUAUCAUCUAUGUACGCAAAAUUUCUGCAACAGGUACAAAACAUAAAAAUAUAUGAUUGUUAAGGGAAACGCGCAGGAGUUCAUCAUUUCAAUGUUCAGCAUUACCAAUUUUGGCAUUAAGCUGAAUAUAUUCCACUUAGAAAGCAAAAUAUUAGACUCGUGAUUUUAAUUCAUUCAUUAUCUCUCAUUUUAAUCCCAAAAUAUUCAAGAGCAUCCAAGUUACCAUAAGACUUCAGAGGCUCAAGCCUUAGCCAGAGAUGGUUAAUUGAUAGACUAUGUGCCUGGGUCGAGCACUGGAAGCCUGCAAUGCAGACUGAUUGAUUUAUCAGUUUAACGUGUGCCAGGAAUGAAGAACUGGAAUAUCACCGUCAAGCAAGCACCCUGUGGAGCAAUACCGAAGAAUGCACAAUCCAGCUUUGCUAGGUGACACUGGAGGCUUUUUGAAAAGUGCUUCACGCUCACUUGCACAGAUUGAGCAUCCCCUCUGGAUAUUGCCCUCUCUGAUCGAGUCUGAGCACUCAAAUUUUGGUCCUCAGAGGGAGCUACAGUUUCUCUCCACUAACCAACAAUUUUCUAAACUCAGCACCUAGUGUGAUCAGAGUUGUUGAUAUUUGCAAAUGGAGAUCCCCAUAUUUGCAAAUGGAGACAUUUAACAAAUCACCAACAUGCUUCAUCCGGUCCACGAAAUUCUGCAACUGAUUCAAAUCUGGAACCUGAACCAGAGUCGGAGGUAUAUCUUGAGCCAUAUCUAAAGCAGUUUGAAGUUCAAGACCUUGAGCCCUUGACAAUGGUUUUGAAAUUGGAACAUCUUGGAUUACUGCAGACUUGUACCCCUUGGUUUCAAAGGUAAGGAAAGGCAUUGCUUGAGUACAAUUUGGAGGCAGCUUCUUCACCAAUUUUAUUUGGAGGCGAUUGGUAGCGGAUCCAGCUGCACCAAUUUCAGAGCAACUACUGACACUACUUCGAACAGCACACUGAAGAAGUGAUAUGUCUACGGCGAAGGCAAUGCAGUCCUCAUUUUGGCUUGAGACACAGUAAUCAUCGUAGAGAGUUUCCUUGUGAAACUGGGCAACACAUUGAAUCCCUUCGCCACUGAGAAGGUUGUGGAGGAAGUAAGCUUUCUCUCUAGUGAGGAAGAGGUGGCAUACCUUCCCCAUUUUGUCUAGGGCAGGUAGGAAUCUUUUUUCUAAGAGAUUUACUUCAUUCUCUGUGAGAAAUGCUUUGAACUUCAUCCCUCUGUCUCUAUCCUCACUUAUCAGGAAAUAAGUUGAAAGCACUACGAAGAGAGAGAGAGAGAGAGAGAGAGAGAGAAUUAAGAUAUAUAGACAAGAAAAAUAUUAGAUGUUGAUCUUACAAACUAAUACUUCAAGCAGUAUCCUAGAAAGCUAAAAACUGCAAGAUGGCUUGAAAUUUGAGAAGAGCACGUGCUUUUCCUCCUUAACUUGAGAAAAUGUUUUAUAUAGUGCACCUUACAGAAGCAUUUAAGCAAUUAGAACUUUGCACAAAAACAUCAAGAAGACUAAACAAAUCAGAUGCAGUGCAUUUGUCCAAGCACAAAUUGCAUUUUGUCCUCAACUUUAAUAUUUAUUGAUGAGAAUCAAUACAGGUCCCUCAUUUGUUAUAGAAAGCUUUCUUGUAGUCUCACCAGUUAAUAUGGAUAUUAGAUAAGGAAACUUUAUUAGGUUGCGAGGGUAAAAAAGGAAAGAGAUAUCAUUAUUUUAUUAUCGAUAAUUAUUAAAUUUUUUUCCAAAAAAAAGAACAAGCAAUGAUAUUUUAUUGUCAAUUGCAACCUUUAAUUUUUUUAAAUGCUAUUAGAAACACAAGAUAACAAAGAAAUACUUAUUUUUUCCUAAAACUAAAAUCAAUUGUUUAACUUCUUAUUUCAUAAUCCAACUCCAUUACUAAGUUAAAAAAAAUUGUUUCAAAAUUACUUGAGUCAUAUUCAAUGGACCAACAAAGUAACCGUUUUUAUUUUUAUUGAUUUUUGCAGGAAAUUAAUAAGUUAAAAAUAAUGAAAGCUAUUGUAAAAAAAUUUAUUAUCAACCUCAUAAUUUUUUUUUUUUUGGGGAAGAGAAUUCAAACAUUUUUUUUUUUUAAUUUCCAAGAAUUCUUGACACCCAUCUUAAUUAAAAGCUAUAUUUUUAUUCAAGAGUCAUGCUAUUCAUUCACUCACAGACCAAAGGCUUUCCGCAGCAAUAUUAUUAUUUAAAUUACAACAAAGGGGAAAUCAAACACGUCAUACAGAAGCUUAAAGGUGAAUCUACAAAAUCUAGAGCUCUCAACUACAAAAAUUACACUUGAUGAUCCUCUACAAGAUGAAGGUUGUUCAAUAUCUUGAGAUUGCCUGCCUUCCUCGACGACCUGCACGAUGUGUUUGUACAAAUCAUCAUACCUGUGCACCGGAUUUUUAAUAUCAACGCCACUGCAGCUGUGAUCAAGAACAUAAGAGCAUUUAACAUCUUUUCUCCAUCGAGAAAGAAUGUAGUGAGAUGGGAUCUCCUGCAUGCCACUCUGGUUUAGAACACAAAGAAUGUGUCUGCAUAAAUAUCCUCUGAAAUUGAACAACCCACAAACACAAAGCACCUCCAAGUCGGAGGCAUUGUACAAAACAUCGAAAGCCCUUGAAUCUUUCUCGUUGCUACCAACCUUAAAUUCUUCCUUCACUAUGUAUGUUACAGGUCCAUCAGCACUGACAUGUUUUGUGCUAUAGCAAUACAUAGCCUCCACCUCCGUCUGAAACUUCCUUAACAUUUCAUUUGUGUACAGUUUUGAGAGUUGAAAUUCAUAGUAUCAUCUUGGUUUCUGGAUACAACUUGAAUUUCUUGAAUCCAUAUCUGCCAAGGCUACCAGUUGAUAAUUCGCCUGCAGUGCUUGAUCAUACUUGUCUAAGAAUUCUUUCAAAGGAGUAUUCUUAUCAAGAUAUCCUUCAAAGUAUGAAGUAGAAACCUCAUUCUGCAGGAACGAAAACACUCCUGAUAAAAAAGCUUCCUUCAAAUAAAUAGGAGCCCACCUUUUAUGAUCUUCAUAUAAAGUUUGAAUCUAUCCGUGAUCCUUUAUUCCAUGACAUUGAAUCAUGUCUUCCCAAGCUGCUUCAAAUUUCUCAGGCCUGAGAGAGUGAUAAAUUGCUCUAUGUAAUGCAGCUUUAAUAGCUUCAUAUUCAAACAAUCCUUGGAGUUUCUCUGGAAUUUUUUUGCAUGAUGCAUGACAAUGAAAAGCAAUGAUAAGCUCUUGGGAAAACAUCACCAACAGCAAUUUGCAAGAUUCUACAUUGGUCAGUGAUGAUUGUUUGUGGAGAGCUCCCUAACAUACAUGUAAGCCACGCCGUAAACAACCAUGUAUAUGAUUCUAUGGUCUCACUGGCAAGUAAAUCACAAGUCCACAACCCAACAACACUGAUUGUCCAUGAUGAUUCACCCCAAUGAAUGAAACCAGUGGUACAUCAUAUCUUUCAGUCAGGCACGUAGUAUCAAUUAAGACCACAUCACCAAAGUACCUAUAUGCAACUCUUGACCUGGUAUCAGUCCAGAAUAGGUUUCUCAAGCAUCCCUUUUCAUUUAGAUCCACUACAUUAAAAAAGUUUGGAUCUGUCAACUGCAAAUGACAAAAGAAACUCUGGACAGCUUGUGCAUCUCCUGGUUUAAGCUUCAAUUGAUUUGAGCUAUUAACAUUAUUUCCAAAUACUCCAUUAACAUCUACCAUUUCCCUUGGUAUCAAUGAUAAGAGUUCGAAACAGUUUAAUUUUUUGAACUUCUUCAGCACUAUCUAAAUGCAAUGUUCUUUUGGUUCCAAUACCUAUGUGCUUAUGUGACUUGUAAAACUUUCCGCUUCUUGGGCUUAACAAGUGGUUAUGCUCAAGCUCGACUUCAAUGAUUCUCCACCUUUUGGUUUCCAUCAACCUAAACUUUAUCAUUGCUGGACAGCCAGUUCUUGUUUCUGGUCUUGGGCGGUUUGCCUCGCUUUUCUUCUUGAAGCCUGCACUACUACAGCUCAGCUUUCCUCUAUACUUUUCUCUACUCUUUCGGUACCAUGGAUUGCUAACUCUAACACCAAAACCCUGUUCCUUGGCAUAGCAAUUGUAAAAGUAAUAUACAUCAUCAUACAUCUCAAACUCCAUUCCAACAGUAGGAGGCAAGGGAUUUUGGAUUAUCCCAGUUUGUCCAACAUAUUCAGUCAUCGCACAAUCUCCUACGACCUCAAAAUCAUCAGUGUCAUCAUCACCUACUGGUUCGGUGUUGAGAGAAACUUCAUCCAUCUACAAUGGAUGUUCAAUGAAGUGAGCUUUAAGGAGAAAAAGCAAAAUCAGUUCAAGGAAUGAUAAUAUAAUCAUACAGUUACUUUCACAAAGCUUCAUAUUUCAUCACUGCUUUACCAACAUGCAACUGCCAGAGAACAAACAGACAUGUCAUAGACGCUUGAAUUAAGUAUUGGUACAAAUGAGCACACAUCAUGUGGGACAAAAUUUCAGUCACUAAACCCAAUACCACUUUUUACAUCAUACCAAGGAACAGAUUAAACCCGACACCUUCUUUUAAACCAUACCAAGGAGCAGAUUAAAUCAUCAAUGAAAAAUUAAUCACAUAAUAACUUAACCAGACAAAUGAAGAGCCUGAAACAGCACAAAACUUGAAUCUGAUUAUGAUAAUUGUUGAGUCCUUGUAUCUACAGCUUUCCUUCAAUGAUAAGACAAUGAACAUAAACGAGACACAAAAAAAUUAUUUUAAACUGACAGCCCAUGAUAUAAAUCAAACAAAAUCAACUCCUUUUUUUACACAUUACAUCUCAUAUUCAUUUACAUUGAAACACAAAAAGGAAGCAGGAGUGGGAAAAAAACAACAGCAGAGGAACUUAUUUCCAUAAGGUUUACGAAAUAAGGAAUCUAUUAAAACCCAAAACUUGAGGUCACCACUAAGAAUUUGGUUCUCAUUAUUUUUUUCUUCAUUUUUCACCAAUUGAUGAACUUAAAAUACAAUCAUAAAUGAUAAAACCCCAUCUCCAUCUUUUUGAACUAGAGCUAAAGCAAAGCAUUUUAAGAUGUUUCAUCAUUUUUUAAAAAAAAAAAAAACUCAAUAGUACAAUGUUUUUCAAUGUUAAAUGCACAAUUCAAUCUUCUCCUAAUUUACUCUAAUAAUCUCUUAAUUAAGGAAGAUUAAGCUUCAGUUGUAAGCUAAAACAAAUUUCUUAAAUCAAGCCCCAAUGCUUUAUGCUAUUCAACAAGGGCUCAUAAAUGAUAAAACUACUUCUAUAAAGAUACCCAUUUUCUAAAUUAAUUUCACAAACUGAAAUCAAACUCCUGAAACGUAACGAGCAUUAAUAUAAUCAAGCCCGAACAAGAAUUGAUAAAUGAUACAUAAACUCGUUUACACAUUUCGACAGACACUUUGCAAUCAAUGAGCAAAAAAUUAAUGGAGAAGAUAAAAUUCAAACGAAACAUGCCUUACAUUGAUAAAUUAGAAGGGCAAAAGAAAUUUUAGUACGAUAUGGGAUCAGGGUCUUGCCACGGUGAUGUUAUUUGUGAAGUUCGAGCGACUCAGCAGCCUUCGAGGUUGAAAAUUUGAUUGACCAAAAGCUUCCCGUUCGUUGAUUCUCUAAUAGUAGAAACGAGACUGGCAGUAUACACAACAAGUUCGCCGAUUUUAAAUUCCGUUGUUUGAGAUGGAAAAUUUUUUGAAAAAAUUAAUGUGUUCGAUGAAAAUCAAAAUCUCAAAAACCUUUUGUUUUUCAUUUUUUUGGAAAAAACCAUUGAGAUCCUUACUAUUUUUUCUUAUAUCAUCUUGCUUAAUAAUUUGCAAAGUCUAUCGCAUAGCACCCAUGCAUGAUGUAUGCUGCGUUGUAAUUUACAAUAUUGUACAUGAAUAAAUCCAGCUAAUAUUUGUUAAAAGAAAAUAAUAAUAACAUGUUAAAACUUUAAAAUUUGAUUAUUAGAAGAAAUUUUAAUUUAGCUAAGUAGGUGACAUGAUAAUAAAUAGAUACGUAUAAUGUCCGAGAUUUUUUAUAAGAUUAAUAAAUAUGAUAAAUUUGGAUUAGUUCAAUUUUGACAUAAUUGCAAACAAUUUAAUUUGUGUUGUUUCUCUAAAAGUUUGAGACACAAAUGUUAUUUCAAAUUGAUAAAAGUACAAUUUAAUCCCACUUGCUCUUCAACUAAAAAUUAAACAUGCAAAUACACACACUAAUUUAAAGUCAUCUGUAUAAUUGAAACGCCAUGCACUAGUAGUAGGUCAGAGAAACCAAGGUUGAAAUGUGUAGAAAUGUUGAAACGCCAAUAAUAAUUGAAACGCCAUGCACUGUUCGUUUAUUUUUAUUCAUGAUUUUUUGUAAAACGUAAGAAAUGUGUAGAAAUGUUGCCAGCAAUGAUUUUGGAACUUUGCAUAAAAUUUUUAUCGUUAUUGUUUUUGGUAUUAAGAAAUCCGAGGCGGUGAUUAGACGUAUGUUGCAACAAUUAAGAAAUUUCUUAUUGGAGAUAAUUCGGUAGGUUGCAACAAUUAGAGAAUCAUUUUCCUGUCAGUUAAACGGUUCAUUUUCAGCCAUAACAUGCUAAAAAUGCUACACUUAACGGUUCAUUUUCAUGGAUUUUCUCGGGAAACAAACAGAAAAUUACGGUUUAGAGAGUUGACUGACGUUUUGGCUUUUGAAAUUGAGAAGAUCGCGCGCCAAAUUGGAAGAGGGAAAGUGAAAGUGCGAGUUUUAAUAUGGGCAUUAGAUAAGGAAAUUUUAUUAGGUUGCGAGGGUAAAAAAGGAAAGAGAUAUCAUUAUUUUAUUAUCGAUAAUUAUUAAAUUUUUUUCCAAAAAAAGAACAAGCAUGGAUAUUUUAUUGUCAUUUGCAACCUUUAAUUUUUUAAAUGCUAUUAGAAACACAAGACAACAAAGAAAUACUUAUUUUUUUCCUAAAACUAAAAUCAAUUGUUUAACUUCUUAUUUCAUAAUCCAACUCCAUUACUUCGUGCUGGUUUUUUCAGGUGAAUAACAGCUAAAAAUAAUUUUAAAAGCUGUUACCAAUUCUCAUGAACUGUUACAAUUAAAAAAAUCAAGCAUGCAUGGAUGGUUAAGUGUGUAGAGAGAACCUCCAUCCUUAUAAUUCUUACUUAUGCAUGGUUAAGUGUUUAUAUUUAAACACUAAUUUCUAGGCUUCUUUUUCCCAUGUGGGAUAAGCCUCAUUUCCUUUCAAAUUUCCAACUUCAAGGGUGAACUUUGAGAGACAAUUUCUCAUUCACCCAAGCACCAUUUUGAGAAAAUAAAAUUAUACUUUUGAAGUAUGAACGGAAUAGAAUCCGAAUCUCACAAUAUUUCCCACUUUAGUUAAAUAGGACCCACUCAAAAUGUGCUCUCAAAAUAACAUGUUAUGCUAUUUUUUCAACAAAAUUGUGGGCCAACAAUAGUGGGCAUGGUGUCGACUUUUGAGAAAGCCUGGAGAUGCGUUGAAGAAGAAUCAAUUGGAAUUAUUGGCCUAUAUGUCAAUGGGGGAGUUAGAAAAUAUUUACUCAAAUCAACAACAAGUUCCUUGAUAGUCCAAAUAAUUUUGAUGUUGCGAUCUGGGUAGUGGUCUGCCAAGAUUUGCAACCCCAGAAGUUUCGGGAAAAGAUUGGGAAAAAGAAAGGCUUCUUCGAUGAGUCAUGGAAGAUAUGAAGUUUUGAAGAGAAAGCACUCGACAUAUUCAAGAAUUUAAGCAAGAUGAAGUUUGUAUUACUGUUGGAUGAUAGAUGGGAGCAUGUUGAUUUAAUUAAAAUUGGUGUCCCUCUUCCAAGCAGAAAAAUUACAUUCAAGAUAGUCUUCACAACUCGUUCUAUUGACAUUUGUGGCCUCAUGGAAGCUCACAACAAGAUUAAAGUGGAGUGUUUAAAUGACAAAGAAGCAUGGGAAUUAUUCUGCAAGAAGGUUGGAGAAGAUGUGGCGACUCUGUCCAAGUGCUAAGGAGAUCAGCCUCUAGGUAUGUAAAAACAAGUAUAUCCUCUUUUGAAAUUCAGUUAUGAUAAUUUACCAAGCGAUAAAAUUAGAUCGAGUCUGUUAUACUGUAGUUUGUUUCCAGAAGACUUUCCAAUUAGCAAAAUGGAAUUGAUACUGAGAUACGAAAUCAAGGAUACUACAUUAUUGGUGUUCUUGUUCCUUUAUGUUUAUUGGAAGAAGAGGCUCCACUGUUUGUAAAAGUGCAUGAGGUGAUACGCGAUAUGCUUCUGUGGAUAGCUGUGAAGGUUUUUUUUUUUUUUUUUUUUUUUUUUUAUAGGGAUAGCAUGUGAAGUUGAGAAGGAGAGAGAGAAUUUUGCAAGGAUUAACUGAAGUACCAGACAUUUGGAAAUGGGAAGGGUUGAGAAGGGUGUCUUUGAUGAUCAACAAAACUGAGAAGGUAUCAGAAAUUCCUUCAUCUCACGAUCCACUAACUUUGUUGCUUCAACAUAAUUAUUUAGAGGUGAUCAAUAAUGACUUCUUCCAAUCUAUGCAUUCCCUUAGAGUUUUGAACUUAUCAUGUAAUCAUUCUCUAACUGAUAAUUUCAAAGUUAGUUUCCCUACAUACGAGAGUUGCCGAAUGAGUUAACGUUCGUAGUGAAUCUUAAGUUUUUGAAUGUGGAGUAUGCACGGUUUCUUCAUUCAAUUCCAGGGCAAGUGAUAUCCAGUUUUACGAUGUUACAAGUUUUGAAGAUGUUUGGUUGUGGCAGGUCAUCUUCUGAUCGUGAGCCACACCAGAAGAUAGCGUUUUAUUUGGAGGCAGUAAAUUUUUGAUUGCGGAGUUGUUUGGUUUGAGAGACAUUUAGAUGUGUUGACCAUCAUCCUAAGAAGCUCCCAUGCUCUGAAAAGAUUUUUGAGCUCCAACAAACUUCAAAGUUGUUGAUGCCGAAAUCCGGAUGAGUUGAUCGAAUCUCAGAUCCCUGCAUCAGCAUUGAAUUUGUUUGGUGGGAAGCUGAUGAUUAGUUAGCACCAUGAGCAGAUUUUCUAUGAGCAGAUGUUCUGUGAGCAGAUCAGAUGUUCUCCUCGUUCUACGACCAGGGUCUCUGCUCGAUCAACUUCACCACGACCAGGAUCUCUCCUCGUAAAGCUUCUUCUCCAGAGGUUCCUGCGCACACAGACAAGUCAGAGUACGCCGGUUGUUUUCCCGGCGCAAACCCUCCGACGCUCAAGUCAGAUAUGAAGGUUCGGGGAACGCUUGCCACAGAUCUUAUGGCUUUUGUGUAGUUUUCUUUAGAAUUGCUUUUAUCUCUCUUCUAAUCUCAAAAUUGCUAACCCUUUUACCUUCGUUGGCUACCUUUUUAUAGGCUUCCUCUCAAUCCCAGUUUUCCGCAGUCUAUGCCGUUAUCCCACGUUCUCCUUCAAUUUUCAUCCCUCCUUUUUCGGGUAGUGGCCUUUAAAUGCUUUUAAAUGCUACAUCAUGGGAAACGUGGGGUAUCGCAUCUCUCGUAACGGUUCUGGGAAGAAUGUAAACGCCAUAAUUCUGUGGGAUCGUGUUCCUGCUUUUCCAGGAGAUGGGUAUCAGCUCGGGAUACACCUUUUGUCAGUAUCCGUCUCUGAUCGGUUCAUGUUGCCCUCUGCUCUGCUCGUACAGUUACACUUGGCUGAGGUGAUUCAUGCCGGGGGUGAUUCAUGCCGAGGUGAAAACAGUACUAUGGCCGACCUGGUAUCAUUAUUGGCUCAACACCAGUCCCCCAGUUUCUGGUCUUGUGAGUGAAAUGAGUCAAGAGUAGAAACUGAUAUUCAAAUCUUACCAAUCCGGGGGCUUCUCCUCUGGUCUUUCAUCUAUCGGGAUGGUCCUGAGGUAUCAUUUUUCUUCAAGGGAGAUUUUGACCUGAGUAUGGAAUAGGAAGUCAUCUGCUCAAGUUUAGACCACGUGGUCGAGGUGAUCUGGUCAAGCUCAUAGCACAUGGUCGAGGUGAUCUGCUCCACCUCAUAGCACCUGGUCGAGGUGAUCUGCUCCACCUCAUAGCACAUGGUCGAGAUGAUCUGAUCCACCUCAUAGCACCUGGUCGAGGCGAUCUGCUGAAGCUCAUACCAUCUGGCCAAGGUGACCUGCUCAACCAUUUGCUCACUUUCACUUGGAGGAGAUCAUGGUCGCUCUAUUUAAUUCCUCAAACACCAGUCCCCCAGUUUCUAGUGUUGAGAGUGAAACAAAUCAAGACUGGAAACUUUAGUGGUCUGCUCGUCUUCGCUUGGUUGAGCAGAUCCUGGCACGCUUGGCUUCUGUCUCGCCAUAAAACAGGCUUUGAGACUUUGUCGAGCCUUUGCAUGCCUUCGAUUCUUCAAGGAUUGGGAUUCUGCUCGCCUUCUCGUGGCCGAGCAGAUCCUAGCACGCUUGGCUUCUGUCUCGCCAUAAAACAGGCUUUGAGACUUUGGUGAGCCUUUGCGUGCCUUUGAUUCUUCAAGGAUUGGGAUUCUACUCGCCUUCUCGUGGCCGAGCAGAUCCUGGCACGCUUGGCUUCUGUCUCGCCAUAAAACAGGCUUUGAGACUUUGGUGAGCCUUUGCGUGCCUUUGAUUCUUCAAGGAUUGGGAUUCUGCUCGCCUUCUCGUGGCCGGUGGCCGAGCAGAUCCUGGCACGCUUGGCUUCUGUCUCGCCAUAAAACAGGCUUUAAGACUUUGGUGAGCCUUUGCGUGCCUUUGAUUCUUCAAGGAUUGGGAUUCUGCUCGCCUUCUCGUGGCCGAGCAGAUCCUGGCACGCUUGGCUUCUGUCUCGCCAUAAAACAGGCUUUGAGACUUUGGUGAGCCUUUGCGUGCCUUUGAUUCUUCAAGGAUUGGGAUUCUGCUCGCCUUCUCGUGGCCGAGCAGAUCCUGGCACGCUUGGCUUCUGUCUCGCCAUAAAACAGGCUUUGAGACUUUGGUGAGCCUUUGCGUGCCUUUGAUUACUUCAAAGAUUGGGAUUCUGCUCGCCUUCUCGUGGUCGAGCAGAUCCUGGCACGCUUGGCUUCUGUCUCGCCAUAAAACAGGCUUUGAGACUUUGGUGAGCCUUUGCGUGCCUUUGAUUCUUCAAGAUUGGGAUUCUGCUCGCCUUCUCGUGGCCGAGCAGAUCCUGGCACGCUUGGCUUCUGUCUCGCCAUAAAACAGGCUUUGAGACUUUGGUGAGCCUUUGCGUGCCUUUGAUUCUUCAAGGAUUGGGAUUCUGCUCGCCUUCUCGUGGCGAGCAGAUCCUGGCACGCUUGGCUUCUGUCUCGCCAUAAAACAGGCUUUGAGACUUUGGUGAGCCUUUGCGUGCCUUUGAUUCUUCAAGGAUUGGGAUUCUGCUCGCCUUCUCGUGGCCGAGCAGAUCCUGGCACGCUUGGCUUCUGUCUCGCCAUAAAACAGGCUUUGAGACUUUGGUGAGCCUUUGCGUGCCUUUGAUUCUUCAAGGAUUGGGAUUCUGCUCGCCUUCUCGUGGCCGAGCAGAUCCUGGCACGCUUGGCUUCUGUCUCGCCAUAAAACAGGCUUUGAGACUUUGGUGAGCCUUUGCGUGCCUUUGAUUCUUCAAGGAUUGGGAUUCUGCUCGCCUUCUCGUGGCCGAGCAGAUCCUGGCACGCUUGGCUUCUGUCUCGCCAUAAAACAGGCUUUGAGACUUUGGUGAGCCUUUGCGUGCCUUUGAUUCUUCAAGGAUUGGGAUUCUGCUCGCCUUCUCGUGGCCGAGCAGAUCCUGGCACGCUUGGCUUCUGUCUCGCCAUAAAACAGGCUUUGAGACUUUGGUGAGCCUUUGCGUGCCUUUGAUUCUUCAAGGAUUGGGAUUCUGCUCGCCUUCUCGUGGCCGAGCAGAUCCUGGCACGCUUGGCUUCUGUCUCGCCAUAAAACAGGCUUUGAGACUUUGGUGAGCCUUUGCAUGCCUUUGGUAAUUUCUUCGAAACUUGGGAUUCUGCUCGCCUUCUCGUGGUCGAGCAGAUCCUGGCACGCGUGGCUUCUGUCUCGCCAUAAAACAGGCUUUGAGACUUUGGUGAGCCUUUGCGUGCCUUUGAUUCUUCAAGGAUUGGGAUUCUGCUCGCCUUCUCGUGGCCGAGCAGAUCCUGGCACGCUUGGCUUCUGUCUCGCCAUAAAACAGGCUUUGAGACUUUGGUGAGCCUUUGCAUGCCUUUGAUUCUUCAAGGAUUGGGAUUCUGCUCGCCUUCUCGUGGCCGAGCAGAUCCUGGCACGCUUGGCUUCUGUCUCGCCAUAAAACAGGCUUUGAGACUUUGGGGAGCCUUUGCGUGCCUUUGAUUCUUCAAGAAUUGGGAUUCUGCUCGCCUUCUCGUGGCCGAGCAGAUCCUGGCACGCUUGGCUUCUGUCUCGCCAUAAAACAGGCUUUGAGACUUUGGUGAGCCUUUGCGUGCCUUUGAUUCUUCAAGGAUUGGGAUUCUGCUCGCUUUCUCGUGGCCGAGCAGAUCCUGGCACGCUUGGCUUCUGUCUCGCCAUAAAACAGGCUUUGAGACUUUGGUGAGCCUUUGCGUGCCUUUGAUUCUUCAAGGAUUGGGAUUCUGCUCGCCUUCUCGUGGCCGAGCAGAUCCUGGCACGCUUGGCUUCUGUCUCGCCAUAAAACAGGCUUUGAGACUUUGGUGAGCCUUUGCGUGCCUUUGAUUCUUCAAGGAUUGGGAUUCUGCUCGCCUUCUCGUGGCCGAGCAGAUCCUGGCACGCUUGGCUUCUGUCUCGACAUAAAACAGGCUUUGAGACUUUGGUGAAUCUUUGCGUGCCUUUGAUUCUUCAAGGAUUGGGAUUCUGCUCGCCUUCUCGUGGCCGAGCAGAUCCUGGCACGCUUGGCUUCUGUCUCGCCAUAAAACAGGCUUUGAGACUUUGGUGAGCCUUUGCAUGCCUUUGGUAAUUUCUUCAAAACUUGGGAUUCUGCUCGCCUUCUCGUGGUCGAGCAGAUCCUGGCACGCGUGGCUUCUGUCUCGCCAUAAAACAGGCUUUGAGACUUUGGUGAGCCUUUGCGUGCCUUUGAUUCUUCAAGGAUUGGGAUUCUGCUCGCCUUCUCGUGGCCGAGCAGAUCCUGGCACGCUUGGCUUCUGUCUCGCCAUAAAACAGGCUUUGAGACUUUGGUGAGCCUUUGCAUGCCUUUGAUUCUUCAAGGAUUGGGAUUCUGCUCGCCUUCUCGUGGCCGAGCAGAUCCUGGCACGCUUGGCUUCUGUCUCGCCAUAAAACAGGCUUUGAGACUUUGAUGAGCCUUUGCGUGCCUUUGUAGUAAACUUUGACUGGUUUCUUAACUCUAGCCUAGCUCUCUUUUCUUAAAUCAUUCUCAUAUUGAGUAACUUUCAAGAAAUCAAGUUAACUAAGUUAAACAGUCAGCCCUAAUAUAAGCACAAUUAGUUGAAUGAAUAUAAGGCAUCCUCAUAUCACAUAGUAGGAUUUAGAGAAAUAAUUAAAUUUUCAUGAGAAAAUUGUUUGUAAAUAAAAAUUUAACUUCUGACCUGUUCUGAUUUCUGCAAACGUCUGCCUUCAUUGUGCUCUCAUUUAAGGGUUUUGCUACCUUGUUUAAGCACGCUCAUCCAUUUAUGUACUGUAACAUUCUGAUUUGCUUCGACUAGAUGAAAAUUGAUAGAAACAAAAAUUUGGCUUCUCGUACCGGUCCCCACAGACGGCGCCAAAUGUUGAUGCCGAAAUUCGGAUGAGUUGAUCGAAUCUCAGAUCCCUGCAUCAGCAUUGAAUUUGUUUGGUGGGAAGCUGAUGAUUAGUUAGCACCAUGAGCAGAUUUUCUAUGAGCAGAUGUUCUGUGAGCAGAUCAGAUGUUCACCUCGUUCUACGACCAGGGUCUCUGCUCGAUCAACUUCACCACGACCAGGAUCUCUCCUCGUAAAGCUUCUUCUCCAGAGGUUCCUGCGCACACAGACAAGUCAGAGUACGCCGGUUGUUUUCCCGGCGCAAACCCUCCGACGCUCAAGUCAGAUAUGAAGGUUCGGGGAACGCUUGCCACAGAUCUUAUGGCUUUUGUGUAGUUUUCUUUAGAAUUGCUUUUAUCUCUCUUCUAAUCUCAAAAUUGCUAACCCUUUUACCUUCGUUGGCUACCUUUUUAUAGGCUUCCUCUCAAUCCCAGUUUUCCGCAGUCUAUGCCGUUAUCCCACGUUCUCCUUCAAUUUUCAUCCCUCCUUUUUCGGGUAGUGGCCUUUAAAUGCUUUUAAAUGCUACAUCAUGGGAAACGUGGGGUAUCGCAUCUCUCGUAACGGUUCUGGGAAGAAUGUAAACGCCAUAAUUCUGUGGGAUCGUGUUCCCGCUUUUCCAGGAGAUGGGUAUCAGCUCGGGAUACACCUUUUGUCAGUAUCCGUCUCUGAUCGGUUCAUGUUGCCCUCUGCUCUGCUCGUACAGUUACACUUGGCUGAGGUGAUUCAUGCCGGGGGUGAUUCAUGCCGAGGUGAAAACAGUACUAUGGCCGACCUGGUAUCAUUAUUGGCUCAACAAAAGUUGUACCUGAUCUCUCUAUCCUAAAUGCUUUGAUUCGAAGUCAGUUGAUGUUUUUGGCUAGGCUGAUCUGAAGCAUCUCAAUAGGCUAUAGAUAUUGCGAGUUGUAAGCUUUUGGAAGAAGUGAAGAUUGACUUUGUUGGGAAAGCACAAUGAACCCAUGGUUUUCACAGCCUUAUGUCACGGAAGUUGUCUAAAUACUGCACGGGUUGCUGCGCAAAGUAACCAUCCUAUGACAUUGAGCCAUGUUGAAAUAUCAUUUUGCUGUAAACUGAGGGAUUUGACAUAGCUUGCUUUUGCUCCAGACCUUCUUGUUGUUUCCAGAAAAUGUUGCCAUGAUAUAGAGGAAAUACUCGGUGUUGGAAAAUUAGGUGAAGAGAUGACGUCAAAUCUGGAACCCCCUGCAAAACUCCAAGGUUACGUUUGGCAUAUAGGAUUGGAUUAAAUUGGGUUCUAUUUAUAUUUUUAUGUUUGGUACAGUUCCGGAUUGAACCAUAUUAGAUUAUAUUUAAAUAAUAUUGAAUAGUAUUUAAGUUGGUAUUUUAAUAUAAAUAUCAAUUAUCCAUGAAAUUUUAUAAUCAUAAUUAAAAUAAAUUUAAAAAGCAAUUACUAGGAAAAUUAAAUAUAUUGCAAAAAGUUAUUGGGUAGUCAUAAUAUAAUAAGCAAAUAAAAUUAAAUAAAACAAAUUAAAUAUUUAAUUAUUUUUAUCAAAUAUUUAAAAAUAUUAUAUAAAAUCAAUUCAUUAAUGGUAUUAUUAAUUUUCAUGAUUAUUUUUAAUAUUAUAUUAGUGAUUAUUAAAUUUAAUACAAUCAAAUAAUGUAAUAAAUAAUUACACGUUUAAUUUUAUCGAUUAAUUAUUAAAUAUACAAGUAAUGAAAAUUUAAUCUCAGGAGUUGGUAGACGCAAAAGUACUAAUUUAAUUAGAUCAUAGAUAAUAAAUAAAAUAAAUUUUAAGUAAAUCAUAAUAAAAAAAUUAAUUAAUUGAUUCAAUCAAUCAAUAUUAGGUGUAAAUAAAAAAAGAGUAACGAUAUAUCCACAAACUCUUACACAAACUCAUGUGUCAUGAUAAGAUUGAUUGAAUUAAAUAUCACUUGGCCCACAUAAUUUAUUUUUAUUAUUUUAUAUUUUCAUUCAACCAAUGAAUUAACGCCACAUCAGUUUGUACAAGAUAUGUUUGUACAGGAAUUUGUGGCUGUAUCAUCACUCAUAAAAAAAAGAUACAAAUAAACCUCUCAUAAAUGGACAACUUUUAUCUUUAAUCUUAUCCCAACUAAACACAUGUGUAAAUUAGGAUUAUUAAUCCCAUGAUUUUAGGAUUAAAUUCAAAUUUAUUCCCCCUUAAUCCAAUCCAACUAAACUUGUCAAACAUGGGAUAAAAGUUUAAUUCUAAAAGCAUCACUAAAAGGCUCUUCAAAUAAGAUUUUAUUACUUAUUUGAAGAGCCAUAUCAAUAUUUAACGCUCCAAAAGACACUUCAGUUAAGAUUCUUCAAACAAUAGAUGAUUCUCUCUUUUCAAAUUUCGAGAGUUGAUUUCUCCCUCUUCAAUUUGUAUUUUAUUAUUUUUCAUUGGAGAAAGAGAGAGAAGUGCUUUAAUUGCUAUUGACUUUUUCCUUAAAAAAAUAAUUAUUUGAUUAAAAUAAUAUUAAUUUAUUUCUAUUUAAAGAGUCUUUUAAAGAAUAAUAUAUUUUUUUAUUUUUUUUAUUUAUCACAUAGGUAAAUAAAUAAAUAUUUAAAAAAUAAAAUUAAUAGAGACUUUUGGAGAUACUCUAAAAUUAGUCCAAUCCCAUACUUAAUCCUAGCAUCCAAAUAUAGCCCAAGUUGUUUGCUUAAAGAAGCUACCAAAUUUGAAGAGCGUUUACGGGAAGGCCCUGCGUUUCCCAGAUGUAUGCAGAAUUUUUGUAUCUAAAUGGCCAGAACUUAAGAAGCUGACGCUGGAUUUUGAAAGGGCGGGCCAAGGUAAAAUUCUUAUCAAGGGAAAGGAAAAUCGGUGGAAACAACUUCAAUGGGAGGAUCAAGCAACUCAGGAUGCAUUGCUUCUGUUUUUCAAAUCAACUGACAAGUGAUUGAAGGGGGCAUCAUCAGCCUGGAUGGGGAGAUCCUGGAGCAGAUCAGCAGGGUUUGAAUCUGCAUCAUCAACAUCAUCAGGAUCUCUAUUUCUAUUGCUGGUCGUAAUGCCUGCCGACUGUUGCUUGAAAAAGUGAUUAAGUGAGCCAGUUUUUUGUUUAUUAAAUUUUGUCUUAAUUGGCGUCCAAUAGAAAUUUACAAGAAUUACUUUUCUGUUCAUGCAAUCGGCGUCUGAACGCGGCUGAUCGGUCACCGGUGUUGGCGUUUACUGUGAUUAGACAAAUUGUAGGACUUCAAAAAUAACUUCUAUAGGGGUAAUUUCGAUUUCACAUAAUUAAUUUUAUUUACAAUAUUUUAUUCCUGCAAGGUCAACUGAGAUUCUUUCCACCGGGCACACCCUUCAUGUUCUUUUAUUUUCUGUCUUUUAUUAGCCGUUGGGUUUUACUACUCUUAUAUCCAACGGCUUGCCACAACAAGACAAAUGAGGUGGUACCUUCCAACUGCUGAAAGGUGGUUUUGGCCCCGAGUGAAACAGGGGAUGCACUUACUAUUAAGGACAGUUGGUGGCCAGCUAAUGCAUUCAUUUUAUGUCCUUUCGUCUUUUUGAAUUAUUGAAGACAAGGGGCUCCUCGCUUUUACUGUAGGUAAGAUCCAGAUAAUCUCGAUUAUCAAAAUAAUUAUUUUAAAAUACCUUAAUUAUUUUUUUUUUUAUGUUGCGUUUAUUAAACUAGAAUAAAAAUGAGUUGAAAUCGGAAUGAGUAGGAACAAGAAUGAAAAUGAAAAUAAUGAAUGGGAAUCAAAAUAAGUUGUUUACUUGAACUAUAGAAAUCAAAAUCGUAAUGAGUUGAGUUACCAUUAAUGUGUUUAUUUUGUCUUGGAAUCAGAAUCGAAACAAAUUAGAUUGUAACAAAUUACUAAAAAGUACUUAAUGGAUUAUUGUUAUAAUUAUUAUUAUUAUUAAUUAAUUAAUUGUACAAAAUUUUAAUUAAUUAUAAUAACUAUAAUAAAAUUAUUAUAAAAAUAUAUUAACUAAUAAUAUUAAUAUAAAUUACUUAAUUAAAAUAAUAUAUUAAUUGUGAUUAUUUAUUCAAAAAAUAUAAUUAUUAAUAAUUAUUUUUAAUAAUAUAUUAAUUCAUAGUAAUAAUUAUAUAUAUAUAUAUAUAUUUAUUUAAUUGUAUUAAUUUUAUUUAUUUAUUAUUAAUAAUAAAUGAAUUAAUUAUUAUAAUUAUUGUUAAUAAUUAUUAUAAUAGUAUAUUAAUUAAUUAAUUACAAUAAUAAUAUAUUAAUUAAUGUGAUAUUUAUUUAGGAACAAUAAUUAUUAAUAUAUUAUUGUUAAUAAUAUAUUAAUUAUUGUGAUUAUUUAUUCAAGAACUAUAAUUUUUAAUAAUUAUAGUUAAUAAUUUAUUUAUUUAUUUAUUUAUUUAUUAAUCAUAAUAUAUUAAUUAAUUAAUUAUAAUAUUAUAUUAAUUAAUUAUAAAAGAGGAUAAAGUGGAUAUUUUUAAUUUUGGGAAGGGCAAAAUAGUUAAUCCUAGGAAUGAGAGACUCUUUCUCACCUCUGCAUGGGAAUCAAUCUCUCAUUCUCUAUUCUCAAAUAGUAGUAGACCCCAUCAUUUCGAUUCUAAUUCUUACUCCAUAUUUGUGAAGUAAACAUCAUCAAUCAUUCUGAUUCUGAAUUUUUGUGAAUGGAGAGAUGCCGGAGCAGAUCAGCAGGGUUUGAAUAUGACCUUUGGCGCUUGCUUUUUUUUGUGAUUUUUUUUUUUCAUUUUUUCCUUCUUGUCAUUUUAUCAUUUCUUUGGCUUUGUCUCUAUUGCGGGUGUUAUUGCAUGCUUACUGUUGCUUGACAAAGUUUGCUAGCUUUUCCUUUUGUUUAUUAAAUUUUUUAUGGUCACAAAGAAUUACUUGUUCUAUUUGAGAGUGAUAUGAAUCAAUUUUUCAAUUAUAUAUUUUGUGGUCAAUGUGAAUUCAAUUUCAUUUGUCUCCCGCAAUUAUGAAAAAAUUACAGUCAUAAUAUGGAAAAGUACACCGGCAAAAACUUUGUAAAAGCUUCGGAGUGAUACGGGGAAUUCACUUACUACUAAGGACAAUUGGUGGCAAGCUAUUCCAUUCAUUUUAUGUCCAUCCAUCUAUUUAGUUAUUGAAGAUAAGUGGUCCAUUUGUAAAUUUCAGAUUGUCUCUCUCUCCCUCUUGAAAUAACAAUAUUUAAUAUAUCUCUUAAAUUAUUAUAAAUUUUAAUUUACUCUCGAUUUAAAAUGGAGCAUGUCGAUAAAUUUUUUUUCUUCUUAAUAAAAUUGACGUAAGUUGUGUUUACAGUAGUUUGAAGUUUGAAAUAUUUUAAAGAUUAUUAUUCUAUAAGGGAGUAAUAUGAAAUGAAAUUUACUUUUCAUGUGUGAACUGAAAAAGGACGAAGCAAGUGUCCCUACUUUUAUUUUAUUUCAAGGAGGAGUCAUCUCACAUACUUAAGCUCUUAACAUUACAUUUUUUUUUGUUACAUUUUUUUUUUAAUUUUUUUUUUUACACAUGCGUGUGGGUUGCUUAUCUGUAAGCUCCUUAAUAUAUAUUUAACACAAAUCAUGAAAAAGAUGGGAUUAUAUCAAGAUGAUCAAAGCAUGUAAAAAAAGAAAAAAGAAAAAAAAAUUAAGAAGUAAGACACUGAAAAUGGAGAAGAGACGGAAGCAAAAGAUAUUCCAAAACAAAGCAAUAACAAAGCAAUCUAUCCCCUUUCGAGGGCAGACUCAACAGGUUUAAAAAAGUACAUGCUUUGGAUUGGUAGUUGCAAUCAAGGGAAAAUAAAUAGGAUCCAAUGAAAUUUAAAUCUUGGAGAAAAUAAAUAAUCAUGCAGAUUUUCAAGAUUUUAAUAAGGGAUACUAAUAUCUUAUUUUGAUUAAUAACAUUCUUUCACUGUGUUAACUCAAAAAAAAUAUUAUAAUGCUUUACAAUAAAUACAAAUGUCCUAUUAAAUGAAUAUAUAAAAAAUUUAGAAUAUUUAGAAUAUUAUAUAAAAUAAUUUUAAUAUAAUGCGUGAGAUAUAUUUUAUUAAUUUAAAAUGUCAUUUUACCUAAAAAAUAUGAUAAAUUAAUAAUUACAUGUUUGAAGUUAUUUCAAAUAUUAAAAAAAUUUAAUAUUAUUAGUCUUUUAGAUAGAUUAAAUUAUUUUUUAAAGAGAUAGAUUAAAUUAUUUUAAAAUACCUUAAUUGUUUUUACUUUAAACAUUACCGGCCUUUCUUUUAUUUUAUUGCAAAUUAAUGCUAACAAGAAAAAGCUAGAUCAUAUUCCGCAAAAGCAAAAGUGACAAACACAACCAGCUGGAAUCUUUUAUAAAACUACAAAUUAAAAUGGAUUUUUUUUUUGAUAAAUUACACAUGAAAGUGGAUUCUUUUGAAUAUAAGUGGGGUAGGCUCUUUUAUUUUAUUUUUGAAUAUUGUAUAACGGGACUGUAGACUCUUUUAUUAAACUACAAAUUGUAUAGUCUUUUUAAAAUUGUUAUGAAUUAGUGGCCCCUACAAUCCUCAACAAUUGUACCAAUAUUCACAAGUUGGUGGCCCCUACAAUUCUGUUCCGAUAAUUUAACUGUGCAAGUCCUCAUUCACAAUCUUCCAGGUCAUGCUCUCAAUAAUUGUUUUUUUUUUUUUUUUUUUUUUUUUUUUUCUGCAUUCCCUUUCAUGCUCUUAAUAAUUGAAGAGCAUACUUUUCAUUUUCAAAUGUGGAGCCGCAUCUAAUGUCGCUAAUUUAAUUUGGGAUUAAAUUAGGGGACCAUUAUAUUGCAGUGUGCACUAAUUUUUGUGUUUAUCUAAACUCUUUAAGUUUAAGACAUAUUAUGGCAUAAAUAAGAAUAUAACAAUAACAAAAGAGUUAGAAAGUGUAGAGAAGAUCUUGCAGAAAUAUAAAUAAUAUCUAUUUUAAAAUAAUUUUUAAUAUUUUAUGAUCCAUUAGAUAUAUUUUAUUAUAUUAAAAUAAAUUUUAUAAUAAAUAAAAACAUCCUAUUAAAAUGAAUAUAUAGAAAAUUUAGAGUAUUUUAAGUAUUAUAUAAAAUAAUUUUAAUAAAAUAUGUGAGAUAUUCAUAGUUUAUUAAUUUAAAAUACCAUUUUAAAAUUAAAGAUUUAUUUAUGAUAAAUUAAUAAUUAUAUUUUUGAAAUUACUUCAAAUAUUAAAAAAUUAAUAUUACUAAUCUAUUAGAUAGAUUAAAUUAUAUAUAUUAUUUUCUAUUUAUUAAAAAAUUAAAAUUAUUUUUAAUUACUAUUCAAAAAAUAUAAUGAUAAAAAAAAAUCUUAACAUCUUUAUUAAAAAUUUAAAAAUUUACAUGAUCAAUUCUCUAAAUAUUUAGGGUAUAUGUGAACAUCGGUGGAGAAGCUUUAUUUAAUAUUAUUGAUUUAAAUAAUAUGUCAAUUAAAAAUGCGCGGAGAAGAAAUUUCGGUGGGUAUUUUAGUCUUUUCAGCAAUUAUCAUGAUCAGAUCAGCCUUUAGCUUGAAACGUCGGUCAGAAAAGUUUUAAAAUUAAUGCUAACAAGAAAAAGCUAGGUCAUAUUCCACAAAAGCAAAAGUGACAAAACAACCAGCUGGUUUUUUUUACUAAACUACAAAUUAAAAGUGGAUUCUUUUGAAUACAAGUGGGACAGACGAUUAGGCUCUUUUUAUUAAACGCAAGUAAAAAGUAGUCGAAUAGUCUUUUUUCAAAUUAUUGUUUUAUUAUUUUUCCUUCAAAAGUUAGUGUGGCUCAUGUUUGCAGGUGCGAAUGUCAGAUCACAUGCGAUGGUGCUUUUUUCAAUCGUUGCUUGGAUUGCUUUCUUGGAAAAGCAGCAUACAUACGUAACCUCCAAGAUAAUCUUGAUGCCUUGGAGACUGAAUUGGGAAAUCUGAUCGCUAGAAAGAACGAUGUGAUGAGGAGGGUUGUCGAUGCUGAACGGCAACAAAUGAGAAGGCUGGACGGAGUGCAAGUGUGGGUUUCGAGGGUGGAUUCUGUUAAAACUGAAGCUGAUCAAUUUAUAAGAGACGGCUCUCGAGAAAUUGAAAAAUUAUGUGUUGGAGGCUACUGUUCCAAGAAUUGCAUGUCAAGCUACAAGUUCGGGAAAAAAGUGGCUAAAAAGCUACGGGAUGUGCGGACUUUAAUCAGUGAAGGAGUUUUUGAGGUGGUGGCUGACAGAGCUCCAGAGUCUGUAGCAGAUGAAAGACCUACUGAGCGAACAGUAGUAGGCUUGCAAUCACAACUUGAACAAGUCUGGAGAUGUCUUGUAGAAGAAUCAGCGGGAAUCAUUGGCCUAUAUGGCAUGGGCGGUGUUGGUAAAACUACACUACUGACCCAUAUCAACAAUAAAUUUCUCGAGAGUCCAACCAACUUUGAUUGUGUGAUUUGGGUUGUAGUUUCAAAAGACCUGCGACUCGAAAAAAUUCAAGAAGAUAUUGGGAAAAAGAUAGGUUUGGUUGGUGAUUCAUGGAAGAGUAAAAGUGUAGAGGAGAAAGCUGUCGACAUCUUCCGGAGUUUAAGAGAGAAGAGAUUUGUAUUGUUGUUAGAUGAUAUAUGGGAGCGGGUUGAUUUAACAAAGGUGGGCGUUCCACUUCCCGGACCAAAAAAUACUACCUCAAAAGUCGUAUUCACAACCCGUUUCAUCAAUGUUUGUGGUACCAUGGAAGUUGACAGGAAGUUUCAAUUAGCAUGCUUAUCAAAAAAGGAUGCUUGGGAACUGUUUCGAGAAAAAGUUGGGGAAGAAACUCUUCAGAGUCAUCAUGAUAUCGAUGAGCUAGCCCAAAUUGUGGUCAAAGAGUGUGGUGGUUUGCCGCUCGCACUUAUUACUAUUGGUCGAGCUAUGGCCUACAGAAAGAAAGCGGAGCAGUGGAGUCGUCCAAUUGAAGAGUUAAGGAGAUCAGCUUCAGAGUUUGCAGGUUUGGGAAAAAAAGUGUAUCCUCUUUUAAAAUUCAGCUAUGAUAGUUUACAGAAUGAUAGGGUUAGAUCUUGUUUCUUGUACUGUUGUUUAUAUCCUGAAGAUUAUGGCAUUCUUAAAUGGGACUUGAUUGAUUGUUGGUUUGGCGAGGGAUUUUUUGGGGAAUCUGACAGGUUUGGUGCAGAAAACCAAGGAUAUGACAUUUUGGACACUCUUGUUCGUGCAUGUUUAUUAGAAGAGGUGGAAGAUGAUGAAGUUAAAAUGCAUGACGUUAUUCGUGAUAUGGCUCUAUGGAUAACUUGUGAAAUUGAGAAGGAGAAGAGAAACUUUUUGGUUCGUGCAGGUGCUGGAUUAAAAGAGGUACCGGGUGUUAAAGGAUGGGAAAAUGUGAGAAGAUUGUCAUUGAUGCAAAACCAAAUUGAAACUCUGUCAGAGGUUCCCACAUGCCCUCAUCUCCUCACUUUAUUUCUUGACUUUAAUCAGGAGUUGGAGAUGAUCGCGGAUGGCUUCUUCCAACUUAUGCCUUCUCUCAAAGUUUUGAAGAUGUCAAACUGUUCGAAUUUGAAAUUACCUGUUGGGAUGUCAGAGUUGGGUUCAUCACUAGAACUUCUCGAUAUUUCAGAAAACAGCAUAACAGAGUUACCGGAAGAGUUAAAGAAGUUGGCAAAUCUGAAAUGUUUGAAUUUGGGGUGGACAAGGGAGUUAAAUAAAAUUCCACGGCAACUAAUAUCAAAUUCUUCAAGGUUACGUGUGUUGAGAAUGUUCGCUACUGGCCGGUUCAAUUUUCAUGAAGCACCAGAAAACAGCGUUUUAUUUGGUGGGGGUGAAGUUUUGAUACAGGAAUUGCUCGGUUUGAAAUAUUUAGAGGUAUUGGAGUUGACCUUGGGAAGUUAUCAUGCUCUCCAAAUUCUUUUGAGCUCAAAUAAGUUAAAAAGUUGUAUUCGAUCUCUUUUCCUCGAGUUGACCGGAGAUACAGCGUCAAUUAUUGACGCUACGGCUUUCGCAGAUCUAAACCACCUCAAUGAAUUAUGGAUUGAUAAUGGUAUUGAGUUGGAAGAGUUGAAGAUUGAUUAUACGGAGAUAGUACGAAAAAGGCGGGAACCUUUUGUUUUCCGCAGCCUUCACUGUGUUACUAUGAUUUCGUGCCGUAAAUUGAAAGAUUUGACAUUCCUCGUUUUUGCUUCAAACCUCAAGUCUCUUCGGCUACGCAAUUGCUAUGCUAUGGAAGAAAUAAUCAGCGUCGGAAAAUUUGCUGAGACUCCUGAGAUGAUGGGACGUAUAAGCCCUUUUGAAAAUCUCCAAAUGCUUGAUUUACAAGGUUUGCCACAUUUGAAGAGCAUCUUCUGGAAGCCAUUGCCUUUCACUCAUCUGAAAGAAAUGGAGGUACUUAGGUGCGAUCGGCUUGAAAAGCUUCCACUCGAUUCCAACAGUGCAAAGGAGCGCAAAUUUGUUAUUCGUGGAGAAGAAGACUGGUGGAACCGACUUCAAUGGGAGGAUGAAGCCACUCAAAUUGCUUUUCGUUCCUGUUUUAAAAGUGAUGCUUUAUUUAUAUCUUAUUCGUGAAAAGUGAUUUAAUUUCCUGCCAAAAGACGAACGAGAAGAACAUUAGAGUCAAACUAAUGCUCACAUAAAUUUCCCAUAAGAAUAUAUAAUUAGACUGGAAUGCACACCUCUAGAUUGAACAGAAUUAAAGCUGAGAAGAUAUUGAGUAUAGUAGCCCUCUUUACAGAAAAUGACACGAAAGUUAAUUUAGAAAGAUAUAUUCUUGAUUAAUCCAUUUUCUGAAGUUUUUAUUUUGUAUGGUCAAUUAUACCUUCAUACUAAAAAUUUCUGAAGUUAUAAAUUAGUGCAACUUGACAAUUUUUACUGAUGAUAUCUUCUAUUUUUCCUUUUUUUUUUUUUUUUCACUUUCAUAGACUGGCAGCGGAUCCUGCGGCACCAAUUUGAGAGAAUAUACUGACACUACUUCGAACAGCAAGCAGAAUAUGUCUACGGCAAAGGCAAUGCAGUCCUCAUUUUGGCUUGAGAUGCAGUAAUCAUCGAAGAGAGUUUCCUUGUGAAACUGGGCAACACAUUGAAUCCCUUCGCCACUGAGAAGGUUGUGGAGGAAGUAAGCUUUCUCUCCAGUGAGGAAGAGGUGGCAUAUACCUUCCCCAUUUUGUCGAGGGCAGGUAGGAAUCUUUUUUCUAAGAGAUUUACUUCGUUCUCUGUAAGAAAUGCUUUGAACUUCAUCCCUCUGUCUCUAUCCUCACUUAUCAGGAAAUAAGUUGAAAGCACUAUGAAGAGAGAGAGAGAGAGAGAGAGAGAGAGAGAGAGAGAGAAUUAAGAUAUAGAGACAAGAAAAAUAUUAGACGUUGAUCUUACAAACUAAUACUUCAAGCAGUAUCCUAGAAAGCUAAAAACUGCAAGAUGGCUUGAAAUUUGAAAAGAGCACGUGCUUUUCCUCCUUAACUUGAGAAAAUGUUUAAUAUAGUGCACCUUACAGAAGCAUUUAAGCAAUUAGAACUUUGCACAAAAACAUCAAGAAGACUAAACAAGUCAGAUGCAGUGCAUUUGUCCAAGCACAAAUUGCAUUUUGUCCUCAACUUUAAUAUUUAUUGAUGAGAAUCAAUACAGGUCCCUCAUUUGUUAUAGAAAGCUUUCUUUCUUGUAGUCUCACCAGUUAAUUCACAGGUCUAUAAUCAUCUUGCAAAGUUAAGGGCAUUUCUUUCGAUCUAAAGUCUUUGCAUCACCACCUCAUCACACGCCAAGCCAAUAUUCCAUUUACCUCUACAACAAAAAGUUUUAAUUAAACAAUCCUAAUGCACGCAGCCAAAUAAAAUGCAGUAAGAAUAUUCAACUUAAAAAUCUGAAAGCCAACUUGGUGAAUUGCCUCCUUAGGUGAAGUUCCAUGCUUUACUAUAGUUGACAGAACUCAGCAAAAGCUUCCAUACAACAGAUUUUGAAAAUGAUGAUGCCAACAGAUACUUAUUCAAUCCAUUGAAACUCCAAAGGUUCAUUGUUCAUAGAAGUUUACAGAGUUUUGGUCAUCAAAUAGCUCAGACCUAAUCCCAAACAAAAAACGAGUGAAAAUUAGAUCACGAGCAGCUAAUUGUAAAUUCUAACUUAACUCUUCAUCUCCUUUGUAAACAAGAAACAAAAUGGAGACACGCAAAAUGAAUAUGGAGAAAAUUUGAACUCAAAUGAAAUGAGGGCACAAAAGCAAACAAAUGGCAUGCACCAAAAAACCAAGCCUCAAUCAAAAACUAAUUAACCAUUAAGAAAAAAAUUGCCCAGAGAAUGAACUCCAAAUUCAGGAGUCAAGCAAGAACCUUUCAUUAUUUCAGAAGCUCCUGUACAAAUUAAUAAGUUAUGCUCUUUGGAAGCAAACCUAAAUUCCAAGAGAAACAGAACCCAAAAAAAUUUGCAAUUAUACGCAAAGGAAGUGAAGCACAGGAUUCUAUCACACAUAGGAAUUGUAUAACAAGAGAUCGAUAUAUCGAAUUAGAAAACUCAAUUCGAAUUUGUGUCAAAAAUCAAAAUUAGAAGAUUUCACAUUUCGAGAGGAACAAGCAACAGAUGAAGUUCAAAAUUUCAGCCAUAACAUGCUAAAAAUGCUGCACUUAACGGUUCAUUUUCAUGGAUUUUCUCGGGAAACAAACAGAAAAUUACGGUUUAGAGAGUUGACUGACCUUUUGGCUUUUGAAAUUGAGAAGAUCGCACGCCAAAUUGGAAGAGGGAAAGUGAAAGUGCGAGUUUUAAUAUGGGUAUUAGAUAAGGAAAUUUUAUUAGGUUGCGAGGGUAAAAAAGGAAAGAGAUAUCAUUGUUUUAUUAUCGAUAAUUAUUAAAUUUUUUUCCAAAAAAAAAACAGGCAAGGAUAUUUUAUUGUCAUUUGCAACCUUUAAUUUUUUUAAAUGCUAUUAGAAACACAAGACAACAAAGAAAUACUUAUUUUUUUCUAAAACUAAAAUCAACUGUUUAGGGCCCGUUUGGUAUUGUUUCUAAAUUUAUAUUUUCUGACAAUAAAAAUGAAAAUGAAAAUGAUGUUUUGCAGUUGCUGUAUUUUAAAUUUAAGUAUACGUUUGGUAUCAUUUUCUAUAUCCUAUAUUUUAAAAUUAAAAAUAAUAAUAUGUGUUUGGUAAACACAUUUGAAAAUAAUAAAAACAGAGAAUAUGCGUUUGGUAAUACUUUUUUUAAAAAGAGUUUUUACUAGUAUUUACGUCAUAUUUAUAGUUAUAAAAUAAUUAUUUAGCUAAUACAUACACAAAUACAACAUAAUAAUUUAAACAAAAUUAUUAUAAAAAAAUUACAUGAUAAUAAAGUUUUAGAAUUAGCAUUAAUUAAAAAAAAGUUUUACAUUGUCAUUAUUUUUACACCAUAAUUAAGAUAUAUAUUACAACACAUGAUUUAAACAAAAUAAUUAUAAAAAAAUUACAUGAUAGGCAUUAUGCAUUACGCAUGUAAUCAUGCCACAUAAAAGCUGCAAUUCUAUCUCUUAUAGCAUUCAUCUUUGCGACACUUGAAGGAGAUAAAUCAAUAUUAGUAAGUGACCUACUAGUGUCUCCUUCUUCGUUGGUAACCAAAUCUUGCACAUCAAAGUCUCCAAAUAACCUAUCACAGGCAAUAAAUUCAAAUUGUGAAUCCCAUCUAAAGCAAUAAAUUGAAAUUACAGAUUGUUUGAUUGGAUUGAAUCCUAUCCUGGGCAAAGCUUGAAAAAACUUUAUUUCUCUCUAGUAACAAAAGUCCUAUUUGCCUAAUGCAUUUUCUCUGUAAAAAAAAAAAAAAUUGGAGUGACAUGCAAUAAAUUCAACUUGUGCAUCAUCAACAAAAUGGAAUUUGGAGUAAAAUCAACAUCAUGGCAAUGACAAUCGUGAACAAUAUCAUCUUUACAUGCUAUUAAAAACAAUUAAAAUCACUCAAAUAAUUUCUGAAAUUUUUAUUAAAUUCUCAGGUUUUUUUUUUUCAUUCUAAAUGUCAUAUAUACAAAUUCAUUACUGUCCAAAAACAUCCUACUUUAAGAAAUAUUUAAAAGUUAAUUAAGUAAAAAAUCUUGUAAAUUAUAAUGUCUUUUUUUUUUUUCGUUUUAAAUUGGUUUCCAAAGAAUGAUGUCUAUGCUUACAGAAGCAAAACAUGCCAAACAGCAGCAGCGACAUUUUGUGAAUUGUUUUUAACUUAAACAAAACAAAUACCGGCAAGUGACAGAUCCGAGAGAGCAACAGCAGCUGGCGUGAAGACGAGCAGCAACGGCUGAGCAGAGCAACAGCGGAAACAGAGCAGCAGCGAAGACGAGCAGCAGCGGAGCAGAGCAGCAGCAGAAACAGAGUAGCGGCGGCUAUGGCGGAAACACAGCAACGACAGUGGUUGAGAGUGCAGAUUUGCUGAGGAAAGGGAGAGAGUGCAGAUUUAUUGCAACUGAAUCAAGAAGGCUGCGGGGGAAAGGGGAAGAGAGAGAGGCAAUGAAGAGAUAAGGAGGAGAGAGUGGAUCGGGAGAAAUAAAGAGAGAGAAAGAUGUUGGAUGAAGAUAAGGGGAGGGAGAGAGUGCAGAUUUGCUGCAACUGGAUGAAGAAAGUUGGGGGGAAGAGAGAGCGGCAGUGAAGAGAUAAGGAGGAGGUCACGAUUUUUCUUUUGUUUUUUAAUUCAUUUUUAGGUUUAGGUGGCGUUUGUUUUUUUGUCUGAAAUCUGAAUAGACUUGAAUUAGUCUGAAUUCUGAAUAGGUCUGAAUGUCUGAAUCUGAAUAAUAUGUUUGUUUUUUCGUCUGAAUCUUGAAAAAUAAGUAUUAAGUUGUUUGUUUUUUUCAACUUAAAAAGCUGAAAAUAUAUACUUUUACAUUUGUAUCCUUAUUAAAUUUGAAUGUCAAAUAAAUAAUAUAUUAAAUACCACAAUAUUUUAACAUUUAUAAGUAAAACUAUAUUCAAGUGAAUACAUAAUUAUUUUAGAAUUUUAAUAUAUAAAAUACCAUAAAUUUCAAAUUUUAUCGUAUAUAAUAUAAGAAAGAAAAAACAGGGAUAUUUUUAUGUGGGGUAGAUAUCUAUGGGUGAGUUUUGGGAUAGACAUGAAAAAUAAAUUAUAAAACAUGGAUAUUUUUGACAUUAGCAAGUAAUUGACUUAAUUUAGAUUUCUCCAUUAAGUAAAAAGCCAAAAAAAUUAGCUUAUUUUAUUAAGUCAAAAUUAUUUAAAAAUUCUCAUUAAGUUAUAAAAACAAACAACUCUAAUUAACUUAAUUAAUUAAGUUAAGUCACUUUAAGUCAUUAAGUUAAAAAACAAACGCAACCUUAGUCUGUAAAAUUUGGAGAACAUGUUUAACUUGUUUUCAGUUGUAUAGUUAUAAUAAUGAAUCCGAAUUUUGUGUUUUGUAAUUUGUUUUGUGAAAAAAAUCCACCAAACAUGUUUUAUGUGUGUAUUAUAAAAAUGAAAACGCAAAUAUGGCUUGAAAAACGGUACCAAACGGGCCCUUAACUUCUUAUUUCAUAAUCCAACUCCAUUACUAAGUUAAAAAAAAUUGUUUUAAAAUUACUUGAGUCAUAUCCAAUAGACCAACAAAGUAAUCGUUUUUAUUUUUAUUGAUUUUUGCAGGAAAUUAGUGGCUUAAAAAUACUGAAAGCUAUUGUAAAAAUCUUUAUUAUCAACCUCAUUGUUUUUUUUUUUUUUUGGGGAAGAGAAUUCAAUUUUUUUUUUUAAUGAAUAUCGCUGUUUCGUUUGAGUUGGAUGUGAAUUCAAAUUCAUUUGAGUUGGAUGUGAAUUCAAAUUCAAAUAUUCUUUGUUUUUCAAUUCUGAACUCGAUUUCUUUUUCUCAAGAAUGUUAUGUAGAAAUGAUUUUUACUAAAUCAUUUUUGAUGAAUUGUUUAAAUUAAACAAUUGGAAUAAGAAUUGUAACGAUUUAUCAUAAGCGCGCUAAUAUGAUAACUUGUUUUACGAAAGAUUAAUUAAUCAAUUAAUAUUAAAUUAUAUAUUAGUCAAUUAUAUAUGUGUUACAUUUGUCAUGGUUUGUGCGUGAUACUACAUAAUUUCUAAAAGAAUAUAGUAAAAACACGUUAAAAUGUUAUUUUAAUGAAUAAAAUUUUAUAAUUUUAUUAAUUAGGUGACACAAUAAUAAAUGGAUUUCUGUAAGAAUUGAGUUUCUUGAGAUAAUUAUUACAUAAGGAGAAGUUUAGUUGGUUCAAUUUUGACAUGUUAAGAAGAGCAUCACAGCACAGAAAACACAAAUUGCCACUUCCACUAAUAAAAGAUACCUGUUUGAAAAGUAAUUAUAAACUAUCUUCUUUGUGUUAUUUCUCAAAACUUUUGUGGCACAAAUGUUAUUUCCAUUGACAACAGUACGAAAUACCACCCCUUUCACUUGAGCAGGAGCAAAGCAAAGGUAUGAUGAGCUAUCUCUGUAUAAUUGAAACGCCAUUACUAAACGAUUCUUGAUGAUGGGAGCCACCGUGCCAGCUUUGUCGCUGAUUUGGUAUUAUUCUUAACUUGCAGAUAGUUGUGGAUAUGAUAUGCAAAAGGUAAGGACUAUAUCUUCUUGAUGGAGGCCUCUGAUUUUUUCCCUUCUAUGUAAUUUAGUAAAUCGCAUUUUCCUUUGUGAUUGAUAUAUCAUACCAAAGUCAAGUCUUAAAUACUGCUGUCAUAUGUUAAGGUUCAACUUCCAUUUUGAUUAACGUCCAUCUGCUGCUGCUUCCAAAAGUGAGAAUGAGAUACUUUGGUUAAUUUCAGUAGUUGAACCCAAUAGAGUACUUUAUUUAGAUCUUCAUGGUUCAAAGGCCUGAAAAAACUUGCCGGUAUUUGGAAAAUGACAUUCUGUGCUUUUAUUUAGACUUAUUAUUUAAGUGAUAAAAACUCCCGUAACCUGCUGUCAAGAAAAUUUCAGAUUGUUAAAAGACAACAUUUUGUUUCGGCCAAAAAUGUUUGUUUCGAUUAAAGACUUGAACCAUUUUCAUUUAACCUUGAUUGUGAUGCUUUACAUUAUGCAUGUUCCUCUCAAUCAAUAAAAGUUGAGGUCAUGAUUUUAUAUUUCUAUUUUGUAACUUGAAAUAAUUGGUCUGCCUGUUUCUGUAGCUUGAUAACAUGAAUUUUUCCUUCUGAAGUUAAUUUGAUCAAUAAAGUAAUUCUUCGGAGAUGAUAUGCCCAUUCUAUAGUCAUUUUCUUAGCUAACAUGUUUUUUCUUCACUCUUCAGAGCAUGUCUAAACUAAUUGAUCGCUCAGCGGAGACUUUGGGUGAGAAGACAAAAUUUCUUAGUAAAUCCUCUGAAAAGGUAUGCAUAAUUCUCGAGUAUUAAAUAACCAUUGGUCAUAAUUUUUGUUCUUUUUUUGGAGAUCGUUAAAAGUGGUUGAUGACCUAUUUUUUACUAUCAUAGAGGGAUCAUGAAUUCCUUUUCUUUUCUGUGGCUCGGCAACACUUUCGGGCCAAACUAAGGAAAUCUAUUUUAGGUAAUGUAAAAACCAGUUGUAGGAUGUAAUAGUUUAUUAUGCCCUGACAAUAACUUUUUGUAUAAUUGUCAGUUUAAUGAAUACAAGAGGAACUCUGUUGGCAAAUUCAUCCAUGAUAGAAUAUAGAUGCUAAAAUUAUUUAUGCAUACCAGUUGCCUUAACUAAUUUUUCUCAACACUGGUAUUGAACAGGAAAAUGAAUAUGCAAUUUGUAUAUUGUGCCAUUGUGGAGAAUUUGGAUAUUCUUAUUUAAGUAUCAAGGAGAGUAUUUGCCUCAUCUUUAAACAAUGAAUCUUUGAGAAAUGAGGAGUGGGUGAUUGGCAGUGUCUUCAUGUAAAUGUUCAUUUAUUUGUAUUUUGAACUAUUACGAGAAUCUUUGUGUGCCAAAUUAGUAAUACAAAUGUUCAGAUGAUUUUUCCUGUUGAUCAUGCGCGUGUAUCUGCACACAACCAUUGUGUACCACUUUAUUCUGAUGCGCAAAUAUCUGUAGUUUAGAAGAAAAGAAAUAAUAAUCAUAUAUUAUUGCUUGGUUCAUGAUUAUUAAACGAUUAUGGCUUUAGAAAAUCCACAAAUCCUUUGUGUUCAUAUAUGAAUGUGCAAAGUUUGCUAUAUCUUAGAUUACCUUCUUCCAAGAUAACAAGUUCAUAUAUUUUUUUUAAUCCUUUUUCAUCACAGUUGAAUUUCAAGUGUAAGUUUUGUUAUUAAUAGCUGGUGUCCUGUUAUUAUGAUUUCAUAAACAGUGAGCGGAUAUGUGCUCUACUUUUGGAGGGCCUCCACAUGAAAGAAAAUUGCAACAAUUGAAUUCUUCUGGAGGUUAUGGUAUUUAAUUUAUUUUCUCAGCUUGUUGAAAGACUAAUAUAUUUCCUUCAGUACGCACGGCGUGGUGGGAAGGGUUUUUAUUGAAAGAAUUAUGAUAUUUCUUAGACUUUGUUUUGGAAGGGGGUGGAGGGAUUUCUCAUCCAUAUAUGGUUACUUGAUUAGCUUUUGACUGUAUUGUCUCCGUCGUGCAAAGGAAAAUCCAAAUACUAACGAAGGGGAAUUGCUUAGGCACCCAAAAGACAGAAAUGAAUUACAGAAGGAAGUUUUUGCUGCUUUAUUUAGUGCUGCUGAGAAAUCUGAUGGAUUUCCUGAAAUUACGGUGAAGACGGAGUGGAGGUCCAACGCAUUAGGAAAGGUGGUGAGUGAACCGCCGGAGGAAUUAGUACCAGAAUACAAGGCUAAUGUGGUGCACUUGCAGCAAGAUGACCAGACCUGUAUGUGCUCUUAUAUUAACUAUAUUGUUGGAUUUGUGAGUGUGUACAUUUUUGUGUGUAUACUCACUUUUGUAUUUAUGCAUAUUAACGUGUGUAGGAUUCUUGAUUUCUGCCACUUACUGGAGAACUAGUGGAAAGCUUUAUACUGAUAUAUGUGCUAUAACUAAUGGAAACUACGAUAUGAAUAUUUUCUCUCACCUGGAGAACUGUAUAACAGAUAUAAUUUGUGGCUCUGGAAUACUGAAGAUUCUGCAAUAACUAAUGGAAAAUAUGAUAUGAAUAUUUUUUCUCACCUGGAGAACUUUGUAACAGAUACAUUUUGUGGCUCUGGAAUGUCUAAAGAAUGCUUCAGUUUAGAUCAAAUAUCUUUUAGUUAGAAAAGAUAAAAUUCUCUGAAUCUGAAAGACUGAAACAUUUUGCAUAUUUUGUGAAAGGGUAGUAUCUGUAGAUACUAGCUCAUGCAUUGAGGUAAUAUCAGUGUUAAAGAAAAACAACAAUAAUUUAUUAUACAAAAUUAGGUUCACUUGCUUUAAAUGCUGGUCUGAUCAACCAUAUCAACCUGUAAUGGUUCUGCAGAAAUAUAUAUACGGGGAGAAACUAGCUAAAUUUUCCUUUCACUUAUGGGUUUGGUCUUUUUUUCCCCUAUUUUUCAGCUUUCCUUCUCCUGAAGUAUGUUAACAAUUGCAGAUAAUGACGAAGAGGACCGCUUCCAGGCUCUUUGUAGAGCUGUGAUGGAAUAUAGGGGCACAAUGAAGGAAUAUUGUAAGGCUGUAGGUACUUUCUCUCUUGUCAUUUAUGUUUUCUCACACAUUUUGUAUAUGCCCUGAACAUGCAGCUUUGUAUGUGUCAAUUGCCUUUUACAUUUUAAAAGCCAUAAAGUAAGAAUACAGUUCCUUGUCAGGCUAUUGAUGCGUUCGCUCAGAAGGGUCAUGUUCAAGCAGGAAAACUUCUAGAACAUGUAAGGUUUCCAUCUACAGCCAUCCAUUGACAGUGUCAAAGUAUUUGGCUGCAGCUUCUAGAAGCUACAUCUAGAAGCUUUGAUGCAGCAAAUGUUGAAGGCACCGCCAAGGAGAAAAAGAAGGAAGAAUGAAGAAGAUGUUGCAGAAGUUGAUCUUGACAAAUGAUGGUUGGAACGCCAAAAUGGAAGAAAGAAAAAAGGUUGGAACACGGCUUUGAAGAAGCCACGAGAAGAAUAAAGAAAAUAUUAAAAUAAUAGCUAAUUUUGGCUAUAUAAAGGAAGCUCCCCUUUUUUUGGUUUGUGUAUCCAAUCCUCAGUUUCUCUUCUUCAUUCAGAGAGUGUUUCUUUGGGGUGUAUUUGGGGAUUAGGUGAGAGAAAAUUAUUUCUGAAAGAGUGGUUGUAAUAAUUUUCCACAUAGUGAAUAUUUUUUCUCUGGUUGUCUUUUUGACAACGGCCGUGGUUUUUCUCCAUAUUUGGAGUUUUCCACGUAAAUCUUGUGUUGUGGGAUUGAUAUUAUUUUUCAUUUAAUUUUUCUUGUUAAUUUGUUAAUUGAAAAAUUGCUUGGAGAGAUCCUGGGAGGAAGCUCAAUUUCCUAACAGUGGUAUCAGAGCCAUUGAUUGAAGUUUUUUGGUGUCGGGGCACUGCUCACGUAUACGGUACUGUUUACGUAUACGGUACUAUUCACGUGAAGCAGUGGGAGCCAAUCCAAACAGUUCGUGGUGAAGAGUAAAAGCUUAUCUGCAAAGCAAAUAUGUCAGGAUUGAAAUUUUCAAGUCCGGUGAAAUUUGAAAUAGAAAAAUUCGAUGGGAGAAUUAACUUUGGCUCGUGGCAAGUUCAAGUCAAAGAUGUGUUGAUUCAAUCUGGGUUACACAAGGCAUUGAAAGGGAAGCCAUCCCCUGCUUCCAGUAGUGGCUCUGGAAAAGCUAGUAUAAGUGAUGAAGAUUGGGAAGAAUUAGAUGAUCGAGCUGCAAGUGCCAUACGACUAUGUCUAGCAAAGAAUGUUCUUGCAAAUGUAGGAAAAAUUCCUACAGCGAAAGAACUUUGGGAGAAGCUAGAAAAGUUGUAUCAGACAAAGAGCAUCUCAAAUCGAUUGUACCUGAAGGAGCGAUUUCACACACUGCGAAUGGCUGAAGGUACAAAAAUUUCUGAUCACCUCAGUGUUCUCAAUGGUAUUGUGUCAGAACUAGAAGCCAUUGGAGUUAAAAUUGAAGAUGAGGACAAGGCGCUUAGGUUACUAUGGUCACUUCCAACUUCCUACAAACACUUGUUACCUACUUUGAUGUACGGGAAGGAGACAGUAGAUCUUGAAGAAGUUACUAGUACUUUACUCUCAGAAGAAAGAAGACUGAAUGGUGAAAGUACUAAAACUACAGAUGUCUCGGCUUUGGCAGUUGUAGGGAAUUGGCAGAAAGAUAAAUCUAAGAAGAAAGGAGUCUGCUGGGGGUGUGGACAAUCGGGGCACUUAAAAAGAGAUUGUCAUAGUAGAAAUAGAGUAGGAUCGGCAAGUGGCUCCAGAUUAGAUAUUGAUAGUAUUGCUAGUGGUAAGUCUCUCAUCAUCGUGGGAGACGAUGAUCCCUUAUAAAAUGGAUGAUGAUGACAUCCUCAUGGUAUACCGCUAGUACCAUGAAAGGGGAUAUGUUACUACUAGCGGGUCCACAAGAUUUACACACAAGGCAUGGUUGGCAUUGAUGCAGGGUGUGUGGUGGAAUUUAUGUCGAUGGCUGACAAACUUCCAGGAAGACCAACAUGGAAGUUGCACCAUAAAUUUCAGCAAGAUAUUUCGACAUGUGCCGAUGUAAAAUUCUUAGAAUUGUUAAUUAAUUCUAAGUGGUAUACUCUUUAUGGUGGAGUAUGAUAAUUCUCUAUGGUGAGGAUUAUGACUAAGGUGAAAAUAGUAAGGUUAGUGUGGAGAUUGAUUGAUUCUCAAUCAAAACUCCAAGUGGGAGAAUGUCAAAGUAUUUGGCUGCAGCUUCUAGAAGCUACAUCUAGAAGCUUUGAUGCAGCAAAUGUUGAAGGCACCGCCAAGGAGAAAAAGAAGGAAGAAUGAAGAAGAUGUUGCAGAAGUUGAUCUUGACAAAUGAUGGUUGGAACGCCAAAAUGGAAGAAAGAAAAAGGUUGGAACACGGCUUUGAAGAAGCCACGAGAAGAAUAAAGAAAAUAUUAAAAUAAUAGCCAAUUUUGGCUAUAUAAAGGAAGCUCCCCUUUUUUUGGUUUGUGUAUCCAAUCCUCAGUUUCUCUUCUUCAUUCAGAGAGUGUUUCUUUGGGGUGUAUUUGAGGAUUAGGUGAGAGAAAAUUAUUUCUGAAAGAGUGGUUAUAAUAAUUUUCCACAUAGUGAAUAUUUUUUCUCUGGUUGUCUUUUUGACAACGGCCGUGGUUUUUCUCCAGAUUUAGAGUUUUCCACGUAAAUUUUGUGUUGUGGGAUUGAUAUUAUUUUUCAUUUAAUUUUUCUUGUUAAUUUGUUAAUUGACAAAUUGCUUGGAGAGAUCCUGGGAGGAAGCUCAAUUUCCUAACAGACAGCAGAUACAUUUUCAUUGAGCAGACACUGUUAGCAUUCAAGAUGCUGGCAGAUUCACUUGAUUCUUAUUAGUUUGUUUAGUGGCAAAGCAUAUAACCUGUAUUUCAAAGCCAAGUUGUGCUAUUGAUUAUGUUAACUUUAUUGUUAACCUAAAGUGAUAUGGAGGACAUAAUCAAUGUAGGAAAAUUAGGUGAAGAGACGAUGUCAACUCUUGAACCUCUUACAAAGCUCCAAGUUCUUUACUUGAAGAAGCUGCCAAAUUUGAAGAGCGUCUACUGGAAGGCAUUUCCAUUCCCAGAUGUAUGCAGAAUUUUUGUAUUAAUGCCCAGUUCUUAAGAACCUGCCACUGGAUUUUCAAGGGACGGGCCAAGGUAAAAUUCUUAUCAAGGGAAAGGAAGAUUGGUGGAAAGAACUUCAAUGGGAGGAUCAAGCAACUCAGAAUGCAUUGCUUCCAUUUUUCAAAUCAACUGACAAGUGAUUGAAGGGGGCAUCAUCAACAUCAUCAACAGAGAUGGAGAGAUUCUGGAGCAGAUCAGCAGGGUUUGUAUAUGAUCUUUGGUGGUUGCUUUCUUUUGUGAUUUUUUUUUUCUUCCUGUCAUUUUAUCAUUUCUUUGUCUCUUUUUCUAUUGCUGAUGUUAGUGUAUGCUUACUGUUGCUUGACAAAGUUUGCUUGCUUCUUGUUUAUUAAAUUUUUUAUGGUCACAAAAUAUUACUUGUUCUAUUUGAGAGUGAUGUGAAUCAAUUUUCAAUUAUAUAUUUUGUGGUCAAUGUGAAUUCAAUUUCAUUUGUCUCCUGCAAUUAUGAGAAAAUUGCAGAGUCAUAAUAUGGAAAAGAACACCAGCAAAAACUUUGUAAAAGCUUCGGAGUGAAACAGGGAAUUCACUUACUACUAAGAACAAUUGAUGGCGAGCUAUUCCAUUCAUUUUAUGUCCAUCCAUCUAUUUAAUUAUUAAAGAUAAGUGGUCCAUUUAUAAAUUUUAGAUUUUCUCUCUUUGAAAAUAACAAUAUGUAAAAUAUCUCUUAAAUUAUUAUAAAUUUUAAUUUACUCUCGAUUUAAAACGGAACAUGCUGAUGAAAUUUUUUUCUUCUUACUAAAAUUGAAAUAAAUUGUGUUUGCAGUAGUUUGAAAUAUUUUAAAGAUUAUUAUUUUAUAAGGGAGUAAUAUGAAAUGAAAUUUACUUUUCAUGCGUGAAAUGUUGAAAAAGGACAAAGGAAGUGUCCCUGCUUUUAUUUUAUUUCAAAGUGGAGUCAUCUCACAUACUUUAGCUCUAACAUUACAAUUUUUCAGGUUACAUUUUUAUUUAUUUAUUUUCUUUUUUACACAUGCAUGUGGGUUACUUUUCCGUAAGCUCCUUUAUAUAUAUUGAACCCUACGAAGAAUGUUAUGGAAGAGCAAAUGAUAUUUCUGAUAGACUCUAUUUGAUUAUGUAGCCUGAAUGGAUGUCUUGUUGAAAGAUAUUUCAGUGCAUUAGUUCAUCCUUGUCUCUCAAUGUGUUUUUAAUGGUUUUUCCAAUUGUUUAUUAUUAUAGAUUGAUUGUAAAUUGAUAUGAAUUUAAUGUUGAAAUGUUUUCUCUUUAGUGGAAUGAAUUUAAAAGUGCAAAAGAUUAUUGCACACGGAGAAAUAAACAUAUAUGCUUUAUAACUUUAGCAAUCGAUUCUUUUACAGCUGGAAACAGAGAUGAUGAUUAUCAUAAGGAUGAAGAAAAGGACAAAAAUUGUCAAUGAUUAACGAAAUCUCUAUGCAAAUUGAUUUUAGCAGGAAAAAAGUGAGCUAAAUGAUGGAGACGAUUAGUGGUAAUAUUUCAUAGAGUUCCUUCCAAUCUUCUCAUGAAUCCCCUUUUUGAGUUAUAUUUAUUUUAUUUUUAAAAUAUCUUUUUUCUCUUUUACUACACUUCUAAUUUUUCAUUUUUUUUUAUUGUUAAACUCAAAGUAGUAUUGUGAUAUUUUUUAUUUAUUUUGCAAUCUUAUUAUUACUCUACACUUAAGUUAAAAAGUUUUAUAGGUGAUGAAUUUUUGAAUGUUAAUCAUUAGCUUAAAUUUCACAUAUUUUACAUUAUAAUUUGAAAUUUAGUACCAAAAUAUUUAAUCAAUAAGAAUUAUGAAAAGAUUAAUAGAUUAUUCUAAAUUUAUACAACUUAUUUUAGUUAGAUCAGAAGUAGCAGGUUAAAAAAAGAAAAGAUUGGUUAUGAAAUUUGUUGGAAAAAAAUCUAUGUGUGUUUAAUUUUUAUUCGUUGUUAACUCUAAUUAAAUAGGUUAAAUAAUUUUGUUAUUUUUUACUUAUCAAAAAAUUUAAGAUCAAUAUUUUUAGUUACCAUUUGAAGGAUAUUAUGACAAAAACAAAAUUUUCAUGUCUUUGUUAAAAAUUUGGGGGUUUGUAUAACUAUUUUUUCAAAUGUUAGGGGCAUAACUGUCUUUUUACUCUUAUAUAUAUGAACCAUGGUGGUGAAAAAGCGUGAUUUAAUGUUAUUUAUUUAAAUAAUAUCUCAAUUAAAAAUGUAAGCAGAAGAAAUUUUGGUGGGUAUUUUAGUCUUCUAACGAUUAUCAUGAUUAGGCCCUGGUCUUGAAACGUUGGUCAGAAAAAUUUUAAAAUGCGUUCAUUGUCUUUACUUUAAAAACGUUAUUUUAUUUUAUUUUAUUACAAAUUAAUGCCAACAAGAAAAAGCAAGAUCUAAUAUUCCACAAAAGGAAAUCGUAAUAUUCCAUAAAAGCAAAUAACCAGCUGGAUUCUUUUAUUGAACUACAAAUUAAAGUGGAAUCUUUUAUUAAACAACAAAUUAAAGUUCAAAUAUUUAAAUAGUAGUGCGUUAGACGAUUAGGCUCUCUUAUUAAAGGCAAGUAUAAAGUAGUCAAGAAUCGAACAUCUCUAUUGUCUAGUCUUUUUUUUUUAAUUCUUCUUUUAUUAUUUUUCAGAAUAGGUUUUGGUGAUUACUAUUGGGUUAUUAUUCAGAGUUAUUGUUAUCUUCCGGGGCAGUUUCUGUUAAUCGAAAUCGUUAAUUAAAAUUUUAGAACUCUUAUGGGAAGAAUGUUUUUCUGUUAUCUUUUUUAUAUUCUAAUUUCAACUGUAAGGAGUCGUUUUAGAAUUUGGGUCUGGAAUCGAAUUUCAAUGCAUGAAUUAAUAUUUUUAAAAAAAAUUACUACACGCAGUUUAGGUUACAAACUAUUUUUUGCAAAGUUGACUAUGAAAUUGGAGAAAUUAAGUAAUUUAUAAUGUUUGCAAAGGAAGAGACUAACAUACUUCCAAUUACACUAUCUCUCUAUUAUCAUAAUAUUAAGACUAAAGUAACUUUAAAUAAAUUUUAUUUGAAAAGUUAUAUCAAAUGCAGUCUAAUUUUAUUAACUUGAAGAGUUAAUAAUUAUAGAAAUUAUUGUUCUAACUUAAUUAGUACAAGUGGUAUAAAGGUUAAGUGUGCACUAAAUCUGUUUAAAUUUUUUCCAGAAUAACUAACAGAGGUCAUUACUAGAAUUAUAAUUACUAGUCUAUUAGAUAGAAAAAAUUAUUUAUAUUGUUUUAUAUUUAUUAAAAAAUUUUAAAGUCAAUCUUUUUAAUUACUAUUUAAAAAAUAUUAUAAUUAAAAAAAUUUAAUGUCUUUAUUAAAAAUUUAAAAAUUUACAUGACCGUUCUAUAAAUAUUUAAAGUGUAACUGUCAUUUUCUCAUAUAUAUAUAUAUAAAUCACGGUGGUGAAGCUUUAUUUAAUAUUAAUGAUUUAAAUAAUAAUAUCUCAAUUAAAAAUGUACAGAGAAUAAAUUUCGGUGGGUAUAUUAGUCUUUUACAAUUAUCAUGAUUAGCCCUUCCUCUUGUAACGUAGGUCAGAAAAGUUUUAAAAUGCCUUGAUUUCAAUUUCUGCUUUAUAUUUUUCCCCGUAUAAUGGGGAGAGGUCAUUACUAAAAUUUCUCUUCCACAGCAAUUACAGCAGCUUCAGUUAAUCAAACUCAAAUCAAUUUUCUUUCUUAACAAAAUUCCAAAGAUGUGUAGCAUUUUUCAGAUCACAUGCGAUGGUGCUCUUUUCAAUCGUUGCUUGGAUUGCUUUCUCGGAAAAGCAGCAUACAUAAGCAACCUCCAAGAUAAUCUUGAUGCCUUGGACACUGAACUGGGAAGACUAAUCGCAGCAAAGAACGAUGUGAUGAUGAGGGUUGUCAAUGCUGAACGGCAACAAAUGAGAAGGCUGGACGGAGUGCAAGUGUGGGUUUCGAGGGUGGAUGCUGUUAAAACUGGAGCCGAUGAAUUGAUGAGGCACAGCUCUCAAGAAAUUGACAAAUUAUGUGUUGGAGGCUACUGUUCCAAGAACUGCAGGUCAAGCUACAAGUUCGGAAAACAAGUGGCUAAAAAGCUACAAGAUGUGAAGACUUUAAUCGCCGAGGGAGUUUUUGAGGCGGUGGCCACUGAGGUGGUGCCCGAGAGAGCUCCGGAACCUGUAGCAGAUAAAAGACCCAUUGAGCCAACAAUAGUAGGCUUGCAAUCACAGCUUGAAGAAGUUUGGAGAUGUCUUGUAGAAGAAUCAGUGGGAAUCAUUGGCCUAUAUGGUAUGGGCGGUGUUGGUAAAACCACACUAUUGACCCAUAUCAACAAUAAAUUUCUUGAGAGUCCCACAAACUUUGAUUGUGUGAUUUGGGUCGUAGUUUCAAAAGACCUGCGACUUGAAAAAAUUCAAGAAGAUAUUGGGAAGAAGAUAGGUCUAUCUGAUGAUUCAUGGAAGAAUAAAAGUUUUGAAGAGAAAGCUGUGGACAUCCUGCUGAGAUUAGGAGAGAAGAGAUUUGUAUUGUUGUUAGAUGAUUUAUGGGAGCGGGUUGAUUUAACAAAAGUGGGCGUUCCACUUCCCAGCGCACAAAAUACUACCUCAAAAGUCGUAUUCACAACCCGUUCCAUUGGUGUUUGUGGCAGCAUGAGAGCUAGGCCGGUUAAAGUGGCAUGCCUAUCAGAAAAGCAAGCUUGGGAACUGUUCCGCGAAAAUGUUGGGGAAGAAACUCUUGAGAGUGAUCAUGAGAUCGUUGAGCUAGCCCAAACUGUGGCCAAAGAGUGUGGUGGUUUGCCACUCGCACUUAUUACUAUUGGUCGAGCUAUGGCCUACAGAAAGAAAGCGGAGCAGUGGAGACGUGCAAUUGAAGAGUUAAGAAGAUCAGCUUCAGAGUUUGCAGGUUUGGGAAAAGAGGUGUAUCCUCUUUUAAAGUUUAGCUAUGAUAGUUUGCAGAAUGAUACAAUUAGAUCUUGUUUCUUGUAUUGUUGUUUAUAUCCUGAAGAUUAUGGCAUUCUUAAAUGGGACUUAAUUGAUUGUUGGAUUGGUGAGGGAUUUUUGGGGGAAUCUGACAGGUUUGGUGCAGAAAACCAAGGAUAUGACAUUUUGGACACUCUUGUUCGUGCAUGUUUAUUAGAAGAGGUGGAAGAUGAUAAAGUAAAAAUGCAUGAUGUUAUUCGUGAUAUGGCUCUAUGGAUAGCUUGUGAAAUUGAGAAGGAGAAGAGAAACUUUUUGGUUUGUGCAGGUGCUGGAUUAAAAGAGGCACCGGAUGUUAAAGGAUGGGAAAAUGUGAGAAGAUUGUCAUUGAUGCAAAACCAAAUUAAAACUCUGUCAGAGGUUCCUACAUGCCCUCAUCUCCAUACUCUAUUUCUUGACUUUAAUAAGGAGUUGGAGAUGAUCGCGGAUGGCUUCUUCCAAUUUAUGCCUUCUCUCAAAGUUUUGAAGAUGUCAAACUGCUGGAAUUUUCAAUUACCUGUUGGGAUGUCAGAGUUGGGUUCAUCACUAGAACUUCUUGAUAUUUCACAUACCCGAAUACAAGAGUUACCAGAAGAGUUAAAGUUGUUGGUAAAUCUGAAAUGUUUGAAUUUGAGGGGUACAGGCCAGUUAAAUAAAAUUCCACGGCAACUAAUAUCAAAAUUUUCAAGGUUACUUGUGUUGAGAAUGUUGGGUACUGGCCAGUUCAAUUUUCAUGAAGCACCAGAAGACAGCAUUUUAUUUGGUGGGGGCGAAGUUUUGAUACAGGAAUUGCUCGGUUUGAAAUAUUUAGAGGUAUUGGAGUUGACCUUGGGAAGUUAUCAUGCUCUCCAAAUUCUUUUGAACUCAAAUAAGUUAAAAAGUUGUAUUCGAUCCCUUUACCUCGAGUUGUUCACAGAUACAACGUCGAUUAUUGAUGCUACGGCUUUCGCAGAUCUAAACCACCUCAAUAAAUUAUAUAUUUAUAAAGGUUUUGAGUUGGAAGAAAUGAAGAUUGAUUAUAUGGAGAUAGUACGAAAAAGGCGGGAACCUUUUGUUUUCCACGGCCUUCACCGUGUUACUAUGGUUUUAUGCCAUAAAUUGAAAGAUGUGACAUUCCUCGUUUUUGCUCCAAACCUCAAGUCUCUUUUGCUAGUCGAUUGCUAUGCUAUGGAAGAAAUAAUCAGCGUCGGAAAAAUUUCUGAGACUCCUGAGAUGAUGGGACAUAUAAGCCCUUUUGAAAAUCUCCAAAUGCUUGAUUUGUCACGUUUGCCACAUUUGAAGAGCAUCUUCUGGAACCCAUUGCCUUUCACUCAUCUGAAAGAAAUGGCGGUACUUAUGUGCGAUCAGCUUAGAAAGCUUCCACUCGAUUCCAACAGUGCAAAGGAGCGUAAAUUUGUUAUUCGUGGAUACACAGAGUGGUGGAACCGACUUCAAUGGGAGGAUGAAGCCACUCAAAUUGCUUUUCGUUCCUGUUUCCAACCUCGUCCCUGAGCGGUGGUCGCAAAUUUUGAUUUCUGGUGAGUGCGUUCGUCUUUUAAAAGAAGAAUUUAAAAGAAAUUUAUUCUUGUCGUUUUCUUCUCUGUUUUUAUUUCAGUUUGUUUCUCUCUCUCUCUCUCUCUCUGUUUGUCUUCCGUAAAUCACAAUUAAAUGUUGAAUUAAUGGAAUUAAUGCUUCAUAAAUUUGCCGGCACUGCCGUUACUUUACUUUUUGCUGUCAAAUUUUGCCCUUUUUAUUUUUUAACAAGUUGAUACUUUAUUUAUAUCUUCUUAGCGAUUUAAUUUCCUGUCAAAAGACGAACGAGAAGAACAUAUGACUUAAACCAAUGCUCGAAUAAACUUGCUGUAAAAAGAUAUAAUCUCACUGAAAUGCACACGCCUAGAAUGAAUAGAAUUAAAAUAGGGAAAAUAUUAAGUAUAUUAGCCCUCUUUACCGAAAAUCAAAUGACAAUAAAUUUUUUGAAGUUUUGAUUUUCUAUGGUCAAUUCCACCUUUUGCAAUUUCUUCUGUUCUAACAAAAACCAAUUUCUAUGUUCAAGCAUUUUCGUUUGGAUAUUAAUAAUUCUCCACCGAAAGAGUGAACUCUUGGAUGCUGCUGCUCAAGGGAUCUCUAAUCAAUAGCCCGAAGGGCGCCGAGACCUGACCGGACCUACGCCCAAGUUUGGUCUUAAAGCCUGGGCUUGAGCCUGGCAAUUAAAUUAAAACAUUAAUUGAUUUCUUGAUUGAAUUGUCGUGUAAUUGAUUUAUGGGGGAUGACACAUCAACAUACUUGAAAAUACACUAAUCUCAGCAUCAUCGGUUAGUAACUUUUAGAUUUAUGGGUAAUCAAUAGUUAAGAUUAGUUGUCAUUAAUACUAAAUAAUUUUUACUUUUUUUGUCUCUUCUAGAGGAUCUUCUAGAAAAAUGCAUCCACAAGUAAAUUUAAUACUUUACAUAAUAAACAAAGCCUAAAUGUUAAAUUUAAGAAACUGCAUUGCAUUUCAGUUGAAGCUGACUUUAAUAUUUAGGGUAGAAAAAUAAUUAAUUUUAUUUUUUGAAAUGUCCAUAUUCAGAGCAAAUUUCAAAAAGACUCAAUAAUUUCUCAUAAAUUUCAAUUAAAAAUAUUCAAUUUGUUGUUUCAGUUCUUUUAUUUUUUAUUUUUUCCAACAUGAAAGCGACUUAAUGUUACUAAAUUGGUUUUAUGGUCUUUGGAUUUUCAUGACCCAAUAAUUGGAACAAAACAAUUUUCUCAAGCGCUCUCCCGCAACAUUUUAUAAUUGAAGCCGCGGCCCCGCCCGUGGUUCCAAACUUUAUCUUUCUCCCGCUCUUUAAAUUAAUGCGAGCAGCCUCCGUCCUUGACUAGUUGACUGCUUUUGUUCUUUUUUAUUAAUUAAUUAAUUAAUUAAUUAAUUCAGCCGCCCCCCUUUCUUGUCCCAAUGUCUUCUACUUUCGGUUUCCUUUUAUUAUCUCUUUAUUUUUAAAAUAUGCUUAUAGUAAUAAUAAAAUAUAAAAAUUAAAAUUAAAAUUAACAUAUUAAAAUAUAAUUUAUCAGAAAAUUAAGAUAGAGAAAUAUUAUAAGCACAUCAAUCAAAAAGUGAAAAAAAAAAUUUUAAUUUGCAUUAAAUAUAAACUUUCAGUGUUAAUCAAUUUUCUAAAUAACUGAAAUUAUUUUAAAAUAAAAAUAAAUUAUUCUUCCAAGAAAAAAAAUUACACCCACUCACUGGACUGGCUGUCAAGAGUCGCUUUAGGACUGAAGUUGGUAACUUUUGCAAGCAGUCUGAACUUGAAUGGCAGCAACCCACGCUUUCAGAUUUAUGGUUAAUCAAUAGCUGAGAGUUGUUAUCGCUAAGUGCAUCCGUUGCUAAUGUUUUUAAUGUUUUUUUCUCUCUCCUACAGCAUCUUCUAGGAAAGUGCAUCCGUUGCUAAAAUUUAGUAUUGUAAAUAAUAAACCAAGAAUAAAUAUUAAAUCUAAGAAACUGUAUUGCAUUUAAUAUUUAAGGGAGAAAAAGAAUUAUAGUGUCUUUAUUAAUCAGUAAUGAGAAAAGACUAGAGUAAUAAUAAAUUGUAUUGCUAUUAAUGUGUUUAUUUUAUUUUGUACUCAAAAUGAAUUAUUUUAAAUUAUUGAAAUACCUUUAUUGUUAUUCUAAUUAUUAUUAUUAUUAUUAUUAUUCAAUAUUUAUUAUAAUAUUUUAUUAUUAUUAUUAUUAUUAUUCAAUAUUUAUUAUAAUAUUUUUCAUAUUACUAAAAAGUAAUAAUAAUAAUGAUAAUAUUGGAAUUGUUGUUUUUUUAUAUUAUUAUUAUUAUUAUUCAAAACACUUCUUGUCAGCUCAUUCAUACGUGAAGACCAAAACCAAAUCUCUUCUUCUCCUUCUUUUCUUAUAGUGCAGGAUGUGUGUGCUCGGACUUCUCUCUCAUUCUUUUUUCUUUUUAGAUUUUGAAAACCUAAAAAAAAGAGUGUAGGAGUUUUUAUUUUCUUAAAACAAGACUUUUUGAAUUAUCCAAUUGAGUUAAAUUCUGUGGCAACUGGUAUUUACAUUUCUUGUUUAUUUCGCAAGUUAUUAUUGCCUAAUGCUAUGUCAACUCUAACAUUCGCAAUUUUUUUUUUGGUCCUCUUUUAACACCAAACAUUAGUGUAGGUUAAGUAACAUAAUCAGUACUGGGACAAUUUGAAAUCCCUUUGUGGCAGUGACAAUGAGAUCUCAUUUUAACCGAUAAAGUCUUUUGACUCUGUCAACUCAAAAAAAUAGAUUCAAAUGUUUUGUAAUAAAUAAAAAUAUAAUAUUAAAAUAAAUGUGACAAUAUAUAUUUUAAAUAAUUUCAAUACAAAAAACAUUUGAAUGUUUUAUAAUUUAUUAGACAUAUUUUAUUAUAUUAAUAUAAAUUUUCUAAGAAAUAUGGACAUAAUAUUAAAAUAAAUUUAUGAAAAAUUUAAAUUAUUUUGAAUGUAAAAACAUUUUAAUGUUUUAUAAUUUAUUAGACAUAUUUUAUUAUAUUAAUAUAAAUUUUCUAAGAAAUAUGGACAUAAUAUUAAAAUAAAUUUAUGAAAAUUUAAAUCAUUUUGAAUGUAAAAUAAUUUUAAUGUUUUAUAAUUUAUUAGACAUAUUUUAUUAUAUUAAUAUAAAUUUUCUAAGAAAUAUGGACAUAAUAUUAAAAUAAAUUUAUGAAAAUUUAAAUUAUUUUGAAUGUAAAAUAAUAUUAAUAUUAUUAAUCCAUUAGGUAUUAAUUAUAAAAAUUAUUUAACCCAAAGAUUUUUUAUAUCCUUACAAUAAAUAUAAAUAUAUUAUUUACAUUUAAAAAUUUAAAAAUUUAAAAAUAUUUAAAUAAUAUUAAUCUACAAUUAUAUUUUCAUUUAUUAUAAAUAUUUAAAGUCAAAUCUUUUGCACUUCUAUUUUAUUACAAUUAUGGCGCACAAAGAAAGAGCCAUAUAUGAUUUAUAGCGUUAGAAAUUGGUUUAUUUUAAAGCUGGAAACAGAGAGGAUGAUUAGUAUAAGGAUAAAAGAAAAAGGGAUAAAGAAUAUUAAUGAUUAACAAAAUCUCUCUGCAAAUUGAUUGCAGUAGAAAAAAAGUGAGCUGAACAAUCUAGACAUUUAGUGGUAGAGUGAUAUUUCAUUUGUAGCAAAGUACAUCUCAAGGUUAAGGGAAAAGACUUAAGAUCUCGCUUUUGAUUAUAAUACUUUUUUUUAAAGAAAAAAAUUAAUUUUAAUAUUUUAUAAUAAAUAAAAAUAUAAUCUUAAAAUAAAUAUAAUAGUACAUAUUUUAAAAUAAUCUCAUUAUUUAAAAUUGUUUUAAUAUUUUGUAAUUUGCCAGAAAAAUUUUAUUAUUUUCAAGUAAAUUUUAUAAUAAAUACAAACACACUAUUAAGAUAAAUAUAUGAAAAAAUUAAAGUAUUUUGAAUAUUAUACAAAAUAAUUUUAAUAUUGUUAAUAGUGAGAUAAUUCUAUUAAUUUAAAAUGCUACUUAACCUUAAGAUUUAUUUAUGAUAAAUUAAUAAUUACAUUUUUAAAUUAUUUCAAAUAUUAAAAAUAUUUUAAUAUUACUUAUCUAUUAGAUAGACUAAAUUAUUUAAAUUAUUUUGUAUAAAUUAAUUACUAUUUAAAGGAUAUUAUGAUAAAAAGAUCUUAGUGUUUUUAUUAAAAAUUUAAAAUUUACAUGACUAUUUCUUUAAAUAUUUAGGGCAUAUAUGAACCACGGAGGAGAAAAGCUUUAUUUAAUAUUUUAGAAUAGUUUUUGAUCAGUACAAUUGGGUCCUUAUUCAGAAUUAUUGUUCUCUUCCGCAACAGUUUUUGUUUAUCAAAGUCAUCAAUUAAAAUUUUAGAAUUCUUAUCAUCAGAAGUAGUCGUUUUAGAAGUUGGGUCUUGGAUCAAAUUUCUACGAGUGCAUGAAUUAACAAUAAAAAAAUUUCAUUACACACGGUUUAAGCUACAAAACUACUAUUUGCACAGUUGACUAUAAAACUUACCUCCAAUUACACUAAACCUCUCUAUUUGGUAACGUUGAGACUAAAUUAAUUUUAUUAGCAUGAAAAGAUAAUAGAAAUAUAAUUAUAAAUACUAUUGUUGUUAAUCAAUUAGUACAUGUGAUAUAAAGGUUAAAUGUGCACUAUAUUUAAUAAUUAAUUAGUGGAGCAUGUUAAACAAAAUGUUAAUGUAUAUUUAUAUAGUGUUAGGAAUAUGCAAAGUCAAGUCCUCAAUUUGCAUUAUCCUGUAUAGAAUAUUACUCUAAAAAUGUUUUACUAUAAUUGGCUUAGAACAUUUGUAAAGAAAAUAAUAAUAAAAUAAUAAAUAACAUACACCGUCACAUAGCAUCUAGACAAUGAUAGAAAAUUAUUAAAGAGAGUGCAAACAAUUAAUUAGAGAUUUUUAUGAUGACUUUUAAUAUUCAUGAUAAUAACAAAUAAAUACAUGUAUCACUUUUUUAAAAUAUUAAAUUUGACGUGCUCCAUUAAUAAAUUAUUAUUGUAAUUCAGACUCUAUCUAUAUAUCCUUGCACUAAGAAUAAUUAAGGUGGCGUUUGUUUUUUUAACUUAAUGACUUAAAGUGACUUAACUUAAUUAAUUAAGUUAAUUAGAGGUGUUUGUUUUAUAACUUAAUGAGACUUUUUAGAUAAUUUUGACUUAAUAAAAUAAGCUAAUUUUUUUGACUUUUUACUUAAUGGAGAAAUCUGAAUUAAGUCAAUUACUUGCUAAUGUCAAAAAUAUCCUUGUUUUAUAAUUUAUUUUUCAUGUCUAUCCCAAAACUCACCCAUAGAUAUUUACCCCACAUAAAAAUAUCCCUGUUUUUUUCUUUCUUAUAUUAUAUACGAUAAAAUUUGAAAUUUAUAGUAUUUUAUAUAUUAAAAUUCUAAAAUAAUUAUGUAUUCACUUGAAUAUAGUUUUACUUAUAAAUGUUAAAAUAUGAUGGUAUUUAAUAUAUUAUUUAUUUGACAUUCAAAUUUAAUAAGGAUACAAAUGUAAAAGUACAUAUUUUCAGCUUUUUAAGUUGAAAAAAAACAACUUAAUACUUAUUUUCUGAGAUUCAGACGAAAAAAUAAACAUAUUAUUCAGAUUCAGACAUUCAGACCUAUUCAGAAUUCAAACUAAUUCAAAUCUAUUUAAAUUUUAGACAAAAAAAUAAACGCCACCUAAAUCAUAAUAAAAAUUUUCAUAACUACAUCUCGUUUCUUCCUCAUAAUAAUAAUUAGAUUGGUUCGAAUAUUAUAACAGAUUUAGUGUAUAGCCACAUCCAAUUUAAAUAUUGACCCAAUUGGGAUGGUCCCCAAAAAAAAAGAUUCGUUAAAGGAUAAUUCUAAUUAUUUUCACUUCUCAAACGUUAGUGGGACGUUUCUAUUAGCGCACUCGUAAGCCAAGUUGUCAAAUAUUUAUAUUAAACUACAAUUGCUGACAAGAAAAAUCAAGAUCGUGUUGCGCAAGUGGGUCCCGAAUAGGACGUGCCUAAAUCUCUCGUAAGCCAAGUUGUCAAAUGUUUAUAUUAAACUAACAAUUGCUGACUAGAAAAAUCAAGAUCGUAUUAAAAGUGGGUCCCGAAUAGAACGAGACUAAAUCUUUUUAAGAAUAUUAUCAUUUUAUUGAUAUACCAUGUCAGUAUUAAAAUUUAUUAAAAAAUAUAUUUUAUUAUUAAAAUUUUAUAUUGUUAUCAAUUCACUAUCAUAUUAUUUCGUUAAGAAAAAAUUAAUAUUUAACGAAAAUUGAGAUAAAAAUUAAUUUUUGUUCUCUGUCUUUAUUUAUUUAUUUAUUUAUUUGGAUCUUCUGCAAAUCACAAUCAAAUGUUGAAUUAUAAAUUUGCCGGCAUUCCUUUUUUUGUUUUUUUUGGGCCGGGGGUGGUGUUGAAUUGAUGCUCUGAUUUUUGACUUUUUGUUGUCAAAUUUUACUCUGUUUUUUCAAAUUGAUGCUAGAAUAUUUGAAUCAAAUUAAUGCUCUAGUAAAUUUGUCCAGUUGCCGUAAAAAGAUAUAAUUACACUGAAAUGCACACCUAUGGAAUGAAUAGAAUUAAACAGAGAAAACAUUAAGUAUAAUAGCUGUCUUCACAGAAAAUCAUAUGAAAAUAAAUUUUUGAAGUUUUUGUUUUUCCGUGGUCAAUCAUACCCUUUAUAAUUUCUUCUGUUCUAACUACAAUAAAAUUUUUGGUCCAAGGAUUUUUAUUAGGGGUAUUAAUAAGAGUCCACCAAAAGAGUGAACACUUGGAUGCUGCUUGAAGGGUCUCUAAUCAAUAGCUGGAAGCAAUUGAGAAGGCGGUUGCUACUGUGAAUUCAAAUGUAAAAUAUUUGCUAUUCUUCGAUUUGGUUCAUGAUUUCGUAUGAAUAUCGUUGUUCCGUUGAGUUGCAUGCGAAUUCAAAUGCAAAAUAUUCUUCGAUUUUCAAUUUUGAAAUCAAAUUUUUUUUCCUUCUCAAGCAUGUUAUGCAGAAACGAUUUUUACUAAAUCAUUUUUGACAAACUAUUUAAAUUAAACCACUGGAAUAAGAAUUGUAAGGAUUUAUCGUAAGCUUACUAAUACGAUAAUUCUGAAACUAUCACCUUUUUUUUUUUUUUUGAUUUGUUGCAGGGAAACCCAAAUUUUGUAUUUUGUCAGUUUCAUCUGAUAUGGAAUUUAUUUCCUCCCUAAAGAUUUAUCAAACUGCUUCUCUUCCGUGCUUCAAAUAUCUUUAUGCAAUUACGAUCUCAUAGGAAAAGAGAGUUUGGGUUGUAUUUAUUAUAGUAUUUAUUUUUUAUUUUUUGUUAAAAGAAAUUUAUUUUAAAAUAGUUUAUAGCAACAGUUUUUAUUGAACAAUAAUGAGGAAGGAUUAUUAUAGGUUCAAAUAGUUGUUAGAACAUUAUAAAAAAGUCCAUUUACUAUCAAAUGUUUUAAAUUGGUGCAACCUGAUAGUUGUCUCAUAUAAUUUUUUUAGGGUAAAAACUCGUUUAAUUCCUAUAUUUUAAGAUUAGUACUCAUUUAGUCCUUAUAUUUUUAAAAAUGUCUCAAAACAUUCAUACCCUUAAAUUAUUAACAUCUCUGCUGUUACUUUUUAUUUCUUUUGACUUAUUUUUACAAUAUUGCUCUCUUACAAUAAUGUUUCUUUUUAUAAAAUUAAUAAAAAAAAAUUAAAUUAUCAAUUUAACCCCAAAAAUAAAAUAAAAAUAAAAAGAAUAAAUAUUAAUUUUUGUGAAAGCUUACAUGUGUCCAAAAUAAAUUUUAUUGUAAAAAUAAUUAAAUUGCCUUUUUUUUGGACAUUAGUAAUAAAAAAAUUAAUAUAUUAAUUCCUCAGCAGUGUGUUACAAAAAGUAAAAUAUAUUAAUUUUGUUUUUAUUUUAGACAAUGAGAUAGAGAAAAGUACAAGAUAAAGGAAAGGACUUCAAAACUCACUGUUCAUCAUAAUGCCCUUUGUCUUUAAAAAAAAAAUCAUUCUAAUAUUUUAUAACACAUAAAAUAUAAUCCUAAGAUAAAUAUAAUAAUACAUAUUUUUAACUAAUCUCGAUAUUUAAAAUAUGUUUUAAUAUUUUAUAAUCUAUCAGACAUAUUUUAUUAUAUUAAAGUAAAAUUUAUAAUAAAUACAAACAUAUUAUUAAAAUAAAUAUAUAAAAAAUAUUUAUUUUUUAUAUGUUUACACUGAGGACUCUCUUUAAUUCAUUUAUUUUCUCUCUCUCCAAACAGGUACUGUCUUCAGAUAGCAAUGCUAUGAUAGUAAUCCAAUUCUCUUCUCCCCCACCUGAGCGAGAUUUGAAUUUGAAUCCCUUGUUUUUCACCCACUCUGUUUUUUUUCACGCAAGAUUUGACAAUUUGAGUUAAAAAAUAUGGUCCAAAACUUGAACACGUAUCUUUUAAUUGUAAUAAAAGUUCUUUAAGCUUUGGAGAUGGCAUAUAUAUGGCUGGAAGUGUCCUUUUCUUUGACCUAGAGGCAGCACCAAGCUAUCCAGCAUCAUCAUUUUUCAAGUGGGUCUUAAAUGCCUAGAAACGUUGGUGUUUCUUGAUUUAAAGAUGACACAUGCUAUAAGUGUGAAUGGUUUGGCUAAGCCUAAAUUUAAAGUCUACUCAAGUCGCAUUCAGGAUCAUGGAAAUUGGAAAGGGAGAGAUGAUAGCAAGAUUUAUAAUAAACAAUUAACUUGGGUCCUCAGUGUACAAAGCAAAUGCCACGCAAGCGAUAGCCGGCCCGGCCCAGAAAACCCAGUGGCCAUCCCAGAGAUGGCCUCCUCUAACGAGUGCUGGGCCCAAACAUCUUGCCGGGUUGAACCCAGCUCCGGCAUAGCCCUUUUGAGCAGUAACAGUUGUCGAGACAAAAACCAGAAGACCCAACACUGUUCCAAUGACAAUGCAUACGGUAACUCUGCCAAGAGCCUUGGCUUGUCUGGAGUCAAAAGCCAUCCACACAGAAGCAAAAAGGAACACAAACGAGCAAAUUAUCUCAAGCCAAAGGGCCUGCCUAGUCCCCAAGCCGAUCUCAAUAGGCCCAUCUGGCCCAGGUACCACAACAUUCAGGCUGCAGCCUCCAAGUUGUCAAAUAUUUAUAUUAAACUACAAUUGCUGACUAGAAAAAUCAAGAUCGUAUUACAAGUGGGUCCCGAAUUGGACGUGCCUAAAUCUUUUUAUAAUUUUCCCAGUGUAGCGGACACAGGUCAUUACUAAAUUUCUCUUCCACACGCCACAGCAGCUUCGGUUAAUCAAACUCAAUCAAUUUUCUUGGCUUCUCCGCUUAUCAAUAUUACAAGGUAUGGGUAGCAUUUUUCAAAUCACAUGCGCUGGUACUAUUUUCAAUCGUUGCUUAGAUUGCUUUCUUGGAAAAGCAGCAUACAUAAGUAACCUCCAAUUUAAUCUCGUUGCCUUGGAGACUGAACUAAGGAAACUAAUCGCAGCAAAGAACGAUGUGAUGACGGCGGUUGUCAAUGCUGAACGGCAACAAAUGAGAAGGCUGGACCAAGUGCAAGUGUGGGUUUCGAGGGCGGAUGCUGUUAAAACUGUUGAAAAAUUAUGUCUUAGAGGGUUCUGUUCCAGGAACUGCACGUCAAGCUACAAGUUCGGAAAACAAGUGGCUAAAAAGCUACGAGCUGUGGAGACUUUAAUCGCCGAAGGAGUUUUUGAGGCGGUGGCUACGGAGGUGGUGCCUGAGAGAGCUCCAGAGCCUGUAGCAGAUGAAAGACCUACCGGGCGAACAGUAGUAGGCUUGCAAUCACAACUUGAACAAGUCUGGAGAUGUCUUGCAGAAGAAUCAGCGGGAAUCAUUGGCCUAUAUGGUAUGGGCGGUGUUGGUAAAACUACACUAUUGACCCAUAUCAACAAUAAAUUUCUCGAGAGUCCAACCAACUUGAUUGUGUGAUUUGGGUAGUAGUUUCAAAAGACAUGCGACUUGAAAAAAUUCAAGAAGAUAUUGGGAAAAAGAUAGGUUUGGUUAGUGAUUCAUGGAAGAGUAGAAGUGUAGAGGAGAAAGCUCUCGACAUCUUCCGGAGUUUAAGAGAGAAGAGAAUUGUAUUGCUGUUAGAUGAUAAAUGGGAGCGGGUUGAUUUAACAAAAGUGGGCGUUCCACUUCCCGGACCACAAAAUACUACCCCAAAAGUCGUAUUCACAACCCGUUUGAUCGAUGUUUGUGGUAGCAUGGAAGCUGACAGGAAGUUCAAAGUAGCAUGCUUAUCAGAAAAGGCUGUUUCGAAAAAAAGUUGGGGAAGAAACUCUUGGAAGUCAUCAUGAUAUCGUUGAGCUAGC
Molecule: long non-coding RNA, 107035 nt
Filed under: Citrus maxima (pomelo)
Lineage: Eukaryota; Viridiplantae; Streptophyta; Magnoliopsida; Sapindales; Rutaceae
Description: long non-coding RNA (CMAX_LNC000241)
Source: RNAcentral